This 91164-nucleotide long non-coding RNA is filed under the name Triticum aestivum (bread wheat). RNAcentral describes it as "long non-coding RNA (TAES_LNC007712)". The stretch from base 72682 to 72806 matches the Rfam family "MIR1120/MIR1122 microRNA precursor family". The record is from RNAcentral. Lineage: Eukaryota; Viridiplantae; Streptophyta; Magnoliopsida; Poales; Poaceae.
UUUCAUGGUCUACCACAAGAAUAUUGUUUCUAAAACAUUUGUUGGAAGGAGCAUCAUAUAUCAUAGAAGAUGUAAAGAGGUAUUACAACGACAAAACGGUUUAUCAGGAGAAUCUAUCGUUGUUCCCUUGUUUAGGGACUAGAGCAUGUCAUCCUUUCAUGCGUGUAGUUCUAUCGAAGAUUCAGGCGGCGGGCACUUGGGAUUGCACUUAAGGCAUUUAGACUUGAACUCAUCCAAAGUCUUGAAACAUGGGGUCUCCCGGAUGUCACAGCAGUAGCAGUCACCGAAGUCGCAACUCCAUUUGCCGCACAAUAUGACGGUAAACUUGGCAUCAUCUAACGAUGAUAUCGCGUUGGCCACGGUAGCAUUGUUAUCGCCACCGUCUAGAUAGCUUCGUUUUCCAGCCUCCAUACGACCUAAAAUUAUGCAUGUAAUGUUUUUAAUUGUUAGUCCUAUAAGAGAGAGAGAGAGAGAGAGAGAGAGAGAGAGAGAGAGAGAUUGAGAGAGAGUCCAUGCGUGUAAAAACUGAAGAAAAUAAAACAAGGGAAGAACCAGAACUAACACUGUGCAGUGACCGUGAGCCAUCCCACGAACAAGAUGGCCAUGGCAUGAACCCCUCUCAUUCUGGUUUAAUCUUUACUGAUUGCUUAGUCGAUUGAGUCAACUCUCCGCAAUGGGGUGGGUUACGUGAGACGAACAAGGGAUGACCAUGGCUGCGAUGACCCGAUCAUUAUAUAGAGGGUCAAAAUCUUAAUUAAGUAGGAGAUAAUAUUCCAAUUAAUUCUAAAGAUUAUUUGGUGCCAUAUAUACGUCGAUAUUAAUUAAUGUCGGAUAAUUUACAUCCACCCAUAUAUGUCGCCCUUUGGGUAAUUUGGUUCCAAAAAGUUGGUUGUGUCAGUCAAUCAAUUAUCUCCCCAAAAUAACACCCCAAAAAUUCACGCAUUGAUUGUUUCGAAGAAGAAGAAGAAGAAGAAGAAGAAGAAGAAUGCUAACCGAAACUACUAACUGGAGGGAAGGCAUCAUGAUUCCCCUCCCAAACACCGGCUACCGGAGCGGCAGGCAAUUGGAUCCAUUGACUCGUCGGUGAAGUGUGGAGGUGAGAGUUUACCCUAGCCGUCUAGGAUUAAGGGAGGUAAAUAACAUGUGGUCUCUUCUAGGGACAUAAUCUCAUUCAUCUUUUUAUGGAAACAACUCUAACAUUUGCAAAAACUAUGUGAAAAAACUCCCUCACUUUUUUUGCUUGUACUUCUAGUAGAAAAUGCUUUCAAAAAACACUGUCACUAGAAGGAUUACAUAUAGAAGCAUUGUUUGUUUUGUAUUAAAUAUUGGUUAACUGUCAUAUAUGUUGUGACACGUCUUAUGUCUCAUAUGCACACAACAUAUAAAAUAAAGAGUAAAUUCAAUUUUUCGCGCGGCAGGCGUGAUGAGCAAUCUCAAAUCAUUGAAAAAACGAGUAAAUUCCCUUUUUACCCCCAUCGAUCAUUUACGCUUGUGACAGAAUUAGUCCCAGUUUAGGAAAACUCUCAAUUUAUACCCUCAUUUAUCACCUUUGUGCCACAUUUUACCUCUUUGCAAUUUUUUCCAAUUUUGUGCUAAGUUGGCAUGGCACGUCAAUGUUUUUUUAUUAUAUAUUUUGCCUAUAGUUCAUUUCUUUUAUUUGACCUUGAGGUGGGUCACCUGUCAUUAUAGAAAAAAAAUGGUUGGGUACGCCCCGAACACAUGACCUCCCUUGGGGAAGACUUGUACAGGAUCUGUUCUUAGGUGAGAUCAAUGAAAUCAAUCUUUUUGAAGAUACAAAACAUGUUCAAAAAUUCUGAAAAAAAAGUGGAGACCUACAUCAAGCUCAAAAAGUUUCAGCUCCUAAUUCGAACUGCACUUAGAGGACCAAAAAAGACAAAAUCAGAUGUGAAUAGUGUCAAAUACUACUCAUCCCAAAGCGGACACUAUUCAUAAUCGAAUUUAUCUUUUUCGAAUUUCUAACUAUAGAUUGAGUUUUGAGCUGAUUUUUUUUGGAGUUGUAGACAUACCCCGCAGGUAUGUUGUACAUUCUUUUCAGAUUUUUUUUGGAUUGUCUAAUUAUGAAAUGUUUGAGUUGAUCAUAUGAUCUCACCUCAAGGGUUGAUCCUAUACAAGUUCUCUCUGACCUCCCCUCCUCUUCUCUUCGGGAGGGACCACAAUAAAAUUUGUCCCUUAGAAGCAAAAUAGAAAGAUUGAAGUUGGUCCGUUGGAUUGAGGGUUGAUGGCAUAGACUCCAUUGGAGGGAUCUAAGCCCACUUAAAUGUACAUUUCACAAACCCCCCCUUUGUGAAGUUAGAUAUGUCAAACGCCUUUUGCAGUUAUGUCCUUCAGCAUUUCAAUUUUGCACAGCGGUAAUGCCUAUUCUCAUAGAAUCCACGCAUAUUUAGAUACAUUAUUAUGCAAGAAAAUUGGGCAUGUUGGUCACUACAAAGUAUAACGGUAUUUAUCACAAAAUUUGAGUACACAACAUCAACGACAACAGAGCUUUAUCACAAAUAUUUUAGUACAUGACAAAACUGAGCCACCCCCUUCAAUCAGAACUAAACGUACAUGUCAAUCUAGAGCAUCCCUACCAGAGCACAACACAAGAGACAUACAUAAAUAUCAACAUGGGAGGAUCUUUGGUACAAGAACGGGUCAUGUUGGUGGUCGUGUCGAAGGAGUAUAGCUCGUAGAGCUCCUUAUGGUCUUUGACACAGCCGCCGAACAUAAAUGUCGUGCCGCUGACGGGAGGUAGGGGCACCUAGCCGGCCGAGUCGAGGGCAGACCAGGACUGCGCCUUGAGGUCGAAGGCAUACAUGGUGUUGGCCACUUGCAGGUGUGGGGUUAACUCGCAGCCGAAGGAGUAGGCCGUGUCACCGACAAGGGUGAUCAGUGGCGGAGGUAGAGGGUGGCCGGGGUGGGCCAUGGCCCACCCUGAGAUUUGAAAACAACAUUUGUAUCGUAGGAGAAAAGCUAAAAAGUAAAAGGAAAAAAAUAAGUGUAUAUGUACAGUACACUGCUGGCCCACUCUGGCCCAGUGGGCUAGGUCCGCCACUGAGGGUGAUGGUACGGGAGCAUCUUGUUCCCGGCCCAGCUCCCUAUGUUCCAUCCAUGUGAUCAAGUAACUCAAUGGUUAACCGAAGCAAAACUACAUUCUGCAAAAGAGAUUCAUUUUUAAGAAUAUCUUGAAUAAUCUUCCCUGUCAACAGACGAGAUUCAUUUUUAGGAAUAUCUUGAAUAAUCUUCCCUGUCAACAGAUGUAAUUCAAAUAAUUGGUACCACAAACUAGUAAGAACUCAUAAUAUUGUGAAAUCAAUCUGUAAAUGACCUUGCAGUAAGCAUAAAUGAAAGGAAAAAAAUCCAAUACUAAAACCAACCUUAGGAAGCCAUACUACAGAGAUCAUACCGUGCCUAAUUUUUGCCCAUCACACCUGAGAUUUUCUAAAAUCUCCUGGUCUCUAAAAUCUCCUGGUAAUAUGUGUGCUAAUCUAAUUCUAUACAGCUGAGAGCUGAUACCUAUCAAAAUUUUCUUCCUCACAUGGCCCUCAAAUCGUUCAAAGACAGUCUUCCUUUCCCCCCUUGUGUACAUGUAAUCAAGAAAAUCUAUGGGUCUGCUCGGUUGCAGGGCCCUGCAGGGUUUGGGUGAUCAGCCAAAACCUGCAGGGGUUAGUUCCUCUAUGGGAGCAAAUCCUUGUCAGGUUUGAGCCAUUUGGUUGAUCCUUGCUAAAGAGGGAUUUUAUCUCCACGUAUAUAAUCUCACAUAUGGUAUAUAUACUCCAUCUAUGUGCUGAAGCACAAUCAACUAGAAAAUUCCAAAUUCAGAACUAUCAAAUACAGUUGUUCGCCACGGCAUAACAUUUUGAUUAGCCAAAUUUCAGAAAAAAAGACUAGCAGCCAUAAUCAUUGUACAACUUUUAUUAUUCACCUCGGUUGAGCUCCUGCCGUGCCGAACAAACGGCGCUCAUCUUGCCAAUAUCGCAUACAUCAUGGAUGGAUGAGUUAUCUGAAUCCCUCUGGCAAGGAAAUAGGAGAAUUAGGAAACAUGGCAAUGUACAUGCAAGAGGCAACAAUGCCAAAGCACAUUGUUAAUUAUAGGUUUCAGAAAUGAACAGAAAGACCUAAAGUUUAGGCUUACAAAAUGUACAACUUAUACAACUUGACAUUUCUCCCAAACACUUAGUUCUGACUAUAGUACAGCCAGUAUACUUGAUCCCUAUAGGGCAGCUUGUAUAGAUAAACCACAUAAUGCAUAAGAAACAACAGAAGAACACCUGUUGGCAAGUAAUUUUUACUGUUCUUUUAAGAAACAAUUAAAGAACUCAGGAUUGACUUCUUGCUAGAUUGUAUUUCUUCUUAAUGUACACUAUGCAGACUCACAUUUUGGCACGACCAAAAGAGAACUGAAAAUAGACUUCGGAUAUUCCCGUCUAAGAACGAGAUUUGUUAACAAAAUGGAGUGACUAAUAACUGAUUAACUAGUGCACCUGAAGCAUUACUUAUCUUUUUUUUUGCGGAUGCAACAUUACUUAUCUAGAAACCCAUAACCCCAAGCUCUAGAUAUCCUAUCUCAGAACAACAAUACAAUCAUGGUAUACAUUCAGCUUAAUUUUGUUCUGUCUAGAACAAAAAUGGAGUGACCAAAUAAGAAAGGAGUUCAACACACAAUAUUUCUGUCCAAUAUAGAUCUUGAGACUAGGUUUACAUAUUUCUGUUCAGAACAUCGAUGAUGUAUGAAUAAUUGUUUCUAGGCCUAUAAGUUUGAUCUCUUCUAUCACUAAUUUGCGCACAAAUCCUUCGGGUCAUUAUCAUUUCGUCAUUAGUCAGCCAAAUGUAAGUUGUGGUCACUCCAUAAUAUCAAACUCAACCAUUUUCCCUACUUCUAUCACCCUUCCACAAACCUAACUAAUUUACAUUAAUCUGGCAUGUAUGUGAAGUUUAUCUCAGACCAUCGCAGCAUAUAUGCUUAACUUGAUGCUAUUCGCAUACUAAUAUCUUUAGAAGUGUUGAUGCAAAAACCUUGCAACCCUGUAGUUCACGCUCAUAGUCAAAUUAUUUGAUAAAUUAACCCACAGAAUUGUAUAGAACUACUAAGACAAGGAUCCGGCAAAAACUCCGAUAAAGGGUGUUUCUAUUAACUCAAAACAUACCAUCAACUGGAUACAAAGCAUGAUGAACAACACCCGACCUGUGCAUAAUUAAGAGGCACACAACCAAAAACCAAAGUCUCGCAAAAGAAAAUCAAAAAUGGACAUAUCCGCAACAGUAGAGUCAUAUGAGACCGACACUAUGCCUAUGUCGAAGGAGGUGGUGGGCCGAUCCAAAGAUUAUGGUGCAACCCAUGUUGGGUGAAAACUUCCUUGGCCACCCACUCCAACCACAUACACACCAUCUUGAACAGCAGUUGUUGUUCGGUGUAACAUAGACCACAUAAAAAAGCAAGCUCGUAUAGUGGAAAAUAAACUAGAAAAAGAAGAUCAGAUUUUGCCAUGUUAAAAUAUUUUAUUCCGAUUGGAUUCGGUUAACCUGACACAAGGACGAAUGUGUUUCGCUGGAAUCUCACUCUAUCUGGGUCUUUAACAGUCGACUCUAUGUAUUGCUCACGCAUUCAGAGAUCCCAGUGGAUAAUAGUAAAAAAAAUUGAAAACCAAAGGUUCUACAAAAAGUUCGCGUGACUCUGGUUCAUUUUCAUGCUAAGCUCGCGUGACAAAGAGUGAUCCUGAGACGUCUUUUAAUGCAUGGGUGCUUAGAUGAGGUGCUAAGUGCAUUAAAAGAAUUAGCAACUAAACUACUAAUGCAUAGGUGCUUAGUUUUUAGUUGCUAAGCUUCCUUCAUUUAAUUAGGUAUAGACUUAGAUUUGUGUUUUCACCUAGGUACACACGCUUAGCAUGCAUCAUCUCCUCCUCAGAUCACCAUACUACUCUCUCUUCCUUCUUAAUUAAUAUGCCACAUCAGAUUUUUUGCUUAGCCGGCAAUUUUUAGCAUUUGAAGAGGCCUGAUCCACACCACUUUUGUCACAUGUCGACCUAGUACGAAAUUUUGAAACAAGAUGGCAAAACAAAAUGAUUAACCCUUCAACUUGAGCCGCAACAACACGUACAUACAUUUGUGUGGGCGAACAAACAAACACAGCAGCCACCUGAUCCAACAAGCCAGUAUGCCACAUACGUAGGAAAGCCUGUGAGCCAAAGAUCCUUUGCUCGUUGACAAGGAGAAGAUUUAUAAAAGAACAUAAUGGGAUGUUGUGGUGAGCGACUUUGGGGCAGGCAAAGCGAAAAAAAGUCGAUUUGUUACUAGAAGUAAACCUGGCUACACAUAACAAUUUUGGAAGUACCACAACAAACCAGCAACGAUGGAUACCACAUGGAAGUGUAAAGCAACAAUAUAACUAUUUUUGCCGAAAAAACUUUCGAUCUAUUCAUCAACUAUCAAAGUAAUAAAAAAAUAUCAAAAAUAAAAUUCACAUCCAGAUCCGUAGAACACCUAGCGACAACUACAAGCACUGGAGCGAGCCGAAGGUGCGCCGUUGUAAGGGCAUUCUUGUCCCUUUGUAGCUUUGGUGAUUAAUGACAAUGUUUUUGCGGACUAAUCAUGUGUAUUGAGUUUUUCAGAUAUAUCAUGACUAAACAAAAAAUGAUUUGAUGCCCCUCGAAGAUUAUUGAAGACGGCGUUUCUCUAUGGUUCUUUUCGGUGGAGUUGAGUCGUAGAAAAGUCGUACUAUUAAGAGGGGGUCCGCUUUGAAAAGGUUUGGGUGGAAUCUCACGUACACGUCCCUUUUGCACUGCCUUUCCUUUGGCUCUUUGGAGUUUCCUCCGUCUCACCUUGUCUCUACAAAAUGAAGUACUCCGAGUUGCUCUUCUUAGGCUAGCGGUAGUACUGCUCCUCUGAGCGGUACUACCGCAGGAGCCAGCGGUAGUACCGGGCUCCGGCACGGUAGUACCGUGGGCCUCUACGGUAGUACCGCUUCUCCUGAGCGGUAGUACCGUGAGUUCUGGCUUGGCGCUGCUGCACAAGCGGUAGUAGGGACGGAUGUAAUUUUUUACAUCCGCGCCCUACGCGGUAGUACCGUGCUGCGGCGCGGUAGUACCGUGUCGCCUGGCCUUCACGGCAGCAGGAGCGGAGGUAGGGGCGGAUGUAAUCUUUUACAUCCGCAGCCUUCACGGUAGUACCGCACCCCUGGUUCGCGUUAGUAUCGUGUCGGAUUUUCGCAUCGAUAAAAUCUCAGCGGAGGUAGUCACGGAUGUAAUUUUUUACAUCUGUGCCUACCGUGCCUGGCCUGUGGCUGCCCUGCGGUAGUACCACAUAGGGCCGCGGUAGUACCGCGCCUGCGGUUCUACCGCGCCCUGUCUGCACUCUUUUGUUCAGGUCCAGGCUCUGCCACGCCCACGGUAGUACCGCGGUCCGCCGCGGUAGUACCGCAGGCCCGUGCGGUAGUACCACUCCUGUGGUGCGGUAGUACCGCUCCUGUGGUGCGGUAGUACCGCGGGUCGCGGGCUGAGUGGUGGGUAGCGGUUGGAUUUAUCCUGAUUUCAUUUCAGAAUUUCCGGCGAUACGUGUUCAGUGAGAGGAGACGUUCCCGUCAACUAUGAGGCGCCUAUGGCAACUUUGUAAAAUCUGAAGAUGCUGUGCCGGCUCGGUCUCUCGGAGGUGCUCAUAGGGGUAAGAUGUGUGUGUGCAUUCAUAGGGGUGAGCGUAUGCGCGUAUAUAUGAGCGCUUGUGACUGGACCGAUGUUCACAGAAAAAAAACAACGUGUCAGCCAGUCUGUCCACUUUUGAUUUUCUUUUUCGCAUUUUAUCCAACGCUUUUAAUAGUUAUUAUUUUGGUUUCCUAUUUUUCUUCUUUCUUUUCAUGUAUGUUUUUUUGUUUUUCUCCCUUUUUCCUUUUAUUUUUUAAAUUUUAAUUCACAAUAACUUUAAUAAUUGUGAACAACCAAAAAAAUCAUGAUUUUUAAAAAUCCUUGCUGUUUUUUUGCAAAUUUAUGAACAUUUUUAAAGUAUAUGAACCUUUUCUUAAAAUUCGUCAACACUACUGAAAUCAGCGAAAAAAUUUAACCUUCACAAACGUUUUUUGAUUUUUUUUUCAUUCUGAACAUUUUAAAAAAUCAUGAACAUCUUAUGAUUUAUUGAAGUUUUUCAAAUGAAAGAAAGAUAGUUGAAUUUUUUUCGAGGUAGCAGUGGAGCAAGCGUGAAAAAAGGUAAGUGGGUGAGAGGAGCAGGGAGCCGAGUUGGGCGAGCGAGAGCUUCAUGAACCAGCCCAUGUGAGUGUUAUAACAAAAAUUCCAUGUUUUCAACAUGGAAUAUGAUCUACCAAGGGGCAUCACGCACGCACUGCACAAGGCUCCUGCACACACUACAACAGCCUGGAAGGUGCUCACCUAGCUAGGUAGAACGAGUCGCCAUCAGAGGAGGACAAGGACCGGACCUCGACUGGGGUUCGAUCACCACGGCGACACACUUCACAAGGCCCGAUGUUCCGAUCCCUUUCCUGUUGGUAGCAUCCCAGUAUAGACAUAACACAAUCUUGUAAUUACACUCUCACUUGCAUGGCAACUAAAAAGCAUAUGUUUCCAUGGCAACUAAAAAGCAUAUGUUGCCAUAUGGCAGCCAAAAUCAUGUGAACUUCCUGUUAAGUUUUAUAAAUUCUAUGUCAACUAAAAAGGAUAUGUUGACAUGGCAACUAAAAAGCAUAUGUUGUCAUGACAAAUAGGUUGCCAUGCCGACUCAACUUAUGUUGCCAUGACAAAUUAAAUCACAUAUUAUUUUCCAUGGUAAUAAAGCAGUAUAUAUUACCACGGGUAGCUCCAUGGCAUAUUGGAGUUGGGAAUUUUCAUAUGUAUUUUUCCAUGGCAAAGUUUAAUAUGUAUCAGCCAUGGCAAUUUUUGUUUAUAACUCUGUGUUUACAUUGUUCAUUAUUCUAUUUUCAAUGGCAAUUUCCAUAUAAAGCAUGGGCCAUAUUAAGUAAAAUACCACAACAUAUUCUAAUACGUAUCUGCCAUGGCAUUUUUGUUCAUUUUCCUGUUUUUUUUGCCAAGGCAAAUUCUAAUAUGCAUCUACAUUUUUCCCAGGGGAACAAAAGCAUUUAUAGUUGUCAUCUAUUAAAAGAAAAAAUUUCCUCUUUUUUUCUUUUCCAUCCUUCCGCAAAAGAAAAUGUUGGCAAAUUCAUGUGGGCCCAUAAAAGCAUUUUUUGCCAAGCAAAAAAUGUUCAUGGAAUUCUUAUAGUUUUUUUACCAUGGAAAAUUUUUGUAAUUGACGCUGGAAAUUUAGUUUAUUGACCAUGGCAAAUUGUAAGUACUUUAUCGACCAUUGCAUAUUCAGUAGUUGACCCUGGCAAAAUGAGUUUAUUGACCAUAGAAAAAUUUAUUUAUUGACCGUGGCUAGUUUCUUAAUUGAUCAUGGACAAAUUUAAGUCUUUUUUCAAUGGUAGCAAAUUUGACUAAUUGACCAUGGCAAAUUUUAAGUCCUUCCUCGGUAUGGUAAAUUUCGUAAUUGACCAUGGCAGAUUUAAUUUGUUGACUAUGGCAAAAUUUAAGUCCUUUUUUGGUAUGGUAAAUUUAGAAAUUGACCAUGGCCAAUUUAGUUUAUUGACCAUGGCAAUUUUAAUUACUUCUUCGACCAUGGAUAAAAUUAGUAAUUCACCAUGGCAGUUUUUUUGAUAGAUCAUGGCAAAUCGUUAAUUGAGCAUGGCAAAUUUUAGUAGUUGACCAUGGUAAAAUUUUAGUAAUUAAGCAUGGCAAAUUUAGUAGAGCAUGGCAAUUUUGUAUUAAUUGACCAUGGGAAAUUUUACGUACUUUUUUGACCAUGACAAAUUUUGUAAUUAACCAUGGCAAAUUAUUUGGUUGAUCAUGGCAAUUUUUAGUAAUUGACCAUAGAAAUUUUAGUAAUUGAGCAUGGCAAAUUUGUAGUAAUUGACCAUGGCAAAUUUUAAGUACUUUUUCGACCAUGGCAAAUUUGUAGUAAUUGACCAUGGCAAAUUUUAAAUACUUUUUCGACUAUUGCAAUUUUUCGUAAUUGACCAUGGAAAAUUAUUUAGUGGAUCAUGGAAAAUAUAGUAAUUUAGUAAUUGAGCAUGGAAAGUUUGUAGUAAUUGACCAUGACAAAUUUUAAGUGCUUUUUCGACCAUGGCAAAUCUAUAAUACCUAAAUUGUUCAUCCCCUCUAAACUAAUUCUCUUGACAUGCACCCUAUGCACAUCAAUAGCCCCACUACCUCAUCACCCUUGCUAAGUCAUUUCUUUUUACAAAAGGAUUCCUCCGCAGCACAACAUAAAGGUUCAAACCUGUGUGUCCAACUAACUUUAUUACUUUCCAUUGACGAGGAUUAACACUCCACUUCCUUCCUAUGCAUCAACUUCCACUCCCAUUUCUCCUUUGGCUCAGCCACGAACCUUCCUGUUAACACCCUCACAAAGUCAUACCAAUUGAUGGCAUGCAGCCCCCCAUCUCAGCAACCUGCUACCUCACCAAAAACUGCAAUUUGGUGAAGCCAAAUCAUCCUAUGGCUCACUUAUCUACCCCUCCAUAUCUGAAAUAGUUGUUGGCCUCUUGCGUCCCCCUUCCUCAUUACUCCUUCAUCAUGUUCGACUACACAUCCACCUUCUUGCAUUCCUUUUGGUAAUGAACACUUCCAAUCAAUGCAAGAAAAUGAAAAGUAUUUUCUGGCAGCCUAUUUAUUCUGGUAUCUCCAUCUUCCUCUCCUGCCGCCAUCGCACGGAUGCGAGCUCCUCCGCUCUCGCCCACGGCCAGAUCCGCCAGUGCCCCGCUGCCGGCGACCAGAACCAGUAGGACUGUCGCGUCCCUCCUCCUCUGUUUCCUUCCCGUCCUUCUCCUUUCUCCUCUGUCUCUCUCUCCCUCCCUCACGCAUCAUCUUCUCUUUUCAGGUACUUCUACAGCAGCCCCGCCAUGGACCUCAAGCCACCGGCCGUUCAACCAAGGCCUUCCUAGGAUCCGCGACCCUGCCUCCUCAUCGCACAUGCCCGGCCGCGCCACCGGAGCUCCCCUGCAGGUCGCGUGCCCGUCGCCAUCACCCUCUCUUCUUCCCCUAUCCAUUCUACUCUAUCCUCUCUGAAUACCUCUCUCUCUAUUCAAGUGCAGAUGCAGUGCUCCCUGCCACCCGCUGCUGUUCUUCGCGUCGCCCCGCGCUCCGCCUCGCCUGGUCGCCUGCCUACGGGGCCGUGGUGGGUUUUUCUGUUAGAUCAGAUCUGAUGGCCAUUUUUUGUUCCCUCUUUGUAGAUAUCAGCUCUCUCCUUCAAAUCGGCUCAAAUGGCCACCUUUCUUCAUUUCUCUGUCUAUGUCUAGACAUGAACCAUAUCUCAUCCUCUUCUUGUUGGCUUGUUGGUUUUGUAACUCAUGAACGAAUAUAAGUUGGUAGGCUUUGAUGUGAACAAGCAGGGUGGGACUAUUAAUUGAAACAUGCGAUGAGAUAGCAAGCGAACGGACGAACGAACACGAGCGCAUAGUGCUUGCGAAGGCCCAUCGGUGAAAAACGAUCGAAUCAUUUUUCUCAAGUGGCUCACGGCCCACAAAAGGCCUAGCAGUCCAGCCAGUAGGCCCAGUCAAUGGACGAAAAUUAUGGGAGCAAGGUGGACGGACCCCAAAUUAAUACCACCUCGUUUAUAUUACGAUUUUGUCUAUACAAACCAUAAAAACAUAUUAUGACAUGAAAAUAAAGCAUAUUGUGAUGGUGAACCCAAGGACUCAAUCCGUGCUUUAUUAUUAGGGAAAGAUAUGAUCAAUGCAAAAUGCAACUUUAUAACACAGGAGCAUAUGCAUGAGGAGAGUUAAUAAGAUGGCAUGUUGGAGGUACGAAACAAAGAUGCUACAGCAAUUAUACAUAGCAACCAAGGGCAUGGCAUCAUAGUACACAUAACAAAUAGCAAAUAAUAUCAUGGCAUCAUAUACAUAUGGCUCAUGGAUUAGUGGGAACCAACAUGACAAGAUGGAAUGUUGAAACAGCUUCAGCAAGUGUAAAAAUAGCAACAUUAUGAUAGCAUGUUUGCAAGCAUGGAACAGAGGCAUAUGUCAUCCACAAUUUAAAACAUUGGCAUGUGAACAAAUUACUCAUAGCAUACUUCAAAACAUGUAAUUGGAGAAAAUCCAGAAGAGGGGUGAAUCAAUCAAUAACAAGCUCACAACAAGGCAUCAUGAAGUUAACAGAAUACUGGAACAACAUAUAGGCAUGUUCAUGGCAAUGAAAACAUAUGCUACAGGACAUAUAUACGGCAUCCAAAGGCAUGUCAUGAUAGAGCAUAACAUGGACAUCAAAACAUGUCAACAAAGUAUCUCCAGAUUGUGCAUGGUUUAAUUGGUCGCAUCAAGCCAACAUGGCAUCAUGAUAUGACAGAUUCAACAUUGACGGAACAUUAACAGCGAGUAGCCCACUUCACAAGCUUGAUGCACUCACUAAAAGGCAUAUAAAAAUACAUGGAUUGCAUUCCUGUAAAGAUGGCGUAUAUAUGCUUCUAAACCAUGUAGACAUGAUGCUCAAAAGAAAACCACACAAAAAGAUAUAAAAAUGACAAAUAGGCAAGUUAUAACAAUUUUCAGCAGUUAACAGCAACAUGCUUUUUUUGCAACAGAGAUUAAGAUAUCAAGAUGCACCCUAACAUGGAUGCAGAGCACACCAACAUGUAGAGCAUGAAGAGCAGAACAUUAACAUAUCAAGAUCAUCAUUAUAGGAUCAACAGAGACAAAGUUACACCACUCAUAGGAUGCAUACAUGAUGUUAACAAUCAGUAGAUUACAUCAGUUUAUAUCACUUAGAAGUUUUAUAACGAUGAUUAAGGCAUCAAUAUGAACAGCAACAUGAAUGAAAAAUGCAACCAUCAUGUAGAGCAUGAAGAGGCGAACAGUUUGACAUAUCAUGCACGCAAAAUGGGGCAAUAUGCAUCAAGUUAUGGACAUGGCAAGAUGCACACAUGAAAUGAUUUUAGGAAAAGACGAUGAAAAAAACAACCUCGUGGAAAAGGCUAGACAGGGACGUGCGGGGACGGAGCGGUUCGGGACGGCACAGGCGCCGUUUGGGUCGAUGGUUGCUGGCNNNNNNNNNNNNNNNNNNNNNNNNNNNNNNNNNNNNNNNNNNNNNNNNNNNNNNNNNNNNNNNNNNNNNNNNNNNNNNNNNNNNNNNNNNNNNNNNNNNNNNNNNNNNNNNNNNNNNNNNNNNNNNNNNNNNNNNNNNNNNNNNNNNNNNNNNNNNNNNNNNNNNNNNNNNNNNNNNNNNNNNNNNNNNNNNNNNNNNNNNNNNNNNNNNNNNNNNNNNNNNNNNNNNNNNNNNNNNNNNNNNNNNNNNNNNNNNNNNNNNNNNNNNNNNNNNNNNNNNNNNNNNNNNNNNNNNNNNNNNNNNNNNNNNNNNNNNNNNNNNNNNNNNNNNNNNNNNNNNNNNNNNNNNNNNNNNNNNNNNNNNNNNNNNNNNNNNNNNNNNNNNNNNNNNNNNNNNNNNNNNNNNAAGGCGGCGGCGCGGCGUCCGGCGCGGGCGGCAAGGGACGACCGAGGCGGCGGGGACGGAUGGGCCGUGCGGCGGCGAGAUCCGGGCCCACGCGGGUCCGGGAUGGACUCCACGGGCCGUCGGCGCGGGGAGAGAGAGGAGGAACACGUGGCGGCGUGUGGUUGGAGGAGAGCGGCGGUGGGGUGAUGUGGCGGCUUGUGGUUGGCCUGGGCGACGUGGCCGGCGGACAUGUCCAGCGUGCGAGGAUUUGUCCGGCGGCGCGAGGAGGAAGAUUCCUAGGGUUUGUACCGCGAAUUUCGGGGGAGGGGACUUAUUUAUAGGUAGAGGGAGCUAGGAGAGUCCAAAUGAGGUGCACUUUUCGCCAACACGAUCGUGAUCCAACGACGGAGAGCAUGGAGGGGGCUUAGAUGAGUUAGUGGGCUGUUGUGAAGAGGUGCUGGGCUGCAAAGAGAAGGGGUCUGACGGUUAACGCGGUUAACCGUAGGGGCAUCAAAUGACCUCCAAAUGGAACACAAUUUGUUAGGCGGUCUACAAGUGAUGUACCAAGACCACUCGUCAACUCUCGGCCCAUUCCGAGAACGUUUUUCUGCGGCUUACAAAAUGAGAACUGGGAGGUGCGACAGGUGCACGUGAGAGUGUUUGAAUUCGAAACGGACAAUGGAGAUGCAAGUUUUGAAAAACAUGCAGAUGAAAUGCAGAUGAUGACAUGACAAAAUGCAACACGCAAGCAAAAGACAUUGCUACAACGGUGAAUAACUGGAAGACAACUGGCGCAUCGGACUCGGGGCGUUACAAUCUGGCACUCUUUCUUUGGCAUGGCCGGAUCACACAAUGAUAUCAACGUGCUUCAGCGCUCGCCGGUGUUUGCUAGGCUUGCCGAAGGAUACUACUUGGGUGACAGUAUCUAUCCUCAGUGGACCAUUAUUGUCAAGACAAUACCCAACCCUGUGGGGGAGAAGAGAAAAAGAUUUGUCCAAGAGCAAGAGAGUGCUCGGAAGGAUGUCGAACGUGCCUUUGGUGUUUUGCAAUCUCGAUGGGGUAUCGUUCGGUAUCCUGCUAAUACUUGGAGCACGCAGAAACUUUGGGAGGUGAUGACUGCUUGUGUGAUCAUGCACAAUAUGAUCGUAGAAGACGAGCGCCCGGAACGUCUAUACGAUCAAGGGUUUCAGUUUCAGGAGAAUGUUGUGCCUGAGCAUGAAGGAGCGGCAAUGUUUGAACAAUUCACCCAAUUUCAUCAUGGCAUGCGUGAUUGGAAAACUCACGUGCAACUGCAAAAUGAUUUGGUUGAGCGUAUGUGGGCUCAUGUUGGCAACCAAUAGAUAUAUCUUCUUUUAUUCGUUUGCAAAACUAUGUGAGAACUAUGUGAGACAUUUUUAUUUUUAUUCGGCUUGUAAAACUAUGCUAUUUUAUUCGGUUCAAACUAUGUUAUUUGACUAUAUAUAAAAAUGCAAAUUCAUCAAUGCAAAAUAGGGCGGCCAGCCGGCCAGGCCGGCACAUAUGAGUCGGCGUGUUGGGCGCAUUGCCGACCCAUAUCUAAAAUAGGGCGGACGGCCGGCCCAAACGGACAAAAAGCGAACGAAAUCGCCGUCCGUUUGGGUCGCCCCAUUGGAGCUGCUCUGACCAUCUACCGACGUUGGAUAAUGUGGCCAAAAGAAACGGGCCCGUGGAUGGAACUUGUGCUAUUUGUGGUUUAGGGUAAAACGCAAAUCACGUGUUUUUCGGCUGUGCUCUCGCUAGAUUUGUGUGGAGCGCUGUUAGGGAUACAUUCAAGCAAAGCUGGAACCCACUCUCUAGCGAUGACCUGCUUACCUUGCUAACGGCUCAAAGGGGCGCUAACGUUAGGAUUGUUUGAAGAUGCGUAGGGGUGCCGCUUUGGUCGUUUUGGUAGGUUCGGAACAAAAUUACGAUUGAACAAAAGUUUUCUGCUCACCCAGUUGAUAUUAUAUUCAAAUGUCACAUUUUUCUAUAGACUUGGGCGUCAUUGGAAAAGACGCGUGAUGCGGACCGCAUGGACCGGAUCACGGAGCAGAUCAAGAUGACUAUGGAAGGCACGGCAAACUAAUACGCCAGUUUGAGACUUUUGCGAUGAGCCUGUUUGAUGUUUAGUUGGCCUUUUGGGCUUUUGGCUCAUGUUAUGUUGGCUUGAAACUGCUCUUAUUUAGCCUAGACUAUGCCGGGUUGUGAGGCCCGAUGUUUUACCUCUGUUUGGUUUGUAUGUUUGAAACUAUGUGUGGAUGCUGCCUAGUGGCUUUAUUAAUUUAAAGCCGGACGCCUCUAGCGCCUCCGUUAAAAAAUAUAAAAAACAUCAUAUAUGACUGUGAGGAAUAGACAUAUCACAAAAAUAGACUGCCAGAAACACUUAGUGCGUGAGAUGGUUGGGAUUAGGCUCAAUUUUACUUGUCCUAAAAUGUGUAAUCAAGGAACUCAAAUAAAGAUUCAGGUGAUCUGAUUGAGCAAUUGUGGGCAUUUCAUAUGGCAAUUAGAACAUGUGUGCCGAUAAAUUCAAUUCAAUUAUGAACUAGUUUAGUUCAAAACAUUAUGUUUGGAUUGUAAUAUUUAUAUUUUAACGACUAGUAAAAGCACCAGAUGUUCAACAAGUUUUUUCAUAUAUCGAUCUCAAAAGCAAAAGAACCCGAUGUAUGUGCCAAAGACCUCAAUUUUUGGCCUCCUUUUGACCCACCAUUUGCGAAAAGCAUUUCAACAUGCUAGCCUGGUAGUGUUGAACAUACUUGGCGCAUCGGGAUCCGAGUCAGACGCCUUCACGUACAACAUCUUGAACUCCUUGGAAGCGGCCUUCAUCGCAAGCUUACUCUAGAGGUUCAUCAUCUUAUUUGCAUGCCCAUGAGACAUGCCAAACCUCUCUGACUUAUUUUCCACCCUCACCCCAUAGCGCUUGGAAUAUGCCCCAUCCUUAUUCGCCAUGAUGUCCUCGUACUUCUCGGUCAUCGUGGUCGCCACCCCUUAUUACUCUUUUUCCUGUUCUCCCAACCCCCCCCCCUUUCUAGCAACAUGUGUUGCCAAUACAAUCCCUCCUUUUUGUUGCACCCGUUGGAUCACCAUCUUCAUCGUUUUAUUUGCCCAUGGCAGUCUUGAUGGAAUGGGCAAUAUAAUGUUGCUACUCUUGCUUUGCCCAUUCAACUUCAUCCAACAAUGCAUCAAUGUAAAGGUCUUCUUCUCCGUCUUUUCGUUCAAUGUGCGUGCACGUGUGGGCUAGCAAACUAAUACAAUGACGUGAUCACCAUGUUAUUAAAGGAAGACAAUGGGAUUGAGCAAAUCAAUCAAAUGACCAACACAACAUGAAGCAAAACAUGCGAGCUUGAGGAGUGACCCACCAAUUGGCCACCGCGUUUGGACUUGUGGAUACACACCNNNNNNNNNNACAUGUGUUGCCAAUACAAUCCCUCCUUUUUGUUGCACCCGUUGGAUCACCAUCUUCAUCGUUUUAUUUGCCCAUGGCAGUCUUGAUGGAAUGGGCAAUAUAAUGUUGCUACUCUUGCUUUGCCCAUUCAACUUCAUCCAACAAUGCAUCAAUGUAAAGGUCUUCUUCUCCGUCUUUUCGUUCAAUGUGCGCGCACGUGUGGGCUAGCAAACUAAUACAAUGACGUGAUCACCAUGUUAUUAAAGGAAGACAAUGGGAUUGAGCAAAUCAAUCAAAUGACCAACACAACAUGAAGCAAAACAUGCGAGCUUGAGGAGUGACCCACCAAUUGGCCACCGCGUUUGGACUUGUGGAUACACACCGUAAAACAUGUUGAUGGCCUCUUGAAUAGUGUAGCAUAAAUGUCUUACCAACUUAUGUCGCGAUCAUUGACCACUUUCGUGUGGUAGGGGUCGUGGAAAUUUUUCUCAUGAAACCUAUCAUGUGCACUUUGCCCAAAUGUCGAGCCUUGUUGCUCUGUGCCUUGAAACGGACACACUAGUGACCAAAGAUGCCUCUAAUGAGUGUAGUUUUACACUCAUUUCCAUCAUUAUUUAAAGAGGGUAUCCCAUAUAUUAUGAAAGAAUCACUCCGAUACUAUUGCUAAUGACUAAUAAAAAGCAACAAAAUUUGCAAGUACCUUCAUUUAUUUUGUUUCCGUGGAAAUGGGCCAUUUGAAGGAAGGUAGAGCAUAUAUAGGAAAUAUGAGGUACGGUGAUUAACCCCAAGAUAUCAGAGCCACAGAGACGCAACUAGGAGAGAAGACAGCGCCUGGUACUAGUGCACUUUCUCAUACCAGCGCUCGUACCCACUAACGUCGCUCUGAGGCAUCAACGAAACCAACUUUAGAAAAGGGUCAAGGCCCAUUCGUAAUAGAGCGUCUUGCAAAUCAUCCAUGAGAUGAGAGGAGUCAGAAACUCUAAGCCAUGACACCACCAUCCAUAUCCAUAGCCGCCGCCAUUCGCAUCUCAAUUCCCAUCUAUGUAGCAAUCAUCCCGAGCAGUUUUUCGUAGUUUGUAACUAGUGUAUGAAUCAUUCAUCUUCAAAUUUGAUCUACAAUGUCUUUCUUGUUUGAUUCGUAUGCGAUGUGUGAGUAGUCCACUUGAGCUAUUGGUUGAGGCAUAGCCUUGCAACCCCAUGUACUUUUGCACAUGAUUGUUGGUACUGAUUUUAAGAUCAAACGUAUUUAUGUGUAUCACAUCACAUUUGCCGCUUGUCUCUUUCUCGUUCUAAGACCCGGGAGUACUUGGGAUCCCAAGGAACGGUCAAGGAGGAGGUGAAGUGCAGGAAUGAGUGGAAGGCUAUGCAAAAAUCCGGUGAGAGUAAGGACAAGUACGGCAGCUGAAAGCAACUCCCUGGGGAAACGUGAGGUGCGGUCACCAAAUGCCCAAUGUGUUGGUCUGGGAAAAUCAUUCAUAAUUGAGGUAACCGGGCGAGAUGGCAAGGGCCUUGGUUGGACAAUUUAAUAACGAUGCAGUUGUUGGCCAGUCAUGGAAUCAUUAGGAUGCAUCCCCCACAUAUACACAUUGACAAAACAUGGCGGUGAUGUCUACCAGGACCAUGUUGAAUAUUUAGAUGAAAUCCCAAGGGCAAGUUUACGAAUGCAAGCUAAUACCUUACACCCUUUCCUAUUUUCCUAAUAUUGUUGUCUCUCUACACCUAUGCAAUUUUGGUCUGGUAAACUGAAACUCUUAGUGAUGACAAAAACUUGCAAGAAUCACCUCUUAGUUAGCAAUUCUUCAUGUGUGUUCGAUACCCAAGGUCAUCAUCUUUGCGUAAAAGGCAGGUACUAUCUCCAUCCGAAAGCAAAUCAAAGGUAAUCAACUCUUUUUCUGGCACCAUUACUAAGGAAGCAUCUCUGCAACCCCAGUUAGGUGACUAGAGUUUUUGUUUUAGAUUUUUUUNNNNNNNNNNNNNNNNNNNNNNNNNNNNNNNNNNNNNNNNNNNNNNNNNNNNNNNNNNNNNNNNNNNNNNNNNNNNNNNNNNNNNNNNNNNNNNNNNNNNNNNNNNNNNNNNNNNNNNNNNNNNNNNNNNNNNNNNNNNNNNNNNNNNNNNNNNNNNNNNNNNNNNNNNNNNNNNNNNNNNNNNNNNNNNNNNNNNNNNNNNNNNNNNNNNNNNNNNNNNNNNNNNNNNNNNNNNNNNNNNNNNNNNNNNNNNNNNNNNNNNNNNNNNNNNNNUUUUUUUAAUUUCUUUUUCUUUUGUAGGUUUAUAAUAACACAAAAAAAUAUCAUGGCUAAAAAGAUUUGGGAGUUUGCAAAUCCCAGUGAAACUUUAUGAGUGCAUGUAUUGCAUUUCCUAAUGUUGCAAACGAGUAAUUUGAAAUUAAACCUCAUCUUGUUACAGUGGUUCAACACAACCAAUUUGGAGGACACAGCCUCGCAAGGCCCCCACUUUCAACCCUUUCUCUCCCUCUCUCACGACCUGAGAAACAAGAGCUGAGUCGGCGCCUAGAGCACACAGAGUGGCCACCAUUCUCCGCCCUCAUGCUAGGAGCCUCCCCUUGCCAAGAGACCUUUCAUCCUGGAAUUGUCUCGUCACAUGCUUCACUCUCACAAGAAGAAUUGAGGAGAGAGACCCUAAAUAGAGCACAUAGACAAUGACAUAUCUGCAUCUGGUGACCGCCACAUAAUUCUUCUUCUCCCACAAGCCCAUCUCUCCUUAUUUGCUUCCUGAGAGAGGCACAAACUCCCGAAAGCUAAUGGUGGCCCUGCACAAUGGCCCACAACAAGAGGAUGCACACACAGAUAUGGCCAGAGAGGGUUGCAAGGUUGCCAUGCCAACAACAAAGGUGGCACACGGGCUUGGGAGGUGGGGAACUGUGACCUGGAUGAAGGUUGCAUGGACACAAGAUUGGGCAUGGACUUAGUGGACAUCCCGUGGAUAUGGAGAGGUUGGGAGGAGGGAGGAGUAGGAGACAUACGGACGGUGGAGGCUCUCAUGGAGGAUCCACCUGACAGGGAGGAGAGAGAGGGGGGAAACUGGCACUACAUGCCACGACCAACACACCCUUAAAAAUUUGGACAUUUCCACGCAUGGGGCCCAGUGGUGCCUCUGUUGCCGCCGAGCAUGCGCUCUUGGCACGGUCUUGUCGGGCAGAGAAACUAGCUAGAGCUAGAGGACGACCUGGCACAUGGGUCCUAAGGGAAGGGUAAGUGGGAUAUUUUUUUAUUUGUUUGUUCAACAUGGGUCCCACUUGUAAGGGAGAGGAAAGGUAGUUUUUCCCCUUGUUUCCUUUUUUACCCAGAUGGAAACUACCACUAUCAGGAGCAUUUUGGAAAAACUUCACGGUCAAAGGCAUUUAACAUGAUACUUACGCGCAUGUUCCAAGGGUUAUACCCAAAAAGAAGGUGAAUAUUUAUUUGAUACUUAUGCGCCUGUGGCCAGAUUGACCACCAUUGGAGUAAUACUCUCAUUGGUUGCCUCACACAAUCUUCUCCUUCAUCAAAUGUACACUAAGACAAUUGUCCUAAAUAGAGAGUUGGAGGAGGAAAUUUACAUCGAACAACCUGAUGGUUCUGUAGUGGAUAGUCAUAAAGGAAAAGUGUGUAAGUUGUUGAAUCUUUGUAUAGCUUAAAACAAGCACGUAAGAGAUGGUACGAGAAGUUCAAAACAACUUUUUCAUCUACUAGCUUUGUUGCCAACAAAGCCAACAAGUGUGUGUUCUACCGCCAGGGUGGGGGCGAGGGAGUUAUAUUGUGUUUAUAUGUUGACGAUACUUAUAUUUGGAACAAACCUCAUGGUCAUUGAGGAAGUGAACGAUUUUCUAAAUCAAAGCAUUGAGAUGAAAGAUCUUGAAGUAAUUGAUUUUGAACAUCAAGCUUUUGAGAGGUGGUGAUGGUGGGAUCACUUUUUUACAGUCUCACUAUGUGGAGAAGGUUCUGGAUCGCUUUUGAGAGGUGUUGAUUCGAAAUAACAAAUGGGAAGAACAAAUAAGAAACAAAGGAUCAAUUGAGAUAUUCUCAAAUCAUUGGGUCGCUUCUAUAUGUAGCUAGUACUACAAACCCAUGAGAUGUUCAUUAGCAUGCUCUUGAGAGGAUAAUGCGUCAUGUGAAAAGUACUAUGAAUUAUGGACUUCACUCUACCGAGUAUCCAAGAGUACUUGAGGGUUAUAGUGAUUGAAAUUGCAUAUCUUGUGCUGAUGAGCUUAAAGCCACGAAUGGUUAUGUGUUUACACUUGAUGGUGUUGUUGUUUCCUAGAAGUCUUGCAAGCAGACCAUCUUAAUAACGUCUACAGUGGAAGCAGAACUCACAACAUUAGACACAACAACUGUUGAAGCAGAGUGGCAUCAAGAACUUUUGAUGGACUUGCGGAUGGUUGAUAAACAAAUACCAGCUAUCGUCAUGGUGGUUGAAGCAGAGUAGAUCUUUAUAAAAACAAAUAAACUCUGGUAAUAAAAUAGUAAUCGUCAAGGUAAACAGUUCUAAGGAUAAUAAGAAGUCAUCCAGACAUGUGAGAAGGAGACUGAAAUAUGUCAGAUUUAUGAGAAACUCCGAAGGUAUGAAUUGGAAAUAUAAACACAUCAAAGAAUCUGGCAGAUCCCUUCACAAAGGGUUUAUCACAAAAUGUUAUAGACACCACAUUUAAGGGGAUGGGUUUGAGACCCACUACAUAAGUUGUUCAUGGUGAUAACUCAUUCUAUGUGAUCGGAGAUCUUGUGAAAUAGAAUUGGAAAUACAAGCUAUUUGAUAAAUGAGAGGAGAAUAUUUAUUUUAUAAAGAUCCACUCCGCAUGACACAAUUCUCUAUGACCAGCUGAUAUUUAUCUUCAUGUGUUCUAAAUGGCUUGGGUAGGCAAAGAUGUUGUCCUACAAAACAUCUAGAAAAAACACACCUAUAUGAGUUAGACUGUUAAAUUUUGCAGUCUGUGAGAGUUGGGCACUCUCUAAUAAACUUGUGAAGAUCCCCAGGAGUAUGACAUAUAUGCUCCUACUCAGAGGAAAGUUUUCAGCACUCUAAUAUCAGUCAAGACUUUUACGUAAAAGUCAUUUGCACAAAACUUGCAGUUCAAGGAGUAGUCCAUUGUUCAAGUUGUGACCAAGUAUAACGUGGAGUUUUAAGUGUAAGUUCAACUUACCAGUCUCCACCAAAACACUAGUAUAUAAACAAUGUUUUGGAACUAUUGGAAAGUUUUAUGUGGCUCGAAUCUGGUGGGAGAUUGUUGGAAUUAUUGGGCCUAGGCCACUUAAUAUUUCAAAAUAUUGUCAAUCAUUCAUUGUUAAUCCUAGAGGCCUGGCCCAUUCAUGCAUGACAAGGUGGUGUGAAAAGUUUAGUCUCGCCUCACUAGUGAAGAAUGUAUGAGACAAACUUAUAAUUGCAGCAAGGUAUUAUAGUGCGCCAUGUUUCGUAAUCGAGCCGGGCCGCGCUUAGGACCUAGCUAUGCCACGUGUAUGUGCUGCUUUAUUUUUCUCUCGUAAGAAAUAAGUUGAAACGAUUGCCUACUAGUGAGAGAUGAAAAUUGACAGACUCAGACGGUUUCCUCUUCGUCACCUUAGUGGUAUUAGUGUGCCCGUUUCUCUUCCACCACCGAGGGUUCAGUUUCAUCUUGUCUCGCCUAUAAGAGGUCACUCCUCUUCCCAAACGAAAUACACUUCCAUUCCCUCGUUCUAGAGCAUUGUGUCGCUUACCCCUUUCCCAUCUCGAUCCCCGACGUGCAAAGGGGAGUGGGACGGCAGCCUUCGAAACCUCGCCUCUUGUGAUCUGGUACGGUAGAGGGGCUAUUGAGUUUUUGGGGAGCGCCCUUGUGCGACUACUGGAUCCUUGUUCCUUAUGGGUGCAAACGACGACAUCGCUGAUGACGAGUUCCCUAAUGACGAGUUCUUCCCUGACAUCAACCGUCUCCUCGGUAACAUGACCAACGGCGCAUCUACAUCUACUUCCGUUGCUCCGUAUGUCAUGUUAUCCUCUCUGCUAGGGUUAAGGUUUGGCUUACUGCUAGUAGCAAUCGACAUGGAUAUGAUGCUUCUAGCUUAUGAUCUCGAUUGCCUGCCUAGCUUCAACAAUAUGUUGCUUGUUUCUAUUAUCAUCACUAUCAUAUUAUUCACGUUUAUCCACUAUUUUUCUGGAUUAAACUUAAUGGAAAAUUCCUCAAUCAUUCAACAACAAUUAUGACCGGAUCGGUGCUCAUACUAGAAAAUUAUUGUAGUUUGACUUUCAUGUAUUUCUUGGAUCCGCGGCGAAGCAUAGUCAUCUUAUUACUAUGUUAAGAUAAUUGUAAUUUCAAGAGAACUGGAGCAAAGAAAGACAUUUGGUGGAGUUGCUAGUCGGUGCUGAUGCGGCCAACCCCUAGGGUCUUUACUUCAUCUGGCGCUGACAACAACUACGUGACUAAGAAACAUGCUAAAAACGCACGGGGGUAAGAAACCAUGUCUCGAUGUAAACGUUUUUGCUCCAUGGCAAUGCACGGGCAUUUAGCUAGUAUUACCUCUGCAUCUUAAUAUAAGACAUUUUUGCAGUUCAAUUUAUGUCAGAAAUACAAAAAGAUACAGAGGUAGUAAGUUUUAGUGCAGGGACAAAUUAAGUAACAAUCCACAUAAACAAUGGCACCUUUCAUGGUCUACCACAAGAAUAUUGUUUCUAAAACAUUUAUUGGAAGGAGCAUCAUAUAUCAUAGAAGAUGUAAAGAGGUAUUACAACGACAAAACGGUUUAUCAGGAGAAUCUAUCAUUGUUCCCUUGUUUAGGGACUAGAGCAUGUCAUCCUUUCAUGCGUGUAGUUCUAUCGAAGAUUCAGGCGGCGGGCACUUGGGAUUGCACUUAGGGCAUUUAGACUUGCACUCAUCCAAAGUCUUGAAACAUGGGGUCUCCCGGAUGUCACAGCAGUAGCAGUCACCGAAGUCGCAACUCCAUUUGCCGCACAAUAUGACGGUAAACUUGGCAUCAUCUAACGAUGAUAUCGCGUUGGCCACGGUAGCAUUGUUAUCGCCACCGUCUAGAUAGCUUCGUUUUCCAGCCUCCAUACGACCUAAAAUUAUGCAUGUAGUGUUUUUAAUUGUUAGUCCUAUAAGAGAGAGAGAGAGAGAGAUUGAGAGAGAGUCCAUGCGUGUAAAAACUGAAGAAAAUAAAACAAGGGAAGAACCAAAACUAACACUGUGCAGUGACCGUGAGCCAUCCCACGAACAAGAUGGCCAUGGCAUGAACCCCUCUCAUUCUGGUUUAAUCUUUACUGAUUGCUUAGUCGAUUGAGUCAACUCUCCGCAAUGGGGUGGGUUACGUGAGACGAACAAGGGAUGACCAUGGCUGCGAUGACCCGAUCAUUAUAUAGAGGGUCAAAAUCUUAAUUAAGUAGGAGAUAAUAUUCCAAUUAAUUCUAAAGAUUAUUUGGUGCCAUAUAUACGUCGAUAUUAAUUAAUGUCGGAUAAUUUACAUCCACCCAUAUAUGUCGCCCUUUGGGUAAUUUGGUUCCAAAAAGUUGGUUGUGUCAGUCAAUCAAUUAUCUCCCCAAAAUAACACCCCGAAAAUUCACGCAUUGAUUGUUUCGAAGAAGAAGAAGAAGAAGAAGAAGAAGAAGAAUGCUAACCGAAACUACUAACUGGAGGGAAGGCAUCAUGAUUCCCCUCCCAAACACCGGCUACCGGAGCGGCAGGCAAUUGGAUCCAUUGACUCGUCGGUGAAGUGUGGAUGUGAGAGUUUACCCUAGCCGUCUAGGAUUAAGGGAGGUAAAUAACAUGUGGUCCCUUCUAGGGACAUAAUCUCAUUCAUCUUUUUAUGGAAACAACUCUAACAUUUGCAAAAACUAUGUGAAAAAACUCCCUCACUUUUUUUGCUUGUACUUCUAGUAGAAAAUGCUUUCAAAAAACACUGUCACUAGAAGGAUUACAUAUAGAAGCAUUGUUUGUUUUGUAUUAAAUAUUGGUUAACUGUCAUAUAUGUUGUGACACGUCUUAUGUCUCAUAUGCACACAACAUAUAAAAUAAAGAGUAAAUUCAAUUUUUCGCGCGGCAGGCGUGAUGAGCAAUCUCAAAUCAUUGAAAAAACGAGUAAAUUCCUUUUUUACCCCCAUCGAUCAUUUACGCUUGUGACAGAAUUAGUCCCAGUUUAGGAAAACUCUCAAUUUAUACCCCCAUUUAUCACCUUUGUGCCACAUUUUACCUCUUUGCAAUUUUUUCCAAUUUUGUGCUAAGUUGGCAUGGCACGUCAAUGUUUUUUUAUUAUAUAUUUUGCCUAUAGUUCAUUUCUUUUAUUUGACCUUGAGGUGGGUCACCUGUCAUUAUAGAAAAAAAAAAUGGUUGGGUACGCCCCGAACACAUGACCUCCCUUGGGGAAGACUUGUACAGGAUCUGUUCUUAGGUGAGAUCAAUGAAAUCAAUCUUUUUGAAGAUACAAAACAUGUUCAAAAAUUCUGAAAAAAAAGUGGAGACCUACAUCAAGCUCAAAAAGUUUCAGCUCCUAAUUCGAACUGCACUUAGAGGACCAAAAAAGACAAAAUCAGAUGUGAAUAGUGUCAAAUACUACUCAUCCCAAAGCGGACACUAUUCAUAAUCGAAUUUAUCUUUUUCGAAUUUCUAACUAUAGAUUGAGUUUUGAGCUGAUUUUUUUUUUGGAGUUGUAGACAUACCCCGCAGGUAUGUUGUACAUUCUUUUCAGAUUUUUUUUGGAUUGUCUAAUUAUGAAAUGUUUGAGUUGAUCAUAUGAUCUCACCUCAAGGGUUGAUCCUAUACAAGUUCUCUCUGACCUCCCCUCCUCUUCUCUUUGGGAGGGACCACAAUAAAAUUUGUCCCUUAGAAGCAAAAUAGAAAGAUUGAAGUUGGUCCGUUGGAUUGAGGGUUGAUGGCAUAGACUCCAUUGGAGGGAUCUAAGCCCACUUAAAUGUACAUUUCACAAACCCCCCCUUUGUGAAGUUAGAUAUGUCAAACGCCUUUUGCAGUUAUGUCCUUCAGCAUUUCAAUUUUGCACAGCGGUAAUGCCUAUUCUCAUAGAAUCCACGCAUAUUUAGAUACAUUAUUAUGCAAGAAAAUUGGGCAUGUUGGUCACUACAAAGUAUAACGGUAUUUAUCACAAAAUUUGAGUACACAACAUCAACGACAACAGAGCUUUAUCACAAAUAUUUUAGUACAUGACAAAACUGAGCCACCCCCUUCAAUCAGAACUAAACGUACAUGUCAAUCUAGAGCAUCCCUACCAGAGCACAACACAAGAGACAUACAUAAAUAUCAACAUGGGAGGAUCUUUGGUACAAGAACGGGUCAUGUUGGUGGUCGUGUCGAAGGAGUAUAGCUCGUAGAGCUCCUUAUGGUCUUUGACACAGCCGCCGAACAUAAAUGUCGUGCCGCUGACGGGAGGUAGGGGCACCUAGCCGGCCGAGUCGAGGGCAGACCAGGACUGCGCCUUGAGGUCGAAGGCAUACAUGGUGUUGGCCACUUGCAGGUGUGGGGUUAACUCGCAGCCGAAGGAGUAGGCCGUGUCACCGACAAGGGUGAUCAGUGGCGGAGGUAGAGGGUGGCCGGGGUGGGCCAUGGCCCACCCUGAGAUUUGAAAACAACAUUUGUAUCGUAGGAGAAAAGCUAAAAAGUAAAAGGAAAAAAAUAAGUGUAUAUGUACAGUACACUGCUGGCCCACUUGGCCCAGUGGGCUAGGUCCGCCACUGAGGGUGAUGGUACGGGAGCAUCUUGUUCCCGGCCCAGCUCCCUAUGUUCCAUCCAUGUGAUCAAGUAACUCAAUGGUUAACCGAAGCAAAACUACAUUCUGCAAAAGAGAUUCAUUUUUAAGAAUAUCUUGAAUAAUCUUCCCUGUCAACAGACGAGAUUCAUUUUUAGGAAUAUCUUGAAUAAUCUUCCCUGUCAACAGAUGUAAUUCAAAUAAUUGGUACCACAAACUAGUAAGAACUCAUAAUAUUGUGAAAUCAAUCUGUAAAUGACCUUGCAGUAAGCAUAAAUGAAAGAAAAAAAAAUCCAAUACUAAAACCAACCUUAGGAAGCCAUACUACAGAGAUCAUACCGUGCCUAAUUUUUGCCCAUCACACCUGAGAUUUUCUAAAAUCUCCUGGUCUCUAAAAUCUCCUGGUAAUAUGUGUGCUAAUCUAAUUCUAUACAGCUGAGAGCUGAUACCUAUCAAAAUUUUCUUCCUCACAUGGCCCUCAAAUCGUUCAAAGACAGUCUUCCUUUCCCCCCUUGUGUACAUGUAAUCAAGAAAAUCUAUGGGUCUGCUCGGUUGCAGGGCCCUGCAGGGUUUGGGUGAUCAGCCAAAACCUGCAGGGGUUAGUUCCUCUAUGGGAGCAAAUCCUUGUCAGGUUUGAGCCAUUUGGUUGAUCCUUGCUAAAGAGGGAUUUUAUCUCCACGUAUAUAAUCUCACAUAUGGUAUAUAUACUCCAUCUAUGUGCUGAAGCACAAUCAACUAGAAAAUUCCAAAUUCAGAACUAUCAAAUACAGUUGUUCACCACGGCAUAACAUUUUGAUUAGCCAAAUUUCAGAAAAAAAGACUAGCAGCCAUAAUCAUUGUACAACUUUUAUUAUUCACCUCGGUUGAGGUCCUGCCGUGCCGAACAAACGGCGCUCAUCUUGCCAAUAUCGCAUACAUCAUGGAUGGAUGAGUUAUCUGAAUCCCUCUGGCAAGGAAAUAGGAGAAUUAGGAAACAUGGCAAUGUACAUGCAAGAGGCAACAAUGCCAAAGCACAUUGUUAAUUAUAGGUUUCAGAAAUGAACAGAAAGACCUAAAGUUUAGGCUUACAAAAUGUACAACUUAUACAACUUGACAUUUCUCCCAAACACUUAGUUCUGACUAUAGUACAGCCAGUAUACUUGAUCCCUAUAGGGCAGCUUGUAUAGAUAAACCACAUAAUGCAUAAGAAACAACAGAAGAACACCUGUUGGCAAGUAAUUUUUACUGUUCUUUUAGGAAACAAUUAAAGAACUCAGGAUUGACUUCUUGCUAGAUUGUAUUUCUUCUUAAUGUACACUAUGCAGACUCACAUUUUGGCACGACCAAAAGAGAACUGAAAAUAGACUUCGGAUAUUCCCGUCUAAGAACGAGAUUUGUUAACAAAAUGGAGUGACUAAUAACUGAUUAACUAGUGCACCUGAAGCAUUACUUAUCUUUUUUUUUGCGGAUGCAACAUUACUUAUCUAGAAACCCAUAACCCCAAGCUCUAGAUAUCCUAUCUCAGAACAACAAUACAAUCAUGGUAUACAUUCAGCUUAAUUUUGUUCUGUCUAGAACAAAAAUGGAGUGACCAAAUAAGAAAGGAGUUCAACACACAAUAUUUCUGUCCAAUAUAGAUCUUGAGACUAGGUUUACAUAUUUCUGUUCAGAACAUCGAUGAUGUAUGAAUAAUUGUUUCUAGGCCUAUAAGUUUGAUCUCUUCUAUCACUAAUUUGCGCACAAAUCCUUCGGGUCAUUAUCAUUUCGUCAUUAGUCAGCCAAAUGUAAGUUGUGGUCACUCCAUAAUAUCAAACUCAACCAUUUUCCCUACUUCUAUCACCCUUCCACAAACCUAACUAAUUUACAUUAAUCUGGCAUGUAUGUGAAGUUUAUCUCAGACCAUCGCAGCAUAUAUGCUUAACUUGAUGCUAUUCGCAUACUAAUAUCUUUAGAAGUGUUGAUGCAAAAACCUUGCAACCCUGUAGUUCACGCUCAUAGUCAAAUUAUUUGAUAAAUUAACCCACAGAAUUGUAUAGAACUACUAAGACAAGGAUCCGGCAAAAACUCCGAUAAAGGGUGUUUUUAUUAACUCAAAACAUACCAUCAACUGGGUACAAAGCAUGAUGAACAACACCUGACCUGUGCAUAAUUAAGAGGCACACAACCAAAAACCAAAGUCUCGCAAAAGAAAAUCAAAAAUGGACAUAUCCGCAACAGUAGAGUCAUAUGAGACCGACACUAUGCCUAUGUCGAAGGAGGUGGUGGGCCGAUCCAAAGAUUAUGGUGCAACCCAUGUUGGGUGAAAACUUCCUUGGCCACCCACUCCAACCACAUACACACCAUCUUGAACAGCAGUUGUUGUUCGGUGUAACAUAGACCACAUAAAAAGCAAGCUCGUAUAGUGGAAAAUAAACUAGAAAAAGAAGAUCAGAUUUUGCCAUGUUAAAAUAUUUUAUUCCGAUUGGAUUCGGUUAACCUGACACAAGGACGAAUGUGUUUCGCUGGAAUCUCACUCUAUCUGGGUCUUUAACAGUCGACUCUAUGUAUUGCUCACGCAUUCAGAGAUCCCAGUGGAUAAUAGUAAAAAAAAUUGAAAACCAAAGGUUCUACAAAAAGUUCGCGUGACUCUGGUUCAUUUUCAUGCUAAGCUCGCGUGACAAAGAGUGAUCCUGAGACGUCUUUUAAUGCAUGGGUGCUUAGAUGAGGUGCUAAGUGCAUUAAAAGAAUUAGCAACUAAACUACUAAUGCAUAGGUGCUUAGUUUUUAGUUGCUAAGCUUCCUUCAUUUAAUUAGGUAUAGACUUAGAUUUGUGUUUUCACCUAGGUACACACGCUUAGCAUGCAUCAUCUCCUCCUCAGAUCACCAUACUACUCUCUCUUCCUUCUUAAUUAACAUGCCACAUCAGAUUUUUUGCUUAGCCGGCAAUUUUUAGCAUUUGAAGAGGCCUGAUCCACACCACUUUUGUCACACGUCGACCUAGUACGAAAUUUUGAAACAAGAUGGCAAAACAAAAUGAUUAACCCUUCAACUUGAGCCGCAACAACACGUACAUACAUUUGUGUGGGCGAACAAACAAACACAGCAGCCACCUGAUCCAACAAGCCAGUAUGCCACAUACGUAGGAAAGCCUGUGAGCCAAAGAUCCUUUGCUCGUUGACAAGGAGAAGAUUUAUAAAAGAACAUAAUGGGAUGUUGUGGUGAGCGACUUUGGGGCAGGCAAAGCGAAAAAAAGUCGAUUUGUUACUAGAAGUAAACCUGGCUACACAUAACAAUUUUGGAAGUACCACAACAAACCAGCAACGAUGGAUACCACAUGGAAGUGUAAAGCAACAAUAUAACCAUUUUUGCCGAAAAAACUUUCGAUCUAUUCAUCAACUAUCAAAGUAAUAAAAAAAUAUCAAAAAUAAAAUUCACAUCCAGAUCCGUAGAACACCUAGCGACAACUACAAGCACUGGAGCGAGCCGAAGGUGCGCCGUUGUAAGGGCAUUCUUGUCCCUUUGUAGCUUUGGUGAUUAAUGACAAUGUUUUUGCGGACUAAUCAUGUGUAUUGAGUUUUUCAGAUAUAUCAUGACUAAACAAAAAAUGAUUUGAUGCCCCUCGAAGAUUAAUGAAGACGGCGUUUCUCUACGGUUCUUUUCGGUGGAGUUGAGUCGUAGGAAAGUCGUACUAUUAAGAGGGGGUCCGCUUUGAAAAGGUUUGGGUGGAAUCUCACGUACACGUCCCUUUUGCACCGCCUUUCCUUUGGCUCUUUGGAGUUUCCUCCGUCUCACCUUGUCUCUACAAAAUGAAGUACUCCGAGUUGCUCUUCUUAGGCUAGCGGUAGUACUGCUCCUCUGAGCGGUACUACCGCAGGAGCCAGCGGUAGUACCGGGCUCCGGCACGGUAGUACCGUGGGCCUCUACGGUAGUACCGCUUCUCCUGAGCGGUAGUACCGUGAGUUCUGGCCUGGCGCUGCUGCACAAGCGGUAGUAGGGACGGAUGUAAUUUUUUACAUCCGCGCCCUACGCGGUAGUACCGUGCUGCGGCGCGGUAGUACCGUGUCGCCUGGCCUUCACGGCAGCAGGAGCGGAGGUAGGGGCGGAUGUAAUCUUUUACAUCCGCAGCCUUCACGGUAGUACCGCACCCCUGGUUCGCGUUAGUAUCGUGUCGGAUUUUCGCAUCGAUAAAAUCUCAGCGGAGGUAGUCACGGAUGUAAUUUUUUACAUCUGUGCCUACCGUGCCUGGCCUGUGGCUGCCCUGCGGUAGUACCACAUAGGGCCGCGGUAGUACCGCGCCUGCGGUUCUACCGCGCCCUGUCUGCGCUCUUUUGUUCAGGUCCAGGCUCUGCCACGCCCAUGGUAGUACCGCGGUCCGCCGCGGUAGUACCGCAGGCCCGUGCGGUAGUACCACUCCUGUGGUGCGGUAGUACCGCUCCUGUGGUGCGGUAGUACCGCGGGUCGCGGGCUGAGUGGUGGGUAGCGGUUGGAUUUGUUCCCCCACUAUAUAAGGGGGUCUUCUUCUCCAAGAAGACUUACCUCUUCCAUCCCUAAGCUCCAUUGUUGCUCCAAGCUCCAUUUUCGCCCGAUCUCUCUCCCUAGCCAAUCAAACUUGUUGAUUUGCUCGGGAUUGGUUGAGAAGGCCCCGAUCUACAAUUUCACCAAGAGAAAUUUGAUUCUCCCACUAAUCCCUAGCGGAUCUUGUUACUUUUGGGUGUUUGAGCACCCUAGACGGUUGAGGUCACCUCGGAGCCAUAGUCCAUUGUGGUGAAGCUUCGUGGUGUCAUUGGGAGCCUCCAAUUAAGUUGUGGAGAUUGCCCCAACCUUGUUUGUAAAGGUUCGGUCGCCGCCUUCAAGGGCACCAAUAGUGGAUUCACGGUAUCUCGCAUUGUGUGAGGGCGUGAGGAGAAUACGGUGGCCCUAGUGGCUUCUUGGGGAGCAUUGUGCCUCCACACCGCUCUAACGGAGACGUACUUCCCCUCAAAAGGAAGGAACUUCGGUAACACAUCCUCGUCUUCACCGGCUCCACUCUUGGUUACCCCGUGCCUUUACUUUGGAAGCUUACUUGUGUUAUAUUCCUUGCUUGCUUGUGUGCUUGUUGUUGUUGCAUCAUAUAGGUUAUUCACCUAGUUGCAUAUCUAGACAACCUACUUUGAUGCAAAGUUUAAUUUGGUAAAGAAAAGCUAAAAAUUGUUAGUUGCCUAUUCAUCCCCCCCCCCUCCAGUCAACUAUAUCGAUCCUUUCAGCCGUCGUCAUCGCCCCUCCCUCACCAGAGCUAGGAAAACCUUGUUGUAGUAGACAGUAAAAAAGUCGUCAUGCUAAGGCCCCUGAAUACAAUCACAACAUGACAGCAACCGCCGCCAAUGAAGAGACACGUAGAUCGGAAGGGUCCAACCUAUAGACACGAACGAAGACUAGAUCCAAAUCGGACCCACCAAAGACAACGCCAACUGAGUCCUGCGAGCUCCACCGGAUACAAACCUCACAUGCUUUCCGGCGAUGCUAGAAGCAUCACGUGGACGGGGCUAUGCGCGGAGAACCUUACUCCAUCUUCAGGAAGUCAUCACCGUCUCUCUUAUGAAGAGAACACAAACCCUAUCAAAGCUUAAACAAAAUAACCUAAAAAUGAAGCCCUUCUGUCAGUAAGGAUCGGAGGAAGGUGUACUUUAUUUGCGGUGCUCAAUCCACGUACUCACCAUUGGUUCCAUCCGUCCUUCCCCACCGAGAUACCGAGCCUCCCAAUGUGUCGAGUAUGGUAGGGGUCGUUGUGGGCCUUGUUUGUAAAGGUGUGUAUCCCUUGUUUAGAGUAGCCCAAACCUAUUUAGCGUAAUGCGUGGCCCAGUUUGUCCGGUUUUGUUCUUCUUUCUUUUGUGUUUUCUCUAUCGGUUUUACUAGGUUUUCUAGGGUCUUUCAAUUUUUAUUUUUGUUUUCCUGUUUGUUAUUCCCUUUUUAUUCUUACAUUUUACUUCAUGAAAAUUUGAAUAUUGUGAACAUUUUAAAAAGUAUGAUCAUUUUUCAAAAUAUAUUACUAUGUUCCAAAUUUAAUUUUCAUAUUCAUGAAUAUUCUGAACUUUACAAAAAAUAACGUAUGUGAUUUUUAUUAGUUGUGAACCUUUUCUAAAAUACAAGACACUGUUUGAAAACAAAAACUAAUUUUAAAUUGGCAAACGUUUAAAAAAAUUCAUGAUAUUAAGCUUCCUUUAUUUGGAGCAUCCCGGUGUGUCGCGGCUGUGGGGUCGCUAUGGGCCUCACUUGUAAGUUGUGUGUCGCUGGCCAGUAGCGCACACUAUAGUGCUAAUGUGCUGACCAAUUUGUUCGGUCCUAUUUUUAUUUCUUUUCUGUUUGCUCUAUCGGUUUUAAUGGUUUCUCUUUUGGUCUUUUCCGAAUCUUUGCCAUUAUAUUCCUGUUUGUUUUUUCCUAUUUACUAUUUUUCAUAUUACUUUUUAUUUUCUUUUUCAUAUUUUAAUUCAUGAACAUUUUAAAAAUUGUGAACAUACAAAAAAUUCAUGAACAAAUUCUAAAAUCAAUGGAAUUUUUCGAAAAUUCAUGAACAUUUUUAUAAUCAUCACAAUUCUGAAUUUCAUGAAUAAUUUUAAACUAUGUGAACUUUUUAGAAUUUGCAAAACUUUUUUUGAACGCACAACAUUGUUUGAGAUAAACUAAUAUUUUUUAAAUGCAUAAAUAAGAUUUUAGAAUUCAUAAUACUAAGCUUCCUUACUUUGGACCAUCUUAGUAAGUAGGGGUUUUGUGAGUUGCUAUAGACCCCGUUUGCAAAGGUUUCUUCUGUUUGAGAGAAUAGCGCGCACCUAUAUAGCGGUAAUGCAUCAUGCAGUUUGUCCAAUUUGGACUUUCUUUCUCUUGUGUUUUAACUUUUAGUUGUAUUCCUAUUUUUAUUUUUGUCAUCUUUGUUUUUACUUUAUUAUUAUUUUCUUUUUGGGAGGUUUCUUCUCUUUUUCUUAUCUUCAUUUUUCACAUGUAACAUAAGAACAUUUAAAAUUUUCUGAACAUUCAAAAAAAUCCUCAACCGUAUUCAAAGUCCAUGAGUAUUUAUUCAAAUUUAGGAACAAUUUUAGAAUUUGGUAAUAUUUUUAAAUUUGCGAAUAUUUUUUCAAUUCACAGACAUCGUUUGAAAUCCAAGAAUAUUCUUUAAUUCACAAACAUAUUUUUAAAAAUUCAUGAUACUAAGGUCCCUUUAUUUGGAACCUCCUAGUGAGUCGGGGGUUGUGGGGGUUGCUAGGGACCCCGUUUGUAAUGGUGUGUGCCGUUGGUUGAGACUUGGGAGUAGCACAAAUCUAUAUAGCAGCAACGUGCCAGCCUGGGUUGGAUGGUUAGGUGGACAGUGGAUACCCAACCCACCGGUUCAAGUCCCGAUGCUCGCAUUUAUCCUGAUUUCAUUUCAGAAUUUCCGGCGAUACGUGUUCAGUGAGAGGAGACGUUCCCGUCAACUAUGAGGCGCCUAUGGCAACUUUGUAAAAUCUGAAGAUGUUGUGCCGGCUCGGUCUCUCGGAGGUGCUCAUAGGGGUAAGAUAUGUGUGUGCAUUCAUAGGGGUGAGCGUAUGCGCGUAUAUAUGAGCGCUUGUGACUGGACCGAUGUUCACAGAAAAAAAACAACGUGUCAGCCAGUCUGUCCACUUUUGAUUUUCUUUUUCGCAUUUUAUCCAACGCUUUUAAUAGUUAUUAUUUUGGUUUCCUAUUUUUCUUCUUUCUUUUCAUGUAUGUUUUUUUGUUUUUCUCCCUUUUUCCUUUUAUUUUUUAAAUUUUAAUUCACAAUAACUUUAAUAAUUGUGAACAACCAAAAAAAUCAUGAUUUUUAAAAAUCCUUGCUGUUUUUUUGCAAAUUUAUGAACAUUUUUAAAGUAUAUGAACCUUUUCUUAAAAUUCGUCAACACUACUGAAAUCAGCGAAAAAAUUUAACCUUCACAAACGUUUUUUGAUUUUUUUUUCAUUCUGAACAUUUUAAAAAAUCAUGAACAUCUUAUGAUUUAUUGAAGUUUUUCAAAUGAAAGAAAGAUAGUUGAAUUUUUUUCGAGGUAGCAGUGGAGCAAGCGUGAAAAAAGGUAAGUGGGCGAGAGGAGCAGGGAGCCGAGUUGGGCGAGCGAGAGCUUCAUGAACCAGCCCAUGUGAGUGUUAUAACAAAAAUUCCAUGUUUUCAACAUGGAAUAUGAUCUACCAAGGGGCAUCACGCACGCACUGCACAAGGCUCCUGCACACACUACAACAGCCUGGAAGGUGCUCACCUAGCUAGGUAGAACGAGUCGCCAUCAGAGGAGGACGAGGACCGGACCUCGACUGGGGUUCGAUCACCACGGCGACACACUUCACAAGGCCCGAUGUUCCGAUCCCUUUCCUGUUGGUAGCAUCCCAGUAUAGACAUAACACAAUCUUGUAAUUACACUCUCACUUGCAUGGCAACUAAAAAGCAUAUGUUUCCAUGGCAACUAAAAAGCAUAUGUUGCCAUAUGGCAGCCAAAAUCAUGUGAACUUCCUGUUAAGUUUUAUAAAUUCUAUGUCAACUAAAAAGGAUAUGUUGACAUGGCAACUAAAAAGCAUAUGUUGUCAUGACAAAUAGGUUGCCAUGCCGACUCAACUUAUGUUGCCAUGACAAAUUAAAUCACAUAUUAUUUUCCAUGGUAAUAAAGCAGUAUAUAUUACCACGGGUAGCUCCAUGGCAUAUUGGAGUUGGGAAUUUUCAUAUGUAUUUUUCCAUGGCAAAGUUUAAUAUGUAUCAGCCAUGGCAAUUUUUGUUUAUAACUCUGUGUUUACAUUGUUCAUUAUUCUAUUUUCAAUGGCAAUUUCCAUAUAAAGCAUGGGCCAUAUUAAGUAAAAUACCACAACAUAUUCUAAUACGUAUCUGCCAUGGCAUUUUUGUUCAUUUUCCUAUUUUUUUUUGCCAAGGCAAAUUCUAAUAUGCAUCUACAUUUUUCCCAGGGGAACAAAAGCAUUUAUAGUUGUCAUCUAUUAAAAGAAAAAAUUUCCUCUUUUUUUCUUUUCCAUCCUUCCGCAAAAGAAAAUGUUGGCAAAUUCAUGUGGGCCCAUAAAAGCAUUUUUUGCCAAGCAAAAAAUGUUCAUGGAAUGCUUAUAGUUUUUUUACCAUGGAAAAUUUUUGUAAUUGACGCUGGAAAUUUAGUUUAUUGACCAUGGAAAAUUGUAAGUACUUUAUCGACCAUUGCAUAUUCAGUAGUUGACCCUGGCAAAAUGAGUUUAUUGACCAUAGAAAAAUUUAUUUAUUGACCGUGGCUAGUUUCUUAAUUGAUCAUGGACAAAUUUAAGUCUUUUUUCAAUGGUAGCAAAUUUGACUAAUUGACCAUGGCAAAUUUUAAGUCCUUCCUCGGUAUGGUAAAUUUCGUAAUUGACCAUGGCAGAUUUAAUUUGUUGACUAUGGCAAAAUUUAAGUCCUUUUUUGGUAUGGUAAAUUUAGAAAUUGACCAUGGCCAAUUUAGUUUAUUGACCAUGGCAAUUUUAAUUACUUCUUCGACCAUGGAUAAAAUUAGUAAUUCACCAUGGCAGUUUUUUUGAUAGAUCAUGGCAAAUCGUUAAUUGAGCAUGGCAAAUUUUAGUAGUUGACCAUGGUAAAAUUUUAGUAAUUAAGCAUGGCAAAUUUAGUAGAGCAUGGCAAUUUUGUAUUAAUUGACCAUGGGAAAUUUUACGUACUUUUUUGACCAUGACAAAUUUCGUAAUUAACCAUGGCAAAUUAUUUGGUUGAUCAUGGCAAUUUUUAGUAAUUGACCAUAGAAAUUUUAGUAAUUGAGCAUGGCAAAUUUGUAGUAAUUGACCAUGGCAAAUUUUAAGUACUUUUUCGACCAUGGCAAAUUUGUAGUAAUUGACCAUGGCAAAUUUUAAAUACUUUUUCGACCAUGGCAAAUUUGUAGUAAUUGACCAUGGCAAAUUUUAAAUACUUUUUCGACUAUUGCAAUUUUUCGUAAUUGACCAUGGAAAAUUAUUUAGUGGAUCAUGGAAAAUAUAGUAAUUUAGUAAUUGAGCAUGGAAAGUUUGUAGUAAUUGACCAUGACAAAUUUUAAGUGCUUUUUCGACCAUGGCAAAUCUAUAAUACCUAAAUUGUUCAUCCCCUCUAAACUAAUUCUCUUGACAUGCACCCUAUGCACAUCAAUAGCCCCACUACCUCAUCACCCUUGCUAAGUCAUUUCUUUUUACAAAAGGAUUCCUCCGCAGCACAACAUAAAGGUUCAAACCUGUGUGUCCAACUAACUUUAUUACUUUCCAUUGACGAGGAUUAACACUCCACUUCCUUCCUAUGCAUCAACUUCCACUCCCAUUUCUCCUUUGGCUCAGCCACGAACCUUCCUGUUAACACCCUCACAAAGUCAUACCAAUUGAUGGCAUGCAGCCCCCCAUCUCAGCAACCUGCUACCUCACCAAAAACUGCAAUUUGGUGAAGCCAAAUCAUCCUAUGGCUCACUUAUCUACCCCUCCGUAUCUGAAAUAGUUGUUGGCCUCUUGCGUCCCCCUUCCUCAUUACUCCUUCAUCAUGUUCGACUACACAUCCACCUUCUUGCAUUCCUUUUGGUAAUGAACACUUCCAAUCAAUGCAAGAAAAUGAAAAGUAUUUUCUGGCAGCCUAUUUAUUCUGGUUAGUCCUUUCGGUAAUGAACACUGCCAAUCAAUGCAAGAAAAUGAAAAGUAUUUUCUGGCAGCCUAUUUAUUCUGGUUAGUCUAGGAAGAUCAGCCAGUGCAAGCACAAAGUAGAGGCCCGCACAACAAUCCUGCGAGAAUGGAAGAGCCAGGCGGAUAACUUCGGCCAGCUCACGCGCCAUCUCCACACCUCAUAUGCCGUUCUCUUCUCCUCUCAUUUGUCCUUCGGGCCAUACCAUACCGAUCUCGCUGACCACCAAAUUAUCAGCCAUCAUGGGCAAUCGAAAGGGUUUGGAUGUUGAGCUGGUAUGCAAGUUCUUACUGCCAUGAUGCCCCCUUCUUUUCUUCUGUACGUUUAUUUUUAGGCAAGUCCCCUGUUCUGCAGCCCAUGCAAGAUGUUUUGCCAGUGCCAUGUGCACGUUCAUGUAGAUGUCUCCAACGAGAUAAGUUUUGGUGUGCCCCUAUGUUAUAGGCUUACUGUAUCUUCUUUUUUCACCGUUUGUACCGGAACUUUUACAUCAUUUGUGAUGACCGAGACUUCUGCAUCAUCUGUGAUGGCAGUGCAUUUCCAAAUUUUAUCUUGAAUCUUUCUCAUAUUUAUUUGUGUGUAUAGUUUUAUUAUCUAAGACAAGUGUCCACAAGGCGUUUGAUGAAAAUCCAAGUAGCCUGCAUGUGAAAAUAAAAAUAUGUAGCUUUUAUGCUUCUCCAUUGUCUGCUAUUUUUUUGUAUAGCCAUUCAUAAUCAUGAUAUGCAGCUUCGGAAUAUAAAAUGUUUCAACAUGUAUAUAUCUAAUCGCUUAUUUUAUUUGAUUGUUCUCAAUUGUCAUGUGGUUCAUUGGUUCACCUUAUAACUUAAUUAGUAUCACUAAAUGUUCAUAUUUUUCAUAUCUUUUAUUGUAUCAUCGAUGUACGUAACAUGUUUUCGUCCUAGCAUUUUUUUUACCCAAAAUGUAGUGAAGAUCAACUUUUCCUUUUUGACGCAGAAGAGACAUUAACUAUCUCAAAAGAGAGAGGUCAGCUACUUACACAGAUGUGGAGACUAAAUUCCUAACAUAUUCAAAUCUUGAUGUAAAUGUCUAAUCAUAUAAGUUAUGGUUCCAUCAUUUUGUACUAAAAGCCUGGUGAUCCAUGAGAGUUAGGGAUGCAUAUUAGGUGUCGUCUCGGGAAAUGUUGCUAAUCAUUUUCCGAGCAUUACAUCAUUGUCAAUUCAGACCAAAGAUAAUUGACCAAAUUAUAUCUCUGCAAUAUAUAUUUGUUUUUAUGGACCUGUGCGGUAUAUAUGACAUGUACACCAGUUGCCUCACAUUUUCAUUUUAAACAAUGACUUAUGUUGCAUCAAGUGAGAUUUCUCCAUGAUAUAGGACUAUAGAGGACAUAGGUGUAUCAGCACACAAAUGUGAGCUUUCACUUGCAUUGUUGCAUACUGAUGUUCACUAAUUCAGGUUAUCAUUGCUUAUUGAUCUACCUUUGGCGUAAUUUAUCACCGCUUACUUCCAAUCCAUUUGUCCUCCUGUUUAUGUAUAAAAUAAUGUAUGCCAAAAAUUCCAGCAGCAACGCGCGGGGUAUUUUCUAGUUUUAGUAAUUGACCAUGGCAAAUUAUUUGGUGGAUGAUGGCAAAUUUAGUAAUUGAGCAUGGCAAAUUUGUAGUAAUUGACCAUGUCAAAUUAUUUGGCAGAUCAUGGAAAAUUUGUAGUAAUUGACCAUGGCAAAUUUAAGUACUAUUUCAAACAUAAUUUAUUUUAGUAAUUGAUCCUGGUCAAUUUUGUAAUUAACCAUGCCAAAUUUAGUUUUAUGUAUCAUGGUAAAUUUAGCUUAUUGUGCAUGGCCAAAAUUAUUCUUCUCAUGACAAUACUCACUUUUUUGAACCAUGGCAAUUUAAUCAAUUCUUAGCAUCAUGGGAAUCGGUUUUUAUGUAUCAUAAUUAUUUUACAUCAUUUUUUGCCAUCAUGACAAAUUGGCACCACUUUUGGCCACCAUGGCAAACUUAUACAUUUUUUCCCAUCAAUGCGUGUUUUUAGGACCAGGGCAAAAAUUUCUUUUCUUUUUGCAACAUAGCAAAAUUACUAUUCAUGUCACCAUGUCAAAUUUUAGUUUAUGGUCAUGGCAAAUUCACUUUUUAUGUAUCAUGGUAUUUUUAUUGUCUAGACAGUGGCAAAUCGUUGUGACCAAAACGACAAUUUAUUUUUGGACCAAUUUCAAAAUUUAUUUAAAACCAUUGUAAAAUUAUUUUGUCUAGCACGACAAGUUCAAUUUUUUUGUCGGGCCAUGGAAAUUUUUAUAUUUUUUCAUCAGCAACUUUUUCUACGAAUUUCUAGAUUUUUGAGGCAUUUUUAUUUGUAAAGUUUUUCUCAGUUUUUUAACUGGUUUUACUGCAUUUUUUUCCGUGUUUUAGUGUCUAAAUAUAAAUGGGCCUGUUUUCCUUUUGAUGCUCGUUCAACAGGUCCAUGCUGGCCUUUCUGGAAGUGCUCGCGCUAGGAGGCCUCCUAGGCCGAAACCGCAAAACACACUGUCAUUUUUCGAUAAAGGGCGAUUUUAUUAUCUCAAAUGUAGCAUCAAGCGGAUACAGAACAUUAUGAGUAACACCCGGCCUCUGCAUAACUAGGAUGCACACAACCAAACACCAAAGUCUGACACUAGAAAAAGUAAGAAAACCAACAAAACGGCAACAGUAGAGUCCUAUGGACCGGCACUUUGCCUAUGUCGAACUCGGCGGUGGAUCGAUCCGGAGGUUAUGCUGCCACCCAUGUUGGGAAAAAACCUCCAUAGCCGCCUGCUCCAACCGCGUACACACCGUCUUGAACAGCGGUUGGUGCUCUGCCAGUUGUAGCGUAGACCACGUAUGAAGCGAGUGCGUACAACGGAAAAUAACCUGCAGAGGAGAAGCAUUUUUGUCAUUAAAAAUCAAAUCAUUUCUAAAUAGCCAAAGCGACCAUAGUAAGGCAUACGCCCCCACCCUUAUUAGCGUUUUCACACUAUUUGAAAUUCCGUCCAACCAAUGACCAAAUAUAUUGGCGAUACUCGUUGGCGGAUACAAAUUUGACGCUAUUUGGAUGACUGACCAUGUAGAACAUGCAAACUUGCAUUGGAAAAAGAGGUGUUUGAUUGUCUCGUCAUGAGCACAAAAGCAACACUUCUUACUUCCUGGACAUGUUACCUUUCUUCAGAUUCGUGAGCUCGAUGCGGGUGUUGAUGGCCUGACUCUGGCUCUGGGCGGCGAACAUGGCGGUGAUGGCGCUCCAGACCUCCGCCGGAGUCUGCAGGGUGGCGACUUGGGCGAGAAUCUCACGGGACAAAGAUCCCAUCAGAUACCCCUAGAGCUGCUGCUGCGUGUACCAGAGGGUUCGGGCAAAAUUGACGAUCUAUUCGUCCUUUCCUUCUUUGGUGAUGGUGAGGGUGGCCGGCGGUUCCUGGCUCUUCCCAUCAAGAUGAUGCUCCAUCUGUGCGCCUCGAAUUUGCGGGAGCACGACGGCCUUCCAUAAGAGGAAGUUUCCUCUUGUUAGCUUCUCCUGUGGGGGCAGUCCGAGGGGGAUAGAGCUGCUGCUAGAUGAUGAUGCGAAGGUGGAGGCCAUGGAGGUGGAAAGCGCGCUCGUGGUGGAAGAUAGGGCUGCGGAGGAAGACAUGAGCUCGGCAUCGGGAAGGUAGCUAGAUGCGAUCUUCGAUCUAAGAGGAAGAUGCUCUGAUUACCAUGUAAAUUGGGUUGGAAGCGUUGAACCCUUUGUCCCGGGCCGCAUGUUUAUAUAUAGUGGCAAAGCCUUGGAGUACAAGAAGAUCAGGAGAUCGAUCAGUUCGGUUCGGUUCGGUACAGAAGGUUACCGAGGAGAGGAAGAAAGAGAGAUAGGGAUAGAUUACAAUUUGAAUGAUCUAUUCCUAUACAUAUUCUAACAUGGGGUCCAAAUUCCUCGAGGCCUGUCGACGCAUUGCCUUUACAAGUGAAUGUUCAUCGGUCAGAGAGGAACCAUCUGCGGAGACGGCGUGACGGUUACUACGUCGAAGGGGCGAAGCCUGCCCUCCAGACAUAGUACACAUCGGUGUCUUAUGUUGAGAUGUUGGUGUUGAUUGUUGCGAGCUCGGCGGCGUCUGAACUGUCCCAAAGGUCGGUGAAGAGGGAUGCGCUGCAAGUCCCACUGAAGCGACCGCAAGGGGUGUCGUGGCUGAUCCACUCGGACGAUCCACAACUGGGCCAAGGGGGACCACAACAACCGGAGCAGGAGUUGAAGGAGUCUCGACGGACGGCGUCGUUGAACAUUGCGCACGCACUGAAGCAGCAGCUGUAGCCUGCACGGGUGACGGCGCACCCGCACCCACGCCCGGCUGCACAAGCACGGCAGAAGCAGCCGCAUGCACAACAUGCAGUACACCACCUCCCAUGGCAGGGUGCACUGGCGAGGCGUGCACAUGAUUAGCAGGAGCCUCAGCAUAAGACUGCUUGGGUGCACAUGCAGCCACGGGCCCCGCAGCAGCCCUAUCCACGGCUUGCUGUUCGGGCGCCAUAGGAGCCACUGCAUGGCCAAGUGUAGGCGUAGCUUCUGGCUUCUGCAUGGGCGCUGUAGAAGCCGCUGCAUGGACCGGUGCGGACGUAGCUGAGGCCCUCUGCAUGGACACAAUAUUUGCACAGUCAACUGACGCCUUGCACCUGUAGCGAAGAAGGCCUCAGAUCAUUAUGCACUAAACUGCCUUUGGUUGGAACUGUAGCAUUCUCAAAGCCCGCAUGAGUAGUCUGCAUGGGAACAUUGGAACCUGUGUAAGCUCCAGACGCUCCAUUUUCACCAACGGACUGGACACUUUUUGUUCUCUUGUUCGCAUCCCUAUCUGGCAUAUCUUCAUCCCCGUUAGCACCGUCAUUAUGUCCAUCAUCAUGGUUUUCCCAAAUCCGCGGAAUGAAGUCAGCGUCGGGGAAAAAAUCAUCCUCCUAUACAAACCGAAACGCAUAUCCAUUAAGCUUGACGUAAACAUCAUAGGAGACUGAGGCUUCAUCAGACCCAUGCUUUUUGCUGAAAAUAUCCAAGGAAAGAACAGCCACCUGGAUUCGCACUAUACCAUGUCGGUGCAAGCAAACCAAGUCAACGUCCUGAGUGGCGCCUAUAACCGAUCCAACCGCCCAUAGACCAAGGAAAUGGCGCGGUGGUGGCGGGACUCCCGUGACAUGAACCCAUACAGACUGCAAAGGAAGAACGGAUGGAAGCUCCUCAGCUUUCCAUUCACUGAAAGCGAUCUUCACGCCAUGCGAUUUCACAUUGUACUCAAAAGUGGUAACACGCUGCAAAAUUUCGACAGACGGGAAGGAAACUAAGAAAGUAUUGGCUUCAUGAGGGACGGCUUCCCACUCCCACGAAGUCUGGACCAAGGCGAUCUUAGCAACCUCAACCUCGACCACAGCAGCAGACAAAGAACCACCAGAGAUCGUAACCAAAGCUGUCGGCAAAGUUCGUGGUGCAAGAUGCUCCUUGAAGAGCGAGUCUGGUAGCUGUACGAACAUUGCGUUUACUAGACCACAAACACCGAGGAAAGCACAUGGCCUUGGUUGCUUGAGAACAUGGCAGCGGUGCAUAGGAUGUUUGUGGUUGUUGCAGAUAUGACAAUAGUGAACCACCGUGCAAUCUUUGAAAAGAUGAUCAUCUGAUCUGCAUUUGAAACACCAUAGACCAGUUCUUUUUCCUUUCGGCAUUUGUCCAGUUGUGUCAACAGUGGCCAAAGCUACGGAAUUGAUAUCUCUUGUAUCUUGUAUCUGAGCAGCAGGGGCUGCCACCACAGCCGGCGGUGGCGGAUCCCGAGAUGACGAGGUGUGCAGAUGUGGAUUACCAAAGACACGGCUAGGGCAUCCCGACUCCUCGUACUGGAACAGGUCCACCCUCCUGAUCGUACGGCCCAACCGCAAGGCCUGAUUGGCCACGCUCGGGCAGGGCCCACGAUCCUGCAACAAGGCCGAAGGCCGAGUCUGCAUGAUUCGAACAGAAGCGCGAUCACCGGCAGUUGAAGACCGAGGCUCCAUCGUUUGACCGCGAGCGCAAUCAUCGCUUGCCGCUGAAAGCGCGGCCGUUUCUUCCGAUGGAGAUUGCACCGCCGCCGCCGACGCACCCGUCUGGGAAGCCGGCAGGAACGCAGCCAGCGCCACUGGCGGCGUUAUCCUGGGGCGCGGGAGCGGUCCUGGCCGGAUGCAAACCCCGCGACGUUGACGCGCUGGCACCGUCGGCGGCCGUGGCAACUCCGGCGAAGCAACCGGACCAGCAGUAGUCUCAUUCUCCGUCGGCGGCCGUGAGGAGAAUCUGAUUGUUCCUUGCCGGAUGAGCUGCCGCGGCCCUUCUCCCACACCCUGGACGCCGGUGUGGGGUAGGGUAUCCCACGUCAUUCCAGAACUCCUGCAGGAGCUCUGCGUCCGACUUCUUCUUCCUGGGCCGCACCAUUGACCAGGAACCCUCCGGGGUAUCAUCGCAUCCGUGAACAUCAUCCCUGGAGAGGACAGCGUCCACCACCUCAUUCGCUAAGCGCCCGGCAUCCGAGACCUCACCCGUCUCCUCCCCGACGUCAGCUAAGGCUUGAUAAUUGCUAGAAAUUAUAAAUGUACUAGGGGUCGAGACCUUGCGACCUGCCUGACACCAGACCACCUGCCUCUGCGCUAAUACAUAGUUUGUUAUAAAUUUGCAUUUUAAAUUUGUCUAUAAAAAACUGAAUUCAAAUUUUGAUUGUGAAUUUCGUCCUCUUUUUUGGUAUUUCGUGGUUACCGUGGUAACCAAGUUUUUAGCCCCUCCUCGGGAAAAACUAUGUGUUCGAUAGGCAAAACGUUGAUCCUCACUCGUUUCACUGCCCUCCUUGAAUCUAAGAAUGAAGAUGAGGAGGACUCAUAUGUGAAGGGAGCUAGAAAUGGAGGCCGGCUUACAGCUACACGAUGGUUAAUUUGUAUAUGAUGUUAUUUGCUUGCCUUGUGCAAGGCUAGGGUACAUAUUGUGUCUUCAUAAGUUGGGAUGAUAUAUAUUUUCUUCUUCUUUGAACAUAAAUGCAUAAUACAUAUGUAGACGCUCAUACGUACACAUGUACACUCACCCCUAGAAUGCACACAUGCACACCCUACCUUUGUGAGCAUUUUUGAGAGACUGAGCCGGCACAUCAUCUUGAGAUUGACGAAGUCGCUAUUGUGUUAAGUUUAAGACUUGAACACUGAUGGGCGGGGAUACCACUGUUCUCCUAACUAUCAAACCACAGAUUGGUUUGUGACGAUCAACAAUUCAUGUAUUAUUUUCUUAUGGUACCAAUGUAUUUUCUUUCCCCCUUUUCUUCUUUUGUCAUUUUCAAUAAAGCCUUUUCAUAAAAUAUAUAAACAUUUUCUUGUCUCCUUUUUCUAUUUUUUGAAGAAAGCCUUUUUAUAUAAUAUAUAAAUGUUUCUCAACAAAUACACUCAAUUUUCUUUUCUGUUUAUUUUUCAUUCCUUCUUUCUUGUUGUGUUUUUCUUUUCUUUUUCAUAUCUAUGUUAUUUUUUUGGAUGUUUACCAUUUUUCCACUUAUUUUUGUUUGAAGGAAGUAUACAUAAUUUAUUGAAAAGUAUAAAAAUCAUUUUUAAUGUAUGAACACUUUUCUAAAACUACAAAAAUAUAUUUUAAAGACGUGGGCACUUCUAAAAUUAUAUGAAUGAUUCUUAAAUACAUGAACACUUUUUAGAACCUACAUUGAUUUUUUUUAAGAACUGUGAAAACCUUUUAAACCUGCCAGACAAGAAAUUAUGUUUCUUUUUGUGGGGAAUAAUUCUAUUUCCUUUUGUAAGAAAACCAAUUGUCACAUGACAAGAAACAGAACAGUUGUCCAACUAAAAAAAUGAAAAGGAACUACACACACAACCUGAAACAGAGAGGAAAAAUCCAGAGGCUACAGGAGACGUUGCUUACAAAAGGUACAUGACUAUGCACAUUUUUUUGACAGUUAUGCAGUAUUCACAUGACAGAUUAGCUUGGCCUCCAAAAAAAGAAAAGAAAAACCAUGACUGACUAGCUUGUACGUAUAGCUAGCACGUAGUAGUACAUCACUUGGAACGAGAAACCAGAUUCGUUUAGCUAAGCCAUUACAUUUACAUACCGGCAGCCAUCAUGGCCUUGAACUCAUGGAAGUCGACGCGGCCAUCGCUGUCCCGAUCAUGCGCGGCGAUCAUGUCGCGCACCCGCGCCAUGCACGCCGCCUCCGGCACCCCCAUCCGCGCCAGGACGGCCUGCAGCUCGGCGGCGGAGAUGUACCCGUCGCCGUUCUCGUCGAACACGGCGAAGGCCUCCCUCAUCUCGGCCUCCUCGUCCUCCUCGCCUCCGCCGGCGAGCUCGGCGUGGAGCGCCUCGAAGUCCGCGAACCGCAGGCCGGGCAUGCCGGGCGCGACGUAGGUGGCGAGGAGCCCGUCCGCCUGCUCGCCCAGGGCGAGGCCCAGGCGCCCCAGCGCGCCCGAGAGCUCGGCGGCGGUGAUGACGCCGUCGCCGUCGUGGUCGAAGAGGUCGAACACGCGCCGCACCCGCAGCCUCCGGUGGCGCUGCUGCUGCUGCUGCUGGUUCGGCUGCGGCGGCGCCGUGGACAUUGCGUGCUAGUGCUAUACGCAAGAAGAAGAAGUUCGUAAAGCUUGGGAGGAUUGCGAGUGUUUGUUUGCUUGUGAGAGCGACUGAAGUUGCCAGGGGGCGUAUAUAUAAGCCAGCCAGCCAUUGUUUGCCAGAUGAAAAGGAUAGACGUACGGCGCUCCACAGAGAACGACUUGACCAAAUACGAUGGGCUCCUAUCGAUGUCAACCUUGUAGUCUGGGGAGGUCAUCAUUUCCUAUUCCACAAUCAAAAGUAGGAGUACGUAAUUAAACUGAUCCAGUCGAUUGUUUAUACACGCAACGCGUUGUGACAUAUGGUACUUGCUUGCUGUAUACGCCGGCUCCAACCGUUAUCGACGGAGCUUUGUCGUGGGUGAUGCAAGUUGUAAGCUGUCAACGCGGCAAGCACACGGUCUUGACGCUGAAACGGGUGAGAAGGAGGAAAAGGAAAAAUAAAACGGGACUUAUGGACCUGCAAAUGGGCUCCUUUUAUACCGUUAAAAGAUGAGAAUAGUGAUCUGUCUAUUUUGGAAAUGACUGUUUUUCAAAUCAACAAUAGUUAGUUUCUCCUACCAGGCUACAACUACCAACCAACAAUAGGUGCCGUCUUUUUCCUGCAAAUCAAUCUUUAUGUACAUCUUCAACACGGACCUUCAAACUAACAUAGCGGUCCGGACGGAUUUUGCAAUCCAACGCGAUACUCUAUCAGUACGUGGAUCGUCCAGACGUCCAUUUCCCAGCAAACCGGACGCAAAUCAAUGGGGCUUUGUCGACGCCCGGACCGUAGCCACUUACACGUUCGCCAUUCCAUCUCACCCAAAAACAUGUCCACCCCCAGUGUUCAGGUCCUGCUGCUCGCAUUAUUCUUGAAUUUAUUUCAGGAUUUCCGAUGACAUGCUUUCAGUGGGAGGAGACGUUCCCAUCGACGGCGAGGCGCCUACGGUGACUUUGUAAAUCUCAAGAUGAUAUGCCGGCUCAGUCUUUUGAAGGUGCUCACAGGGAUAGCGCGUGAAUGUGUUCGUUCAUAGGGGUGAGUGUAUGCGUGUAUGUAUGAACGCUUGCGUCUGUGCUGUGUUAAAAAAAACCCUCUCCAAAAGUACCUCAUAAUAUAUUUUAAAUAUAAUACUCAUACAAAAACAUAGACAUGGUAAAGCUCAAUUGCUCGACCUGGAAUUUUAACUCAUUUUCUGGCCGAUGCCAAAAAAAGAGAAAAAAAAACAAGGGGAAAGACAACCCAGGCCCAUGGUGCCGGCCUAGGUUAUAGAGAUGGCGUAGGCCGAAAAGCUAAAUGAAGCCCACACGCACUCACUCACCGCCGCGCAUUCCUCUCGAAUAACCACCCUUUGUCUUUUUUUUUGUGCUCAAAUUGCUUAUGUGAAGGGGUUAUCAUAACAACCUACCCACCCUUUGUCCCUCGAACCAAACACAUAGAUGGCUAUCUCUAACCAUUUGACAACCCACCCAACCAAAAAGUAAAAUUGGUUAUCCCUAAUCAUGUCGUUAGGGAUACCCAUAGUCAAUCAAGCUAUCCCUUGAACCAAACAAACCCGAAGGGUUUCUAGUGUUUGUUGGGCUUUCCGACUGAUAGUGUCAUUCUGAUUGAAGGUUUCACUUGUGUUUUACUAUCAAGUUAUUGUAAACGAAGGCCGAUACAAUAAACUCUUUGUUGAUAGUAAGUAAAAUUUCCCAGGGCCUAGCGUUCUGAAGACUAUAGUUGGACCUCUUUGCCCCACUGGACCACUAUCUACUAAGGAGGGUACUUUUCAUGCGACCAUUGAUGGACCUAGGAUUGAAGCAAAUCACACGAGAAGAAAUUGGUAACAUUGACUUUUUUUACGCUUAUAACUACCUCAUAACAUUCUAGAAAAAAUGCCCAUACAAAACAUAGACAAGAUAAAGCUCAAUUGCUCGAUAAAUCUAGAAUUUAAACUCAAGGCUGGUCGAUAAACAAAAAACUCAAUUAUGACGUUCUUUUAAGAACAUGAUUUUUUGAGAUAAUUUAAGAACAUAAAUAAAUGCUGGCCUAUGUCCAUGGAAAAGACAACCCAGACCCGCCGCGCUAGCCCAGGUCAUAGAGAUGGCACAAGCCGAAAAGCUACACGAAGCCCACACGCACGCACUCGCCGCCGCGCGUUCCUCUCUCGUCUCUCUUCUCCGGCACUUCCUAUUCGGCACGUAGGGCGCCUCCGAGCAACCGCGUGCGUACCCCCUCGCGUGCUGGAUUUCGUAUGGGCCAGCUCAUUUGACGUUUUUUCCUUCAUUUUUUUCUUUUAUUUUUCCUGUUUCCUUUUCCUUUUCUCUUUUUAUUUAACCUUUUCAUUUUUGUGUGAAUUUUAUUAUCAAAUUCGUGAACAUUCUUGUUCAUCCAAUUCAAAAAAUGUUCAUCGGGAUUUUUUCCCAUCAAAUUCAAAACUUGUUCAUCGAAUUUAAAAAAGUUCACCAAUUCGAAAUUUGUUCAUAAUUUUCAAAGAAUGUUCAUCAAAUUUGAAAUUUUUUGAUCAACUUCUGAAAAUGUUCUCAAAUUCAAAAUUUCUUCAUCGAAUUCGACAUUUGCUCAUCCAUUUUUUUCAUCUAACUCAAAAAAUGCUCAUCGUAUUCAAAAUUUGUUGACCAUAAUUUUUAAAAAAGUUCAUCAAAUUCGGAAAAUGUUCAUUCACUUUUUAAAAUGUUAGUGCAACUUUUAAAAAUGAAAUUCUUGAAUUGAGAAUUUGCUCAUCAAGUUCAAAAAAUGUUCAUCAAAUUCAAAAUAGUUUCAUCUGAUAAAAUGUUCAUUAAUAUCCAAAUUCACAAAUAUUUUUCAAAUUCGUCAAUAUUGUUGGGAGGUCAUUUUUUUGGCUUCAUGAACUUUUUCAAACUUUGCAUUUUCUUGAUUUUUGUAACCAUUUCGAAAUCCCGAGUUAUUUAAAUAAGAAAAAAAAUGGAAUAAAAAACGAAACAAGAAAAAUACGGGGCGCCCCACCGCCGCUCAUGGGCCGGCUCAAAUGGGCGCCCGAGGGGAGCUUGGGGUGAGCUCCCCUCUUCUCCCAUGUCCCCGCCGGCGAUCCAUCCGGCGCGGCGCGGCGCGGCGCGGCCGGAGACUGUAGGCGCAGCCGCGGCGGUUCUUUCUCGAAUCGGCGCUUCCUCUCCUCGAAUCAGGUUCGGGUCAGGAAAUGCCCCUCCUCUCGCCGUAGAUCCUUUGCAGAAUCCCGACUGACCGCGUGUGUGCGUGCGUGCGGGUGCGGCCCAGGUGGUCAAGGACGUGGCGGCGCGGUCGCUGGAGGUUGAAGAAGCUCGAUCGCCUUCUCCAGUACGCCGAGAGGUAACCCCCUCGUUCGCAUCUCUCCCGGCCUGUGAAUGAUUAGUCCAAUCAGAUCGGAGUAGAUUCGAGGAGAAACGAUCUCUUCUCUAGCAAACGCAACUACUUUUCGGUGCAUACUAGAUAUGUAAACAAGAAUUUCUUUCUGAUUUGUUAGAAAAAGAUCAUGCUAUUUUGAGUAUUUCAUGCUGUUGCAAGUGAUUGUAAUAAUUUUUUUUUUGUAUUGCUACCGGCCGCUGCAGGCGCCAAAACGAAGUUCUCAUUUCUUUCAACAUAUUCCACAAGGAUUCAUCAGCCUUAUGGCAAACCUGGCUGGUAUCGGAUUAUAUGCCAUCGCUCCGCUUGUGUUGGUGGCUGUGAAGAAAUUGCCGUAUAUUAGCAAAUGUACUGGUAUGCACUUUGCAGCCUCCUUGACUUGCUUCCAGAGGAAAGCACAGCUUUGGUGGAGAUUUGUUUUGUUAAGAACAACCUGCUUCUCAUUUUGCAUUGAUUCUCUGAAUGAAGCCUGCUCAUGGUUUUGCAGACUGUGGAUACUUUCUUCUGUGACAAUUCCUACGGAGUAGUGGGGGUGAAGCGACGGUGUCAGGAGGCCACUGAACCAAGAGUUUAUUUAUAGCUGAAGAGAAGUAGGAUCCUGUCAAGUGCCUUCCAUGACUGGGCGAGGGGACAAUACCAUGAGUUCAGAACAUGCAAUUUGCAAGCAGAUCAAAGGCAACGUGAUGGGGAUCAGAUAUUGAUAUGGCGCCAAUUGUUUGGUCCAUGCUGGGUGCAUCACAAGGCACUACCAGUGCCACAUUGGUGGAUUAGUAGCAUGAGGAUCCCAUGCAAACUGGGUUCAACAUGUGAGGACCAGUUCUGUUGCUAUCGUGCAAUGAGAUGUUGGCAGACACGCCUUCUGAUUGCCACUGGGAAAGCUAGCCAGAAUGGUUCAGACGUUCGGUGUUCAAUGGUCUUAUUUUAGCAGGUGAUAAGCUGACUUGAUUGGGUUUGUGAUUGUGCUUAAUGUGUGUUCUUAAUUUUUAUUAUUAAGGUUGAAAAGAGACUGAGUUAGUUGAUGUAAGGAACACAACUUGAUGAACAAUGUUGUAUCUUAGUUCUGUUGAUGAGCAUUGCAUGUGGCAUCCAUUUCUUAGUGCGUUGACCAGCUGCAAACCAUGGUUUGUGAAUUUAGCUGCUAACUGAAGGUACGAAUAAUAGACAUGUACUUAAUGCAGUACUGACACACUUCUCAUUGAGCAUUUUCUGGCCUGCUGCCUGCUGUACAGUUUAAUUGGUUCAUGCGCGUUCAAAUUUUAGGUAACAGUUAAACAUCAGUUACUUGUUUCUACUAAAGAGACCUGCUGUAUACUGCUAAAUAAAACCUGGUUUCUCUUACAUUACCUUUUUUAACUAGUCUGGUAUUUCUUACCCCGAUGACCUUCUCAAGUUAUAUCCCGAGGGAUCAUCACUGCAUACUGAUUGUGCCACACAGUCAUUUCACUUUCUUACAGUUUCUAUAAUAUUUUUGAAGGACUUACUUAGUGCUAGAUUGUACAGAGGUAGAGAGAUUAAUUAUUGUAUUCAAUUUAAAUUUAAGUAAAACAAUGACAGCUAGUGCUGAAUUGCUGAUUGCCCCUGCUUGGUUGCUUGCAUGAUAAAAAAGCUUUACAUAACAAUUUCCUUUUCCUAUUGCCUAUUAUCUAACUCUCUUACACUAUCCAGGUAUAAACUACAACAAGCAGAAGACAACAUUAGGGGCACGCAUGUUUUUCAGCGGUUACGAACAGCAAUUUUUCUGGCUGUCUCCAACAGUUGGCAUCACAGAAACAGUGUAGUGGCAAGAUAUCACCAUAGAACUCAGCAAUGCCUUCUCGACCUCAGCAGAGGCAUCUCUGCUGAGCAAGCACAUGACAUACUCCAUCACUGCGGCAUCACAAGGCAGUGUGAUCUUUCCAUUGCUUGCGAAACCAAACUCUUCCUGGGACACUCUUAGGAGCUCUCCGAAGACCAUCAUGCUGAGGUACACCAACGGGACCUCGAAACGGCUUCCGUGGGCCGUGUACAUGAUGCAGUGGCCCUUUACCACUCCAGAGGUGCAGCAUUCUUCAUCUUCUUUGGCUGUCACUGUGAGCCUCUUCCUCCCAAGUGCCGCCACCCUCUGCCACUUCUUUGCCAGUUGAGCAAGUCUCUUCGUGCUAAUCAUGGUUGGUUCUGGGUCUUGUUUUUUCAGCUCCAGAGAAAGUGAGCUAUGGGUGUUGUAGUGCUCAGUUGGUGGUGGAUGAGCUGAUGAAGUGAUGGUAUUGAGCUUAGCCGCUCCCUGAAUUUAUAGGCAAGGUGAAGGGCAUUGUGCUGGUGAAGAGUAGUUGUCACUGUGAAGAGUUGGCCAGGGACAAGGCCAUGUGAUCAGUGCAUGCAGUGUUGCAGCAUGAUCACUUUGGAGUAGAUUGUGAUGGGGCCAAAUGUUUGGGGCAUGCUGGAGCCAAUAGUGGUAGCAAUAGCAUCAUGGCAUGAUCUAUUCUGCGAUGCAGAUAUCGAUGGAUUCAGUUGAGAUAUCAUCAGUUUCGCACAUCAUGCUAUUAUUUUGGAGCUCCAAAUUGACACUUGACCAGCUGAAAGAAAAAGAAAGUGUGUCAGACUAAUGAUCAGGAACUUGUUCAUGGUCUUACCAGUUGCCGCUGAACCUUCAGUCUCAGAUGUGUUGUUGAUCAGUCGGAUGGUGUGCAUGCCUGAAUUAACUUGCUCGACAGAUGUUGCUGUUUGUUCACUUCGUGAUCUGCUCCAUGCAUGUCUGGUCUCCAGUCCAGCAUCUCAUGUGGUUUUCAUUUCAUUGUUGCUUCCACCAUUUGGAGUCUAAGUUAGAAAGGAAAGAACUCUAUUUCACAAGGUAUGUAUUGUAAUUUUUCUCUAAAAAACCAGUGUAAUUUUUGUCCAAAGUUGUACCAUGUUUUAGCUAGGAGGGUCAAGUGUUCUACAACUUGCCAUAAAUUACUGAAUCUGUAGCUGGCUGUUUCUGCUGAGUGUGUUGUUUAAUGGAAGUUUUCCUUCGGAAAGUAAUUUUGGCAACUAGUUUCCCGUGCAUCAUAUAUUCUCUCUCCCUUGUUUCUGAUUUUCGCAGUUUGCAUUUUUUUUGAAAUAAUUCAUGGAUGCAAACCGCAUCUGUGAAAAUUCAUACCAACAUAUAACUUCUUGUGAGCUGUAUAAAAAUGAUAACUUAUAUCAUGUGCAUGCUAUUUAACUGAGCACUAUUCAUUUGGAUAUAGUUUUUUUUCUCUAGGUCAGAAAUGGUCAUAUUAUUAGAUGAAUUUUUGCAGGUGCACAUCAUAUAGCAUUACUAACAUCAAUGAAUUAUUUGGAAAAUCAUAAAAGAUAGAAAAGAGGAGAGAAUAUGGGUUGCACAGGCAACUGGCUGCACCAAAUCAUCUCGUUUUUCCCUUCUUCUAAUUCUAAGCUAUUAAAAUAGGAAACUCAUUUGGCGUGCAUCUAUGACUCCUAAUUUGCCUUUUCUUAAUUCGUUUGCAAAUUAUGCUCACGUCUCUUUCAGGAAAAAAACAUGUCCAAAAUUCAGUAGUUUAUAGUUUCUAAAAUAGGAGUGCACGUUCGUUGAAGAGAGAUGCUACACCUAUGGACGAAUUCUUAUGGGAUUAAAGUUACAGGGGAUGGGGGACUCACAGUGAAAAUCAGGUUGGAGAUAUAAUAAGCAAUUGUUCAUGCUCCUAAUAAUCUAUUCUCUCUAAACAUUCAUAUGAAAUCUUGUGCUGGUCUAGUACAUGAUCUAAUUGAUUUUCGGCAUUCCACAUGGUAACUGUUUCUUCUUGCAUUCCACAUCUCUUGGGUACAAGGAGUAGAGGACUAGAACCAAACCUAUAGUGAAGCAACUUGUUGAACAGAGUCAUAUAUCAGUUCUUGAUGGCCUACCUGACUUGUAGCAUUGCAUGUGCAAGCCAUACCUUAGCCCUUUCUCUGCACUUUCUGGCCUUCAGGCAACUCGAACUAGGCUUUCGGGCCUUCAGCCAGCUGCGUGCCUGAAGAUUGUGAAUAACAUACUAUACGAAAUCUCGUGCCCACACACUUGUUAUUGAGCAUUUUUCAGGCCUAGCCCCUACUACAAGUACUAGGAGUGCUUGCUUGCUUUGGAUGUCUGCGGUACUAGGAGUGCUUGCUUGCUUUGGAUGUUUGGCCAGCUCAAAUUUGCUGCCAUACUGGUAGGAACCGGAUCCCUACCAGGGCGUGGUCUCAGGUUGUAGGGGUGGAAGGAGGAAUGACGUGGUCGCCGGCGCUGGGGUGCCGUCGUUGCGCGCGCGCGCGGGAGAGAGAGAGAGAGAGAGAGAGAGAGAGAGAGAGAGAGCAACGACGGCUAGGGUUAGGUCUCUUGGCUCCCUAAGGAAGCCGAGCAAUUAUGAUUGCUUCUUGCUUAAUCCCAAAACGGGUCCUUACACGAGUUUAUCUAAUCCUCCUAAUAAGAUAAUUAGGCUAAGCCCCUAAUAACGAUAAGAUAAACUGGGCCACAACUAACUGGGCUAAGCCCCUAAUAUGCCGGUCAUAACAUCUCUCCCCGCCCGCACAAACAGCUUGUCCUCAAGCUGGAAGGCGGGGCAGAUCAACGGUUGCCAAACACCUCCACGUCAACUGGGGCGGGCUGGUCGCCGAGCCCGACGGCGGCGGGGUCCUCCUCAAUGUAGUCUGCAGCCUCCAGGUAGAAGAGUCGUGGGCAGACAUGGCCCGGUACGUAGGGCUCGUCGCAGUUGAAGCACAACCCUUGGCGGCGACGCUCGAGUUGCUCGGCCGGGGUGAGCCGGCGGAACGGGCGCCGCGGAAGCUUGGGCAGGCCGACCCUGCGCGGGAACUUCCGACCAGGGUGGCGACCUGUGACGCCCCCGAUUCAUUCGUACACUAAUCAUGCACGCAAACGUGUACGAUCAGGAUCAGGGACUCACGGGAAGAUAUCACAACACAACUCUAAAACAUAAAUAAGUCAUACAAGCAUCAUAAUACAAGCCAGGGGCCUCGAGGGCUCGAAUACAAGUGCUCGAUCAUAGACGAGUCAGCGGAAGCAACAAUAUCUGAGUACAGACAUAAGUUAAACAAGUUUGCCUUAAGAAGGCUGGCACAAACUGGGAUACAGAUCGAAAGAGGCGCAGGCCUCCUGCCUGGGAUCCUCCUAACUACUCCUGGUCGUCGUCAGCGGGCUGCACGUAGUAGGGGCACCUCCGGUGUAGUAGGGGUCGUCGUCGACGGUGGCGUCUGGCUCCUGAACUCCAGCAUCUGGUUGCGACAACCAGAAAGAAAGGAAAAGGGGAAAAAAGGGGGGAGAAAGCAACCGUGAGUACUCAUCCAAAGUACUCGCAAGCAAGGAACUACACUACAUAUGCAUGGGUAUAUGUGUAAGGAGGCCAUAUCAGUGGACUGAACUGCAGAAUGCCAGAAUAAGAGGGGGAUAGCUAGUCUUAUCGAAGACUACGCUUCUGGCAGCCUCCGUCUUGCAUCAAGUAGAAGAGAGUAGAUUGAAGUCCUCCAAGUAGCAUCUCCAAGUAGCAUAUCCAGGUAGCAUCUCCAAGCGCAUCUCCAGUCGCAUCGCAUAGCAUAAUCCUACCCGGCGAUCCUCUCCUCGUCGCCCUGCGAAAAAGCGAUCACCGGGUUGUCUGUGGAACUUGGAAGGGUGUGUUUUAUUAAGUAUCCGGUUCUAGUUGUCAUAAGCUCAAGGUACAACUCCAAGUCGUCCUGUUACCGAAGAUCACGGCUAUUCGAAUAGAUUAACUUCCCUGCAGGGGUGCACCACAUAACCCAACACGCUCGAUCCCAUUUGGCCGGACACACUUUCCUGGGUCAUGCCCGGCCUCGGAAGAUCAACACGUCGCAGCCCCACCUAGGCAAAACAGAGAGGCCAGCACGCCGGUCUAACCCUAAGCGCGCAGGGGUCUGGGCCCAUCGCCCUGAGCACACCUGCACGUUGCGUGGGCGGCCGAAAGCAGACCUAGCCUAGUGGCGUUCCAGUCCAAUUCGGCGCGCGCCGCUCCGUCGCUGACGUCUGAAGUGCUUCGGCUGAUACCACGACGUCGGGAUACCCAUAACUACUCCCACGUAGAUGGUUAGUGCGUAUAGGCUCGUAGCCGGCUCAGAUCAAAUACCAAGAUCUCGUUAAGCGUGUUAAGUAUCCGCGAACGCCGAUCAGGGCCAGGCCCACCUGUCUCCUAGGUGGUCUCAACCUGCCCUGUCGCUCCGCCACAAAGUAACAGUCGAGGGCCGUCGGGAACCCAGGCCCACCUCUACCGGGAUGGAGCCACCUGUCCUUUCAGCCCCCUCGUCAGAAUCACUUGCGGGUACUCAAUGAGCUGACCCGACUUUAGUCACCAUCUGUAUAGUAUGUAUGUAUGUAUAGUAUAUACCCGUGAUCACCUCCCAAGUGAUCACGGCCCGAUAGUAUAGCAAGGCAGACUGACAAGAAUGUAGGGCCAAUGAUGAUAAACUAGCAUCCUAUACUAAGCAUUUAGGAUUGCAGGUAAGGUAUCAACAGAUGUAGCGACAAUGUCAGGCUAUGCAUCAGGAUAGGAUUAACGAAAGCAGUAACAUGCUACACUACUCUAAUGCAAGCAGUAUAGAGGAGAAUAGGCGAUAUCUGGUGAUCAAAGGGGGGGCUUGCCUGGUUGCUCUGGCAAGAGAGAGGGGUCGUCAACUCCGUAGUCGAACUGGUCAGCAGCAGCGUCGGUCUCGUAGUCUACCGGAGAGAAGAGGGGGAAGAAAUAAUGAAUACAGAGCAAACAAAGCACCACAAAAUAUACCAAGGCAAUACGCGGUGUUCGGUGUGCCCUAAUGCGGUAGUAGGUGAUACCGGUGAAGGGGGGAAAACCCCCGGGAAAGUAUUCCCGGUGUUUCGUGUUUUCGGGCAGAGGAGCCGGAGGGGGAAAGUUGCGGGUUCGAUAGGUUAGGGGGGUGUGGUGGACGAACGGACUGCGUAUCCGGAAUCGUCUCGUCGUUCUGAGCAACUUUCAUGUUGAAAAUAUUUUAAUCCGAGUUACGGAUUAAAAGAUAUGAUUUUCUAAAGAUUUUAUUAAUUUCUGAAAUUUAAUUAAUUAUUUAAUUUAAUUCGAAAAUGAAUUUAUGACAUCAGCAUGAUGUCAUGCUGACGUCAGCAGUCAACAGAGUUGACGUGGUCAACCUGACUUGUGGGUCCCAUUCGUCAUUGACUGAUUAGUCCAAUUAGGGUUUAAUUAAACUAUCUACUUAAUUAGAUUAAUUAAACAUGAUUAAUUAACUUAAUUAAUUCAUUAACUAUUUUAAUUAUUAAUUAACUAAUUAAUUAUAUAUUUUAUUUUUUAUUUUUAUUUUAUUAUUAUUUUUUUGUCCUCAAGGGCGUGGGCCCUGUUUGUCAUUGGCCCAGAGGCCAAACAGGGCGCGGGCGACGGGUUACGGGGGUGCCCCGUUCGGGUGCACGCCCAGGGGCACGCGGGCGUGGACACGGGCGGCCACGGCGGGGCACGUCGCCGGCCAGGGAUGGGCGCAGGGGCGCAUCCCGCCCAGUGUGGGGCGAGGUUGNNNNNNNNNNNNNNNNNNNNNNNNNNNNNNNNNNNNNNNNNNNNNNNNNNNNNNNNNNNNNNNNNNNNNNNNNNNNNNNNNNNNNNNNNNNNNNNNNNNNNNNNNNNNNNNNNNNNNNNNNNNNNNNNNNNNNNNNNNNNNNNNNNNNNNNNNNNNNNNNNNNNNNNNNNNNNNNNNNNNNNNNNNNNNNNNNNNNNNNNNNNNNNNNNNNNNNNNNNNNNNNNNNNNNNNNNNNNNNNNNNNNGACGGGCUCCUGGGGGAGCGCUCGCCCACAGGGAGUGCGGCGGAACCGAGCCAGUGGCCAAGGCGGCCGUGGUGGCCGGCCGACGUGGGGGAAGACGGAGUGCGGUCCGGCGAAGAGCGGGCGUGUGGGCGGCAGAGGAGCACUAGUAGGGGAGCCGGGGCGCACCAGUAGCAGGGGGGCGUGGUGAGUGGCCGCGGGAGUGCGAGCGCGCGUGCGCACGACGGUUAUGGCCGCGGUCGGCGAGCGGGAAUCCAAGGGAGGAGGAGGAGAGGUGCUCACGGGGCGCGUAGGGUCCAGGCAGCGUGCGUGGGGUGGUCCGGCGAGGAGGGGACGAGGAGGAGGACGGUGAGGCGGCAGUCCGGUGGGGAGGCGGCGAAGCAGGCCGGCGAGGAAGCUCCAGUCGCCGGCGCGGUACAGGCGGCAACGCGCGUGCGAGCCCGAUCCGAUCUGGAUCGGGGGUGGAGGGUUGAGGGGACGGUGUGGGGAGGCGACGAGGAGGCGCCGGCGGAGACGGGCGGCGCCGGCCGGCGAUGGGUGUAGGGAUGAGGCGGCGGUGUCGGGGCGUCGUUUCCCCCGAUCUAGAUCGGGGGGGAGCGAGGGGGCGCACGGGGUGGGNNNNNNNNNNNNNNNNNNNNNNNNNNNNNNNNNNNNNNNNNNNNNNNNNNNNNNNNNNNNNNNNNNNNNNNNNNNNNNNNNNNNNNNNNNNNNNNNNNNNNNNNNNNNNNNNNNNNNNNNNNNNNNNNNNNNNNNNNNNNNNNNNNNNNNNNNNNNNNNNNNNNNNNNNNNNNNNNNNNNNNNNNNNNNNNNNNNNNNNNNNNNNNNNNNNNNNNNNNNNNNNNNNNNNNNNNNNNNNNNNNNNNNNNNNNNNNNNNNNNNNNNNNNNNNNNNNNNNNNNNNNNNNNNNNNNNNCCUUUUUCCUUUUUUUUAUCUUAUUUCUUUUCUGUUUUAUUUUAGUUUUAGUAAAAAUUAUCACUAACACCUAAAUUGGUACUUUUAAAUAAACUACUGCCACAUUAAUUCUUAUCCCAACUAAAAUAGUUUAAUAUUUUAUAAAAUUCAAAAGGCAUUUAUUUUAUUAUUUAACCUACAAUUUUAAUUAUUUUGAACACUUAAACAUUUUAUUAAAGUUAGGUUUCUCCACCAUAAUUACCGCUGCAUUAUUUAGUUCACUCCGAACAUUUUAGUUUUAAAGUUUGAAAACUUUUGUUGUUUGCCUAUGUUUUAAAUUUGAAUUUGAAUCGGGUUCGAAUCAACGUGAGUUUAAUCACAGUAAUGGAGGUGACGUGGCAUCAUUAGCUUGGGAUUACUGUAGUCUAAUUAUCCGGGCGUCACACGACCCAGCGGCCCGGGGCGGUGGCGCCUGCUGGAUGGCCACCGUGCGACGCUCGAACGCGCGGGCAUAGUACAUGGCCGUCUGGAGGUCCCGAGGCCCGUGCAUCUCCACAUCCACGCGAAUGUGGUCCGGUAGCCCGCCGACGAAGAGCUCAGCCCGCUGACAAGCCGAAACGCCGGGGGCGUGGCACGCCAGUGCCUGGAAGCGGUCGGCGAAGUCUUGCACCGAGGAUAGGAACGGAAGACACCCAAGCUCCGCCAGACGGCUCCCGCGUAUAGGCGGACCAAAGUGCAAGAGGCACAAUUCGCGGAAGCGCUCCCAUGGUGGCAUGCCGCCCUCGUCUUGUUCGAGGGCGUAGUACCACGUCUGCGCGGCUCCUCGGAGAUGAUACGAGGCGAUCCAGGUGCGGUCGGACGCGAGCGUGCGCUGUCCCCUAAAAAAUUGGUCGCAUUGGUUGAGCCAAUUCAGGGGGUUUACGGUGCCGUCGUAGGUCGCGAACUCCAGGUUGGAGAAUCUCGGCGGCGCCUGGACGUGGACGACGGGUGGGUGCGCCUCGUCAGCACGGCGUAGCGAGGAUGACGGGGCCGAGUAGGCGGGCAUCAGGGUGCCGCCCUGGAACAGGGGCCCGUCGACGCUGGCGAAGGGCUCGGCGUAGCCCGAGGACCUGCCAAACUGCAUGGUCGGGUGCAUCGCCGGCGGAGGCAACACGUGUGGCCCGACCGAGGCCGUCGUGUAGACCGGCGCAAGGGACCCAGCUAGCCAGGUCGGUAACGGAGACGGCGACGGGGGAAACCGGACCUGGUGGAUGGGCACUCCCAGGCUCGUCGUCGGGAGGCCUAGGGCUGCGGUCGCUGGUGGUGGCGGCUGCAGCUGUUGCCCCUGCUACAUGGUGGAGGUGCCGGGGUUCGUCGCUGGUGGCGGCUGCCACGAUAGCUGCUGCAUGGCGGUGGUGAUGGGGGUCGUCGAGGACGGCGGCUGCCACGGCAACUGCUGCGGCGACGGGGCGGUGGCGAAGGGCACAUACGGCUGCGGCCCAUAGGAUCUCGCGAGGAACGUGUAGAUGCCCGUGACUGCCUGGGUGAGAUCCCGGAUGGCUGCCGUCAUCUCCUCCGGGGUGAAGACAAUGAGGACGGGCGCGGCGGAGGUGACCGGCACCGGCAAGAGCGGGGCGCUGGCCGUGGUGGCCAUCGGGGCGGUCGUCGCGGUCGGCAGCGGAAGGGUUGGGGUUGGCGGCGGCGAGGACAUGAUCGCACCGAAGCUAUCUGAUACCAAAUUGGUAGGAACCGGAUCCCUACUAGGGCAUGGUCUCAGGUUGUAGGGGUGGAAGGAGGGAUGGCGUGGAGGAAGGCGUGGUCGCCGGCGCUGGGGCGCCGUCGUUGCCUGUGCGCGCGCGCGCGAGAGAGAGAGAGCGCAGCGGCGGCUAGGGUUAUGUCUCUUGGCUCCCUAAGGAAGCCGAGCAAUUAUGAUUGCUUCUUGCUUAAUCCCAAAACGGGUCCUUACACGAGUUUAUAAUUGGGCUAAGCCCCUAAUAUGCCGGUCAUAACACAUACUGACCUGUUUUUAGCAGUGGCUAAGAUAUAUGCACAAGAGACAUAUGAGUGAGGACCACCUGUAAAUUUGGUCCAUUUCUGUUUGUGAUCGUGCAAAGAGGUAUAAUUCGUUUUUUUUGUGCUUGACUAUAUCCUAAUGAUAAGAAGUUUAUAGAGUGGCCCCUGAGAUCGAAAAAGUGCUUCAUGGAUCUCUAACAAGAGUUACGAACAUCCAUUUGAAAGCUUGUGCUGGUCUAGCAUGUGGUCUGAUUGAUUUUCAGCAUAUUACAUGGUGACUGUUUUUUCUUGCAUUUCAUAUCUCACAUGGAGUACAUGACUAGAACCAAACCAGUGUGUGUCAUACCUACCAAACUAACAUGUGAAAGCUAUUCCUUAGCUCUUUCUAUGCACCUUCCUUUGGUGCUUCAACCAGCUGCAUGUCUGCAGAUUGUGAGUAAUAGACAUGUACCAAAUCCUUAACAAUUUUGUAGAUCAUUUUUAUUGUCUGACUUGGAUGAUAAGGUUGUAUAGAAACUUCUUGCAAAUUCUCCUAGCAGUAGCAUGAAACUAUCAACAUCUAAAAAUAGUUGCAACCUUGUUGGGUCACUGGACAGUUGUAUGCAACUAAAAUGCAAGAGAAGUAUGGCUGCAAGCCUGCAAUUGCUAGUUGCCAGAAUGCUGCUUUGUUGCUUUUAUGAAUACAUACAGAAAACAUCUCCUAGUGUCUCUUAUCUAACUAUCUUACACUAUCCAGGCAAACUACAAAAAAAAAAAAAACAGAAGGCAACAUCAGGGUCUCUGCAUUCAUAUUCUUCAGAAGCUACAAACACCAAAUUUGUUGACUAGCUCCAACAGUAGGCAUCAUAUGGCCGGUGUAGUGCGCAAGAUGUCACCAUAGAGCUCAGCAAUGUACUCUCGACACCGGCAGAGGCGUUUCUCCUAAGCAGGGACAUGGCAUACUCCAUCACUCCGGCAUCACAAGGCAGUGUGAUCUUCCCAUCGCUUGCAAAGCUAAAUUCCUCCUGAGACAUCCUCAGGAGCUCGCCGAAGACCAUCGUGCUGAGGUACUCCAGCGGGACCUCGAAACGCCUCCCAUCGGCUGUGUACAUGACACAGUGGCCCUUGGCCGGUAUAGAACUGCAGCAGUCUUGGUCUUCUUUGGCUGACAUUGUGAGCCUCUUCCUCCCAAGUGCUUCAACCCUCCACUUAUUUGCCAAUUGCGCAAGUCUUUUGGCACUGGCCAUGGUUGGCUCUCUAUCUUUGUGAGAAUUUGAAGAAGUGUGUGAUAUGGAUGUUGCAGUGCUCAGUUGGUGGAUGAGCUGAUGAAGAGGUGAUGGUGUUGAGCUAGACGCUUGCUGAAUUUAUAGGCCAAGGGAAGGACAUCUUGACGGUGAACUGUGCUUGUCAUUGAGAAAAGUUGGCAGGGGACAAAGCCAUGGGAUCGGUGCAUGCAGCGUUGCAACAUGAUUAGUUUGCAUUAGAUUGCGGUGGGGCCAAAUGUUUGGCGUAUGCUGGAGCCUAUAGUCGUAACUGUUAGGCAUUGGUCCGCUUUGUUAUCAUUCGUGGAUGCCAUACCAAGCCGUGUAGCGAACAAUAGACAUGUCGAGAACAGGGCUAUUAGCAAUGUGCUAGGAGGGACAGUGAUGGCUUCCAGAUUCAGGGAUCGAACAGUUUCGGUAAGCCCUGGUCGAUUAGGCUAUCUCUUUGCUUUCUCCUGGCAGAUACUUGACAUUGUAACGUGCAUUGUUCAUGCACCUGAUCAAUCUAUUUUCUGUUGACAUUCAGUCGAAAAGCAUGCUUGGUCUAGCAGAUCACCCGUUUGAUAUCCGGCAUGCCACAUGUUUACUGUUCAUUCUUGCCUUCUAUUUCUUUUGGGUAGAGGAGCAUAUGGUUAGAAUCAGGCCACUGUAUACUAAUUUCAAGCUGAAGCAGAUGUCUCUGAUGUGUGUUGAGUUGACUCUGGGGCUCCAUAUUCAUGCAUAAUGAUUUCAAUGUGAUGUUUCCAGUCAUAGUUGGGUUUCUCAGGCACAACUUUUUGGUCUAAAUACAGAUGAUCCUGAAAAGGAAACCUCUCUCUAAUUAAGAAUGUCAUGACACACAUGUGUACUAAUUCUCCUUUUGGCUCUGAACUUGUAUGUUUUUUUAGAUAUCAUUUUUUUGGUAGACAUGGUGCAGUUAAUCUGUUCCAUUGACUGAAUUUGCAGGCGACGGAAAGAUGGGACUGGAGGGGGCCACAGGGGGAGGCUGGUGAAGUAGGUUGCACCUGUCAGUGCAAAAAGGCAGCGAAAGGACAAAUUUGUUUUUCUUUUUGCUUGGAGGGAAGAAGGGACUAGUCGGUCAGCAAGCAACAUGUCCGUGCCGUACCUUGCCAGUGUGGUUCUGGUGCUUUGCUUGCACACUAAUAGUGUUUGGCAGGUGAGAAGGCCAUGAGCUUGGUGAGUGCAACGGUGGCUCCCAAGGGAGGCAGUGAGAUUCAGAUAAUGGCCAUGCUUGUGUGUUCUUGGUUCUGAGGUAUGUUGCUCAGAAAUUCUUUAUCUGUGAGUUUGUUGAUGAAGUGGUGGUGUACUACUAUGUAGCCCAUGAAUAUAUAGGCACAGACGUAUGACUAAUUUGCAUUUGGCAGGGGACAAGGCCAUGAUCUUGGUGCAUGCAAUGGUGGCUGUAAGGGGCAGCAGCCAGAUUCAGAUCAAAUUUUGCUGGGCCAUGGCUUUCUGUAUGGGCAAAGGUAGUGGACUACUUGCUAGGCACUCAGAUGCAUACUACAGUAGUAUAGUCCUUGAUGCUUAACUCGGUAGAUGCAUUUUGCAACCAUCCGGGGUCCAGUAUUUAGGGAUGUGCUCUUUUUUGUUCAGCACUCUAUAUCAAGAGAUUGGAAGAUAUGUUGAUUCAAAAACAAUCACUUUAAUGUUCUGAUGACCUAUAUCUGUGCCUUUGCUUCAACUGCGUGAUUGCAAUUAGGUGAGGUAAAGAGCUAGCGUCAUAAGGGACCUAGCACAUGAUGGUCCGGGAGCCUUUCACAGGCAGAUGCGGAGUUCACUUCACUGCUUUCGGGUGUCUACUUUGCACUUACAGUUGCAGCUGCAUGUUAGGUGUUUGCUUCAGAUCUGGCAGGUUGCUGGGAAGUUCCAUAUCUCAUUGUCCACCCAUGGUCUGCAUGGUUUCUAGCAUAGCAUGUGCCAGCCAUUUUCCGGUAUCUUCCUUGCAUUUAGCUGGGAAUUUGAGAGUUUCCAGGCCACACAUAUCCUUGAAUCUAUCCAGUGACUUGUGAUUAGUUUCGCUUUGGUAUAUCUUUUGAGGAAGUGAGCGCUGUAAUGUGAGUCACAACGCAAAGCUUAUUUGUUAGUCUAUAUUAGACAAUGAACCUGGCCUUGCCUGAUGAUUUACUUUGACUUCCAUGACACAAACAUAGCGUGAAUUUUGUUUUGCCAAGCACAAAUCUUGAUGAGCUUAUUCUGCAGGACAUACCCGAUUUUUGAACAUUUGGUGAUUUUAUCAUGGGUUUAACAACUUGCAGUAGCCUUUGUCGAAAAGGUCACAUCCCAUCUCCAGCUGCAUAUAUUCUAUCAUGGGUUGUCGGUUGAACAACAUUCUUCAUAAUAUUUUGGGUCUGAGGCCAUACAAUUGCAAAGGAAUUUGUCGACGCUUACUGCUUAGGCCCUAAAAAACUGUGAUCGAGUAUUUAUCUUUGGAACAAAGUAUAUGCAUACAUUGUAAGAACAUUGUCUCUAACUACGGUCCAUCUUCCUUGAUUGCUUCUUUGCCAGCAAGAUCAAAAUGCUUACGCACAAUGUGUUUUCCUUAAUCUAUUUUCCUAUAUCUCUGCAGAUGGUAAUCAGGAGCUGCAGACAUCAUAAUGCUGGCUAACUCCGAGAUGUAGCUCCGCAUGAUAGUGGCAUGGCAUCACCAUGGUGUUGAGGAAUGCGGCCUCCAUCUCUGAGGACGCAGUUCUCCUGAGCAAGAACAUGGCAUACUCCAUCAUUGAUGCGUCACAGGGCAGCCUGAUUCUGCCACCAUCAACGCCUGUGAAGCCGAACUCCUCUUGGGACAUCCUCAAGAGCUCGUCGAAGACGGUCGUGCCAAGGAAUGCAAGCGGCACCUCGAACCUCGCACCGUCGGUAGUGUACACGACGAAGUGACCCUUGCCAGCCACAGGCAAGCACGACGUGCCACACGGCCCUCCGGUUUCCUCCCCUGAUGUUGAUGAGGUGAGCCUCUUCCUCCCCAUAGCCACCACCCUCUGCCACUUCUUGGCCAGCUGAGCGAGGUUCUUGGCCAUCUGGAAUUGCCUUUUGUCUGUGGAUGAAGUGGUGGUGUUAGGAGGGCAUUUAGCCAUGGAUUUAUAGUCCAAGGGUAAAGCUGGCGCCGACACGGUGGCCUGUGAUGGUAUACAAUGGGUAGGGUACGUGCAGUGCUGUGGUUUUGGAGGUGCCGUGGUGUGAUCUGGAUCAGGUCUGCUGGGGCCAAGUGUUUGGCACUUGCCGGAGCUUGCGCUGGACAUCUCGCCUGCACAGCCGCGGUUUGCUAGGGAAUGGCACAAGCACGAGGACCCCAUGUGCUUCUCUAACCAGAAGCACAUUUCAGACAUGGAUGGCGCUUGGAAGUCUCAUCAAAAUCAUUAUCACGUUUGGUGUCUGAACAUUGCACACAGAGCACUCAUGGCAUUGUCCCCUUCCCAACGCUCUUGCUGAUAGCUACACACUACCCACACGCAUAUGCACUGCCCUGAAUCCUUUCUUCCUUAUACUAUAAAUCCAUGGCCUUCUCAGCACAAACUUCAUCUCAUCUCAAGCAGCAUCACAAUCUACAACACACCUUCAAGCUUCCAGAGCCAAAGUGAAAUUUAGCCAGUUGGGAACACAUCCGACUCAACCAUGACCCAUCCAAAGAAGCUUGCUCAGCUGGCCAAGAAGUGUCAGCGGAUGUUGGUGGCCAGAGCCGGUGCCCGCCGUCGGCGUGCCUCAGAUACGGCCGAUGACGAGUGCUCCAGCACAGUGUCAUCUGUGGUUGCCGAUGAGGGCCACUGCGUGAUGUACACCGCCGACGGAACCCGGUUCGAGGUCCCUCUGCCGUACCUCGGGACUACGGUCUUCGCCGAGCUCCUGAGGAUGUCUGAGGAGGAGUUUGGCUUCGUGAGCAGCAGUGAUGGAGGCAGGAUCAUGCUGACCUGCGAUGCCAAUGUGAUGGAAUAUGUCUUGUGCCUGGUCAGGAGAGAGGCCCCUGAGGAGGUCGAGAGGGCGUUGUUGAGCUCCAUUGUUGGGCAUGGGCACAACUACAAUGCUAGCUGCAUGACACCAUCAAUGGGACUCGGCCAUCAGUUUGCUCUUUGUACUUAGCUACUAGCUUAGCUUCUGAAAUAUUUUUAAUUAGGACUGAGAGGAGCUGAGAGCCUCAUGUAAGAUUCAAUGAUCACAGGAAAUGAUACAAAGGGACAAUUUUUUUGGGAGAAGUUGGAUUGUUUUACACAUCCUUGAACAUAGUUCAUAUAUAUUCUAGUGAAGGAAGUAGAAGGAAACCACGGACUUAAAGUUUGUGGUUAGGUGGCUGAACUCGGUGAUGGCGCUGCGAAGGGGUUGGGGAUGAGAGGAUUGAUGGACAAUUGAACAAACUGCUGUUUGUUUACUAAAAAAUAGAACUGCUGUUCCUACCUCCAACUAUAAACAUCGGAUUGAGACUGUGUGUCCCAGAUGGAGGUGGGUUGAGCAGUUCAUAAGUUUUGGUUAGAGGUAGUAACAGCGGCUUUCACCAUGUCACUGCCGGAAGUGGCCAAUUCCAGAUCUCCAUUCCUCAUGUGCUAGAGACUGCUCUGCAUUGGCUUCACGGAUUCUCGUCAGCUCACCACACUUUGGUGAAAAGCUAGCAACAGAGGGGACAUGGCACAUGAUGGUCCAGGAGCCUCUCAUAGGCACAUGCGGAGUUCACUUCAUUGCUUUUGGGUGUGUACUUUGCACUUACAACUGCAGCUGUAUGUUAGGCGUUUGUUAGUUUAACAGUGCUUUGAUUGCUACAGAUCUGGCAAGUUGUUGGGCAGCUCCAUAACUCAUUGUCCACCCACGGCCUGCAUGGUUUCUAGCAUAGCAUGUGUCAGCCAUUUUCCAGUAUCUUCCUUGCAUUUAGCUGGGCAGUUGAGGGUUUCUAGGUCUUUCAUGUGUCAGCCAUUCAGCCUUGAACCUCUCCAAGGGCUUGUCAUUAGUUCCAUGUUGGUAUUUCUUUUGGGGAAGCGAGCAUCCUGAUGAGGACAUCCAUGACACAAACAUAGCAUGAAAAUAUAUUUGCCAAGCACAAAUCAUGAUGAGCUUAUAUACUGCAUGACAGACCCGAUUUCUGAACGCUAGUAGGUUUGCUGGUCCUGACUUGAGUAUAAUUCGAUGAAUUUGUCGUCAGUUGAACAACUUGUAGUAGCCUUUGUCCAAAGGUCACCUCCCUAAUCUACCUGCCAGGACUUACCUGCGCAACCUAAUCUUUCUUUGUAAUAACUUGUGUCUGAGGCCAUUUAAUUGCAAUUUUUUUUGUCGACGCUUAAUGCUUAGGUCCUAAAAACUGUGAUUAAUCAUUUAUUUUUGGAACAAAGUAUAUGCAUACAUUGAAAGAGUAAUGUAUCUAACUACUGUCCAUCUUCCUUGAUUGCUUCUAUGCUAGAAAGAUCAAAAUGCUACACAUAAACUGUUUUCUUUAGUCUAUUUUCCUAUAUAUCUGCAGAUGGUAAUCAGGAGCAGCAGACACCGAAAUGCUGGCCAACUCCCAUUAAUGUUGGGCCACAUGAUAGUGGCAUGACAUCGCCAUGGUGUUGAGGAACGCGGCCUCCAUGUCUGCGGAGGCGCUUCUCCUGAGCAAGCACAUGGCAUACUCCAUCACCGAUGCGUCGCAGGGAAGCGUGAUUCUGUCACUGUCAACUCCUGCGAAGCCGAACUCCUCCUGGGACAUCCUCAAGAGCUCGCCGAAGACGGUCAUUCCAAGGAACACAAUGGGCACCAUCGGCAGCGUACACGACGCAUUAGCCAUUGCCAGCCACUGACGAGCACGAUGUGCCGCACGGCCUUCUAGCUUCUUCUGUGGACAUUGAUGGCGACCAGGUGAGCCUCUUCCUCCCGAUAGCCGCCACCCUCUCUGCCACUUUUUGGCCAGCCGAGCGAGUGUCGUGGCACUCAUUAUGGUAGUUUCUUGUGUUUCUGGAACUGGAGAAAUUCUUCUGCUAGUUGGAGGUUGGAAUGCCUUUGUCUGUGGAUGAAGUGGUGGUGUUUGGUGGUCACUAGCCAUGGAUUUAUAGCUCAAGAGAGAAGGAGUACCCACAUAUGGUGUAGUGUGUGAUGGUUUGGCAGGAGACAAUGCCAUGUGUAUGGUACGUGUGGUGCUGCGAAUUUUGGAGGUGCCGUGAUGUGAUCUAGAUCAGGUCUGCUGGGGCCAAGUGUUUGCCACUUGCCGGAGCUUGCGCUGGACGUCUCGUCUGCACAGCCAUGGUGAUCGGCUUGCUAGGGAAAUGGAAGGCACGAGGACUCCAUGGGGCUCUCUAGUCACAAGCACAUUUCAGACAUGGAUGGUUGCAUGGUGCUUGAAAAUCUAAUCAAAGCCAUUCAUCACAUUUUCUGCAGCUACUUCCACCAACAUUGCACAGAGAGCACUUGUGGCAUUGUCCCCUGAGCAACGCUCUCGCUGAUAGUUACACACAACCUACACACAUGCACUGCCCUGAGCCCUCUCUUCGUUGUUCGUUCUACUAUAAAUCCAUGGCCUUCUCAACACAAGCUUCUUCAUCUCAUCUGGAAGCAACAUCACAGUCUACAACACACACCUUCAGACUUUCAGAGCCAAAGUGAAAUUUAGCCAGCCGGGAACACAUCAGACUCAACCAUGAUCCAUCCAAAGAAGCUUGCUCAGCUGGCCAAGAAGUGCCAGCGGAUGUUGGUGGCCGGAGCCGGUGCCCGCCGCCAGCAGGCUUCAGACACGGCUGAUGAUGAAUGCUGCAGCACAACAUCAUCUGUGGUCGCUGAUGAGGGCCACUGCAUGGUGUACGCCGCCAACGGAGCACGGUUCGAGGUCCCUCUUGCGUACCUCGGGCCGACGGUCUUCGCCGAGCUUCUGAGGAUGUCAGAGGAGGAGUUUGGCUUUGCAAGCGGCAGCGAGGGAGGCAGGAUCAUGCUGCCCUGCGACUCCACGGUGAUGGAGUAUGUCUUGUGCCUUGUCAGGAGAGAGGCCUCUGAGGAGGUCGAGAAGGCAUUCUUGAGCUCCAUUUCUGGGCACUGCCACAACUACAAUUGCUAGCUGCAUGGCUCCAUCAGUGGGAAUCAGCCAUCAAUUUGCUCUUUGUACUUAGCUACUAGCUUAGCUUCUGGAAUAGUUUCUUGGUUAGGACCGAGAGAGGAGCUCUAUACAGUUUUAUGUAAGAUCGAUUAUCACAGGAAAUGAUACAAAAGGGUCUCAACUUUCUGGGAGAAAUUGGAUUAUUUGACACAUCCUUUAUAAUAGUUCAUAUAGAGUACUGAAGAAAGUAGAAGGAAACCACGAGUUUUCAUGGUCGUGGUUUGCAGGGUCAGGAGGCAGCAGCUAAAAGCAGAGGACAGAAAUGGCCAGACGGUGGCUGAAUUGGGUGACAGUGCAGCGGAGGGUAUGGAGAUGGGGAGGUUUAGAUGAACAAUCACCAAUUUGCUGUUCCUACCUUUAACCAGAACCAUGGGACUGAGAUUGCGUGUCCUAGAUGGAGGCGGGUUGAGUACUGUGCUGGUUAGAGGCUUAGAGCCUUAGAGCUAGGAAUUGCGGUUUGCUGCCUAGGAAAUGGACGUGCCGCCGGAAGUGUUCAAUUCUAGAUCUGUCCUCCUCGGCUCGCCACACUCCGGUGAGAAUCCUAGACCAGAAUAAGCCCUCUAGUUGGUAAGAGUAGGGAGCAAAGCAAGCAAAUCUCUGAACAAAUUAGGAUACCCUCUUUACAUGCUUGAUGCUUUUGUUCUUCUGUUCUGUACACAUUGCCCAGAAAUUAAGUGAGCCUUGUAGUUGAACAUCAUUACUGUUGUAUGCAAAACAAAUUGACAAAAUUAUGACUGUAAAUUCUGGGUUGCUAGGUUUCUGCUAAAUCAUUUUCUAUAAGAACAGGUUACUGCUAGAUUGAUUACAGCCUUGCAAGAUUGAGAAGACUUUACAUAGCAUUUUUUCAAGUGUCAACAGAAAGAAUGCCGAAGACUCCAAUUGAAAUAUGAAGAGAUUGCCCAGUUUACGUUGUCCUUCUAUCUAUGUGACACUAAUUUACAUUCAAGCGCUAAUCUGAAUAGAAUCAGGAGUCGUAAUAGCCAUUUGUUGGUUAACACCCAGAGAUGGUGACACACACUUUUAUAAGACACACCUCUCUGAACAUUCUCAUAACUCGGUCUUGUUGACAGCCUACCUUAUUUGUAGCAUUGCAUGUGGAAGCCAUCCCUUUGCUCCUUCUCCGCACUUUCCUUUGGGCCUUCAGCUAGCUGCAUGUGUGAACUGAAUAACAGGCAUCGACUAUAUAUCUUGCACCGACACUACCUUCUGUAAAAUUUGUGGUUAGUAUAUUCAAUUUUUCAGUAACAGUUAACCAUCACUUGCUUUUACCCCAAUAAUAAAAAUCUCCCUUAUACCCAUUAAAACAUGUGGAGUAAACCCUGCUUUCUAUUCCAUUUUCGUGUUUGUUAUCAUACUUCAUUUCUGAUUGGAUUGAUGGCAUUGCAAUAAUUCCCCAUAGGAUUCAUCAUUAGAAUGGCCCCUGUAUCACCUGGUCAUUUCACUAAUUCAUAACUUUUUGAUAUUUUCAAUGUUCUGGCUUAUAUUGAGUAGAUUGUAUGGGAACUUGUUGUGUAUUCUCUGUGGAGCAAGAUACGAAACGGGAAUGUAAUUAAGAGAAAGAAUGCAUACUGCUGGUGGCCAUAAUGCUGCUUUGUUGCAUUGAUGAUCAGAUUGCUAUACAUACAAUUUUCCUGCUCCUAUUAUCUACUGUCUAACUAUCUUACACUACCCAGGCAAAGUACUCAAAACAGAGGACAUCAUCAGGGCCUCUGCAUGCAUGUUCUUGAGAAGCUACAGACAGCAAAUCUGCUGGCUGGCUCCGACAGUAGGAAUCGCACAGCCAGUGUAGUGGCAAGGCGUCACCAUGGAGCUCAGCAAUGCACUCUUGACCUCGGCAGAUGCAUUUCUCCUGAGCAAGCACAUGACAUACUCCAUCACUGCCGCAUCACAAGGCAAUGUGAUCUUGCCAUCGCUUCUAAAACCAAACUCCUCCUGCGAUAUCCUGAGGAGCUCGCUGAACACCGUCAUGCUGAGGUACUCCAACAGUACUUCGAAACGCCUCCCGUCACUCGUGUACAUGACACAGCGACCCUUGGGUGGUACAGAACUGCAGCAGUCUUGAUCUAUUUUGGCUGAAACGGUGAGCCUCUUCCUCCCGAGUGCUUCCACCCUCUGCCACUUCUUUGCCAGUUGAGAAAGUCUCUUGGCGCUGACCAUGGUUGGUUUCUUGGCCUUUGUGUUUUCAGCUGGAAAUCUGAAGAAGUGGGAUGGAUGUUGCAAUGCUCAGUUGGUGGUGGUUGUGCUGAUGAAUAAGUGAUGGCGUUGAGCUCGCCGCAUGCUGAAUUUAUAGGCGAGGGGAAAGGCGAGAAUAGCUGGCAGGGGACAAGGCCAUGGGAUCAGGGCAUGCAAUGUCACAACAUGAUUGAUUUGGAUUAGAUUGUGGUGGGGCCAAAUGUUUGGUGUAUGCUGGAGCCUAUAGUCGUAACUGGGUAGACAUUUGUUGGCUUUCUUAUCAUUCGUGGCUGCCAUACCAAACCAUGUAGGCGCGUAGCGAACAAGAGGCGUGUCGGGAACAUGGCAUUGGCAACUUGUGGGGAGGGGACAGCGAUGGGUUCCAGAUUCAGGGAUUGAUCAAUUUCGGCGACGGUGAGCACUCACUUGCACCAUCUAUGUGCUUUCUUACGUGCAUUGUUCAUGCACCUGAUCAAUCUAUUCUCUGUUGACAUCGAGUUGAAAAAUUUGCUUCGGUCUAGCACAUGAUAUGUUUGAUUUUUAAGCUGAAAGCACAUGUCGCUGAUGCAUCUUGGGUUCCGUUUGUAUUCAUAACAAUUUCAAUGUGUCGUUUCCAGUUAGUAGUUGGGUUUCUCAAACACAAGUAUUUGGACUAAAUUCAGAGUUAUAGUCUUCCUUUAGCAGGUGAGAAACUUACUUGGAUCUAUAUGAUUGUACUUUAGCGUGUUUUUAACAUUUUGAUUAGGUGUGAAAGGGACUGUGUUAAUUGAUGCAACACACAUAACUUGCUGAACAGUGUCAUCACUGAGUUCUGUUGAUGAUCUACCAUUGCAUGAAGAAGCCAUUCCGUAGCUCCUUCUCUGCACUUUCCUUUGGACCUUGAACCAGCUGCAUUUGUGAAGUGAAUAACUGGCAUCUAUAUCUUGCACCGACAUUACCUUCUGUAAAGUUUUGUGGGUAGAACAUUCAGCUUUUCAGUAACAGUUAACUAUCACUCUUUUUACCCCCAAAAAUAGAUCUGCCUUAUACCCCUAAAUACUUGUAGAGCAAACCCUGGUUUCUAUUCCAUUUUGUAAUUUUUACCUACUUAUUUUGUUGAUGGUACUGUAUUUAUUUUCCAGAGGCCUAGAUGAUAGAUUGUAUGGAGACUUGUUGCGUAUUCUCUGUGCAGCAGGAUGAAACUAUCGACAUCUAAAAGUAGAGUCACAACCAUUUUUGGUCCAUUGUAGAGUUGUAUGAAACUAAAAUUUAAGAGAAGAAUGCCCAGAGUACUGCUUUGUUGCUUUAAUGAUCAGAUUGCUAUACAUACAAUUUUCCUGCUCCUAUUGUCUGUUAUCUAACUAUCUUACACUAUCCAGGCAAACUAAACAAGAAAAAAUACAUCGCCAGGGCUUCUUCAUGCAUCUUCUUCAGAAGCUACAAACAGCAAAUCUGUUGGCUGGCUCCAACAGUAGGCAUGGCGCAGCCAGUGUAGUGGCAAGACGUCACCAUAGAGCUGAGCAAUGCACUCUCGACCUCGAUGGAGGCAUUUCUCCUGAGCAAGCACAUGACAUACUCCAUCACUGCAGCAUCACAAGGCAGUGUGAUCUUGCCUUUGUUUGCAAAGCCAAACUCCUCCUGAGAUAUCCUCAGGAGCUCGCUGAAGACCGUGGUGCUGAGGUACACCAAGGGCACCUCGAAACGCGUCCCGUCGGCCGUGUAAAUGACACAGUGGCCCUUGGCUGGUACAAAACUGCAGCAGUCUUGAUCCUCUUUGGCUGACCCUGUGAGCCUCUUCCUCCCGAGUGCUUCCACCCUCUGCCACUUCUUUGCCAGUUGAGAAAGUCUCUUGGCACCGGCCAUGGUUGGCUCUCUGUCUUUGUGAGAACUUGAAGGAGUGAGCUUGUCGCAACUCUCAGUUGGUGGAUGAGCUGAUGAAGUGAUGAUAUUGAGCCAGCAGCUUACUGAAUUUAUAGACAAGGUGGCGAGGGGAAGGGCAUGGUGAUGCAUGGUGAAGUGCAGCUGUCAUUGAGAAGAGUUGGCAAGGGACAAGGCCAUGGGAUCAGCACAUGCAGUGUUGCAGCAUAUGAUUAGUUUGGAUUAGAUUGUGAUGGGGCCAAAUGUUUGGUGCAUGCCAGAGAGCCUGUAGUUGCUUUCUCAUCAUUUGUGGCUGCCAUACCGUACCGCGUAGCAAACAAGAGGCGUGUCGAGAACAAGAGGCUAUUGGCAAUGUGCAAGGAGUUGAGGGGACAGCGAUGGGUUCCAGCUUGAGGGAUUGAACAAUUUCGGUGGGCACCGACUCUCUAGGCGCUUCUUCUGACAGACCGAUACCUGAAAUUGUGAUGUGAGUCGUUCAUGCACCCAUAUCAGUCUGUUCUUUGUGAAGAUUCAGUCGUAAAGCUCGUGCUCGGUCUAGCACAUGAUCUGUCUGAUCUCCGGCACCUCACAUGCAUGGUACCUCUUGGAUACAGUAGUACAUACAUGAAGCAAACUUGUUGUGAAGACUGAAGCCACCUUUGUGUCCUCUGAAAGUGGAAGAUAUAUCACAUUUCCAUGCCGAAGCAGGCAGAUGUAUCUUAUGCGCGUUGGAUUCCAUAUAAAAUGUAUAUAUGCAUAACGAUCUGAAUGCCCGUUGUAGUUGGUUUUCUCAGACACAAGUAUUUAGGCUCAGUUCAGAAUGAUCCAGAAGAGGAAAACUGUACUCCAGUUCUCUAAUUAGGACACUCCACUCCUGGAAAAGUACACCAUUGAGUCGCCCUGCUUUCUCCAAUCUUUUUGGUUGGUUGUGAACCUGUAUUAUACUCCCUCCGCCCGGAAAUACUUGUCGGGAAGAUGGAUGUAUCUAGAUGUAUUUUUGUUCUAGAUGCAUUCAUUUUCAUCAAUUUCUACGACAAGUAUUUCCGGACGGAGGGAGUACAUUUUUGAGAUGUGUUUGGGCUCUCUUUCCCGGAGAUUUGACCGCUUGGCUUAAUUAACUUGCGACAGAUGGUGCAAGAGGACUGAUGUGUUCGAAUGUCUGAAUUUGUAGGCUCUGGAAAAGCUGGGAUGCUGGUGAAGUGAUUUGGGGUUAGUCAGUCGGUCAGUCAGCGCGUAACGUGCAAUGCUCCGCGUGUUGUGACGAGGUUUCUGACGGAAAAUGGUACAGCCGCCUCUAGCCAGUGUGUGGACAGGCAAUGUGGUUCCAAUGAAGCGCGCGUCCUAAGUAAGCUGUCCAGUAUGCAGGACAACACACUAGAAUUUGAUCUCUCCACUCGCCCAGACACUGCUAUACUUUUUUUUUUUUGAGAAAUCUUGCCAAACUUUAUUGCUUCACUGUAAUGUUCAUAGGUACUCCCUCCGUCUGGAAAAGCUUGUUUCUCAAAUGAAUGUAUCUAGCACUAAGUUAGUGCUAGAUACAUCCAUUUGAGGAACAAGCUUGGGACAAGCUUUUCAGGACAGAGGGAGUACAAGAUUUGGGUCAUGCGGAUGACCCAACCAAAACUGGCAUCCUAUGUCUAACAUACAUACAAACUUGCUCAGAUCAACACACCUUCGUCUCAUUUGCAAGCAACAUCACAAUCUACAACACACAUUCAGACUUCCAGAGCCAAAGUGAAAUUUAGCCAGCCAUGAUCCAUCCAAAGAAGCUUCCUCAGCUCGCCAAGAAGUGCCAACGGAUGUUGGCAGCCGGAGCCGGUGCCCGCCGUCGGCAUGCCUCAGACACGGCCGAUAAUGAAUGCUGCAGUACAGCAUCAUCUGUGGCUGCUGAUGAGGGCCACUGCAUGAUGUACACCACCGAUGGAGCACGCUUAGAGGUCCCUCUGGCGUACCUCGGGACGACGGUGUUCGCUGAGCUCCUGAGGAUGUCCGAGGAGGAGUUUGGCUUCGCGAGUGGCGGCGACGGAGGCAGGAUCAUGCUGCCCUGCGACGCCACGGUGAUGGAGUACGUCUUGUGCCUGGUCAGGAGAGAGGCCUCCAAGGAGGUCGAGAAGGCAUUCUUGAGCUCCAUUGCUGGGCACUGUCACAUCUACAAUGCUAGUUGCAUGGUCCCAUCAAUGGGAAUCACCCGGCAGUUUGCUCUUUGUACGUACUUAGCUACUAGCUUAGUUUCUGUAAUACUGUUUUGGUUAGGACUGAGGAGAUCUAUAGUCUGAUGUAAGAUUCGAUCAUCACAGGAAAUGAUACAGAAUAGACAAUUUUUCUGGAAAAAAAAAGGAUUAUGUGACACAUCCUUCAACAUUCUGCUCAAAAGUUCUUGGUGAAUUGUGGGUGCAGCGGCUAAAAGCAGGGGAUGUGAAUGAUGGAACUCAGCAACAGCGCCGGCGAAGGGGAGAGAUGAAUGAUCAACGGACUGCCUUUCCUACCUCUAGCAAGGACCAUCGGAUUGACAAUUUGACAUUGUGUGAGCUGUUUUUAAGAUUUUGGAGAGAACGUGCUCCACGUAGACCUGCCUCGGGGAUGGACGCUUGCAGCCUUGCACUGCCGCUGGCGUGUGAUGUCCGAUGCGCAGCUAGCCUCUGUGUGCGUGUGCUCGGUGGCAUCUUGCUUGCUCGAGCACCUCCUCCAUACUCCGGUGGGAAUUCCAGACUGGAGUAAUCUCAUAGCAAAGAGAUCAAAUUUGGUUAGGUUAGGUCUGUAGUUACAGAAAAGAUGAGCAAGUCGAUCUGCUUUAUGUAAUUGAAGAAACCAAAUAAUUCAAGUUUAAUUUGGAUAUAAAGUGUUCACCUUUCUGAAGGAAUUAGGACAUCAUACAUAUCUCUGAUACUCUGCUUUUGAUCUUUUGUUUUGUAGGCAUUACCCCAAAAGUAGACAAACACUUAACAUGGUCAUACUGUGCUAUAACAGGAUUUUUACUGGCAUUUAAAAGAGGGUAUCUGUUCAUUAUUUUUUUUAUGCAAAUUGAAUACAUUUUUCGUUCAGAUAGGUUCAAAAGAAAAUCAGAAGAAAAAAGAUUGACUGUAGGUGCUGGGUUAACAGGUUUCUGCUAGAUUCAUUACAGCCUUGCAAGAUAUUGAAAAGGCUUUACAUAGCAAUUUCUCAAAUGGAAGCGGGAAGUAUGCCAAUGAUUUCAUGAACACUAAGAGAAGCACAAUUUCCAUUUCCCUUCUAUCUGUCAGACUACUUUACUAAUACAUAAACAUUCGGAGCUGCAAACAGCCAGUUCUUGCUUGACAGUUAACCAUCACCUGCUUUUACCCCAAUAAUUGAAAUCUUCCUUAUACCCAUUAAAACUUGUGGAGUAAACCCUGCUUUCUAUUCCAUUUUGUUUUUGUUGUCAUACUUGAUUUCUAUUGGAUUGAUGUCAUUGCAAUAAUUUCCAGAGGAUUCAUCAUUAAAAUGGUUCCUGUACCACCUGGUCAUUUCACUGAUUCACAAGACAGAAGACAUCAUCAGCGUCCUGAAUGCAUGUUCUUCAGAAGCUACAGACAGUAAAUCUGGUUGCUGGCUCCAACACUAGGCAUCGUACAGCGAGUGUAGUAGCAAGACGCCACCAUAGAGCUCAGCAAUGCACUCUCGACAGCAAGUACAUGGCAUACUCCAUCACUGCAGCAUCACAGGGCAGUGUGAUCUUGCCAUCGCUCGCAAAGCCAAACUCCUCCUGGGACAUCCUCAGGAGCUCGCCGAACACGGUCGUGCUGAGGUACUCCAACGGGACCUCAAAACGCGUCCCAUCGACCAUAUACAUGACACAGUGGCCCUUGGCUGGUACAGAACUGUAGCAGUCUUGAUCUUCUUUGGCUGACACCGUGAGCCUCUUCCUCCCAAGUGCUUCCACCCUCUGCAACUUCUUCGCCAAUUGAGCAAGUCUCUUGGCACUGGCCAUAGUUGAUUCUCAGAGAUCUCAAGAAGUGAGCUAUGGAUGUUGCACUGCUCAGUUGGUGGAUCAGCGGAUGAAGAAGUGACGGUGUUGAGCUGAGCCGCUUGCUGAAUUUAUAGGCCAGGGGAAGGACGUCUUGACGGUGAACUGUGCUUGCCAUUGAGAGAAGUUGGCAGGGGACAAGGCCAUGGGAUCGGUGCAUGCAGCAUGAUUAAUUUGGAUUUGAUUGCGGUGGAGCCUAUAGUUGCAAUUGUUAGGCUUGGGUCUGCUUUCUUAUCAUUCACGUCUGCCUUACCGAACCGCGUAGCCAACAAGAGGUGUGUCGAAAACAUGGCUACUGGCAACGUCCGAGGAAUACAACAAUGGGUUCCAGAUUCAGGGACUGAACAAUUUCGGUGAGCGCUGAUCAAUUAUAUGCUAUAUAUUGAUGUGCUUCUGUUGAUUGGACUGUCAUCAUAAUGUUCAUUGUUCAUUCACCUGAUCAAUCUGUUCCCUGUUUAAUCUCCGAGCACAAGGCAAGAAUGGGCUGUAAACAUCUGACAUGAAUGGGCUGUUACAGAGGGAGUCUUUGUUCAUGUGCUUCCCAGGAAGCCUUGCAAGCAUCCUGUUUAACUAAUCAGGCAUUAAACAAUCUGAUUUGCUAUCAUCUUGUCUCGCUUCACGCUUGCAGUUGCAGGUAGGCAUACGUAGCACUGCAUGUUGCGCUGACGGGGCGCGCUUCUAGGUGCCCCUGAGGUACCUCGGCACGGCGGUCGUCGGCGAGCUCCUGGGGAUGCUGCGGCGGUGAUGGAGGACGUCAUGUGUGUCUUCCCUUCUCGGAAGGGACGGAGGAGGCGGAGAGGGCUCUCCUCAGUUCCCUGGUCAGGAGGAGUUGCCACUACCAAAAUUGCUCCAUCACAACAGUCGUCCAUGGGGAUGGGGCGUAGUGGAAUAGUCGUAGCUGCUUCUAGCUAGUUUCUGAAGAUGCACCAUGUAGUUUCUGAAGAGGCAGAAAGCAGUGCUCCGUCUUUCAAUUAGACUAGCUUCGUAGCCAUUCUUUUCUUUAGGACGAUGAUGCAUGUAAAUACUGCACUUUAAAUUUUGAGGCAUGAACGAGAUUAGCAUGCAUUUCUUCUUCUCUUCGAUCUCGAGGUGAAAAAACCGCCCGAUUCGGAUAGAUAAUGCGGAGGGGCGGUCCUCCCCUCCCACAUCCUGGAGGGGCCGCCGGCUGGAUUGCUGCCCCUCCCCUCGCUCCUCCUCCUCUACAUGCCCCCUGCCCCCGUGGAUUUAGUCCAGGAAGCAUUGAACAAACUUGUGCCGUUACCUUUUUGAAGGCGUUGUCUAUUAGCCGUUGAGCUGGCCUUCAUUGGCUAGUCUCGGCAACUAGGAUGAAAACUCUUGUCUUGGCCAUCUCCAGCCUCAAAUGGAGACGAUGGCGCAACCGACGUUUAUUCUUUCUUGAGGGUUUUGAUGUGGAAGAAGUCGACUUAGUCGUGAGUGUUAAUUUCACAUUUUGUAAUGGUUUGAGCAUGGUUACCUUUAUCAUGUACUCUGCUUAAUAAUAAAUGAGAAUGAUUGUGUGCAACAAUGAUGCAGGGCCCAGGGGUUUAACCUCCUUUUAAGAAAAAAAAUCUUCUUCUCUUCAAAUUUUUUCUCGAAUACGCACGUGUGCGUAUCAUUCAUUAAAGAGAGGGGGAAUAGAUGUGAGAAGGGGAAUAGAUGCAACACACGAACCGUAUUGAUCUCAUGGGUAUUUGUACAGAGUUACACGAUGUCAAAAUAUGUCGAAUAUUACACGUACGAGUUGGAGUACAGUCGGAAAUCGUGUUCCCUAGUUGCCCGCUGUUCACUUAUGUGCACGUUGGUUCUGACCAUGCCCGGUUGCUUGGACCACCAUCCAGAUUUCAUUUCGAAUUUGCAUGGCUUGAAAUUGAAUCAUUCCCGGAAAUGGUGAUUUCUAAGUGGAACUCCUUGAUGGCUUCUAGGACUAGAUCCUCCGGGCCUCUUGAUAAUUGCAAUUUUUGUUCCCAAAGAUUGUGUCAGUUUCUGAAGGGAUGGGGUGUGAAUAGAAAUUGUGAUUCUACCCGCGCUAAAAAUAACAUUACCUCCGAGAUCCGUGCCCUUGACCAAAUUGCUGAUUCCAGAUAAGGGUGGAUGGUCUCAGCAGUAUGACCUUGAGAUGGAGUUGAUGGAUAUUCUUUUUUUUUUUGAAAUGAGUUGACGGAUAUUCACUCCGGAAGAAAUCUAUUCGCGGCUGCGAGGCUGCCUAACCUAGACUCUGAAGGGCGGCACUAAUAGCAUGGUUACGCAGUUCCUAUAUGGCGCGUACCGCGCCGGCCAGCAUCGUAGCGCAUACCCUUUCACGUGCGCUAUUGUUUCAAUGGGCUGGCCCAUUUCGGGGUUUCCAGAACCUUCCUUGAACUGGGAUUUUUCUGUUUCUUUCUUUCUGUUUUUUCUUUCUUUUCCUUUUCUCGGUUAUUAUUUUCCAUUUUUGAUAUUUUUUCUGUUUUCUUUUUUUUCUUUUCUGUUAUUCUGUUUUCAUUUUUGUUCUUGUUUUUCAAUUUACAAAAAUCUUCUAAAUUCACAUUUUUAUGUGAUUUGUUUUCAAAGAUGAACAUUUUUUUUGGAAAUCAUGGUUUUGUUUUUACAAACUUGUGAACAUUCUCUUAAAUCAUGUGCAUCUUUUGUAACCAUGAACAUUUUUUUAUAACUCAAGAACAUUUUUUCAAAAUCAUGAACAAUUUUUAGAACUUUAUGAACAUUCUCUUGAAUGAUGAACAUGUUUUCAAAUUUGUGAACAUUUUUAUAAAACUCAUGAACAUUUUUUUGAAUCAUGCACAAUUUUUAAAUUUAAGACAAUUUUUUGAAAUCAUGAACUUUUUUUUGAAAGAUGAACAUUUUUUUGGAAAUCAUGGUUUUGUUUUGACAGAAUUGUGAACAUUCUCUUAAAUCAUGUACAUUUUUUGGAACCGUGAAUAUUUUUUUAUAACUCACGAACAUUUUUUCAAAAUCGUAAACAUUUUUUAGAACUUUAUGAACAUUCUCUUUAAAUGAUGGACAUGUUUUCAAAUUCGUGAUUUUUCUAAAACUCAUGAACAUUUUUUUGAAUCAGGAACAAUUUUUAAAUGUAAGAUUUUUUUUUUUGAAAUCAUGAACAUUUGUUUUAUAAAUACUUGAAUUUUUUUCGAAUUCAUGAAUUUUUUUUAAAAUCAUGAUAUUUUUUGAAUCAUUAUAAAAUUUUAAAUUCUAGACAUCUUUAUGAAAUCAUGAACAUUUUUUACAAAUUUUUGAACAUUUUUCAAUUUCACGAUUGUUUUUUGAAAUCAUGAACAUUUUUUACAAUUUGUUUGAACAUUUUUUAAUUUCACAAACAUUUUUUGGAAUCAUGAACAUUGUUUUAAAUUCAUGAACAUUUUUAAAAUUUGUGAACAUUUUUUUGCCAAAUUCAUCUAUAAUUUUUGAAUUACCAUCAUCUUUUUUGAAAUCAUGAAUAUUUUCUUGAAAUCAUGAUCUUUUUAUUCAAAAUUUGAUUGAGGACCGUUUGAUAUACCGAUUUAUUGAAAAAAAGUAAAAGGAAAAAAAGAAAAAGGAAACAUCCGCAAAAAAGAAAAUAAAAACAGGCGGCGUCCCGGCCACACAUGGGCCGAUCCAGAAGGGGAGCGGGGGUUGCGCGCCCGCUUCCUUCGCAGCGCGUGCUGCGCCGUAUAGGAGCACCCAACAUGGUUAAUAAUAGAGCGAACAAUCGACUAUAAGGAGUUGUCAUGUCAUCUACAACCAACCUACUAGCCGGCAUGUACAAUAGCGCAAUUUAAUUGUGUACUACUUUAUAAAUUGUUGGCCCACCUUACAACGUCACAAACUAUCUUGGGGCUCGUGUUGCAGCUGACUACAAACUAAGAGCCCGCUUUUCUUCUCUCUCCUCUUUUCUCUCCCCAAACUAAGCAAAAAUAUAAUAUUUUAGUCCUUAUAGCUGCUUAUAUCACCUUAUUGUACUUGCUCGAACUCAACUUACUUCCGCCGUCAUAAGUGUUUCAUUGCGCAUCUCUCCUCGAUGGAGGGGGGCCUCUUUUGUUUCAAUGAUAUCCAGCAUCAUGUUUAUGACUCCUAUCACGGUCAUCUUAGUGGGGCCCCUAUUCCCAGGGUGUCUCUUGCUCCUGUGGUUUGGGUCCGGGAUCCCGGGUCUCACGGGAAGACAACUAUUCACUUAUGAUCCCUUUCUCUUGCGAAGAAAUUUACCUUGUGGUCUCGUCUUCCAAAAUCAGUACUGCACUAGGUUCGGAUGGUUUUCUGACUGUUUUUAAAAAGUUCUAGGGAAUUCUUAAGGUCUAGUUUAGCUGAUUCGUUAGGGUUUUUGUUUUGGUAUGGUGGACACAAAAAUGUUAAGUUAUGCCAUCCUCUCCCUCGCCACCAAAUGUAAAGGGGCUAAUAAUAUCCGCCAGUUUAGGCUGAUAGCCUUCAUUAAGGUGUUGUUCGAGUUCGUCGACAAAGCUUUUGCAAUCCAGCUAGCCUCGAUUUUCUACAAAACCCUUAGCCUAUCUCAGACAACUUUUAUCAAGGGGCGUAAUAUAUACUUGAUGUGAGUAUGUCUCUCCAUGAAAUUGUGCAGGGUCUUCAUGUUUCUGGGCAGGAAACUAUUGUGCUUAAACUUGAUUUUGAAAAUACCUACGACUGUGUUAGACUGUUAGCUGGGACUUCCUUCGUGUAGUAUUGUUGCGUAAAGGCAGGGCCGGGCGGACAAAAUCCGGAGCCCGGUGCGAUACUAAAAAAUGGGGCCCUAUGUCACUAAAAAAUAAAGUACGAGCAAUUAUAAUGUAUAUAUAUACUAAGCAGAAUUUUUUUAUAAUGUAUGUAUAUAUUGUCUUACGUAACAAUUGGACGUAUAAAAAAUCAUACUUAUUCGAUUCUCGGCUUCUAUUUAUUUGAAAAACUUCAUUCUUUUAGUAUUCUUUUUGUAACAAAUCUGUCCAUUCCACCUUUAUAAGAUGUAUCAAUCAAAUUCUGUUCUCUUUCUUUUCUCUUGCGCUUAGAGGCACCAGACUGAUGUUUCCCCAUGAUGAUUUACUUAAAUCUAUAUUAUUGAAACACAAGAUUGAAAAAAUACAAUUGAACUUAUACAGUAGCAUAUAUCAAUUAAAGAUCAUGCGUCAGUGUUUGGUAGUUAGACGAACCGUCUAACUCACCUAGUUUUCGGUCCUAUCUGGUUGAACUACUACACUGUGAGUGUAAUCUCUAAUGAAGACGCGAAGUAACGAUCCCUGCCAACAAUUAAUUCGAAAAUUAGGAACUAUGAGUAGGAACCGAAGUUAAUCAAAAAAAGGACUCGCUAAGCACCUGGAGGCUAGAGUCGGUCACGGAUCAAUUCGACGAUGCAACGAGCCAACAAGUAUGAAAUAUGGGAGAGGAAGUCAGGAACAGGAAGGUCCGAUGAGGCGAAGGCGACGAGACGAUCCCCCAGUAGUGCAGAACCGGCCUUUAGUGCCGGUUAGUAACGGCCUUUAGUGCCGGUUCGGCAACCGGCAUUAAAGAGUGGGGACUAAAGGUCCCCCCUUUAGUACCGGUUCGUCACGAACCGACGCUAAAGUGUCAUCACGUGGCACGAGCCAGACUCGGGUGUGUGUAGGACAUUAGUACCGGUUGGUAGCACCAACCAGUACUAAAUGUUUGGUGGAGUUUUGGCUUUAUUUUCCAUUUAAUUCUUUUUUGUUUGCUGGUAUUUCACGAUACUAUAAAUUGUACACGUUAUGCAUAUAUAUAAAUAGAUUUUCUCAUACGUAGAACCGCACAUAUAUAUAUAUAUAUAUAUAUAUAUAUAUAUAUAUAUAUAUAUAUAUAUAUAUAUAUAUAUCAUCGAAUGUUUCACAACCAACACCAUUAAUUAUUCACACAUACACAUGUAUAUACAUAUAGAAUUUCUCCUACAUGUUGCCUUGAUGCCUUCGGAGCACGAUGACAAGUGGUUCAUGGAGGCGGUAGCGGGUAAUAGUAUUCUCUUUUGGGAUCUAUGACCUGAUCGAGCAAAAAUCCGGCUAUUUCCUCUUGAAGUGCUAGUAUGCGGUCCGCUGGUAGGAGCUUAUCCCGCACCUCUCUGAACUGUUAAGAAGGAGAUCAAUAUGCAUGUGUAUUAGUUGUGUGACUAGAUAUCGAUAAUGAUGUGAAUAGUGUUCUGACAAACGUACCCAGUCCUGUUUUUGAGAUCUGCUCCUUUCGGACGCCAUCAUGCGAAUGUUCUCGCAAACGUAGAAUGCACACAAAUCAUUCCCCUGCACCUGCUUUAGGGCCUUUACAAGAAUGGAAUUGAAUCAGAUAAUGAUUAAUCAAGCAUGAUAAUUAAUUAAUAGUAUUGAAAUAAGAAUUAAAGAGAUGGUAGCUAGCUAGUACUACUUAAUUACUUUCCUUUGGUCGAUGCCAAAACAACUUUUUUGCCCGUUUGCCUGGAGUCACCUUGAUGAACUUUGCCCAAGCCCUGCCCUCCGGCAAAGAAAAUUAAUAAAGGGGUUAUUAAAUAGUUCAUAUCAGGAAAUGACGAACUAAAUAGGUCGAGAUAUAGUUAAUAAUGAUUGAAAUUACCUGUUGACUAUCCCCUUCACGAUGGUGUAGUCUUUUUCUUCUUUUAGUAGUCAGUCCAGUACUUCAACUAUGCCUUUGUCAACUUUAAUGUCUAACAAGAUCCAGUGAAAACUGCAUGCGCGCACACGUUUGCAUGUCUUAAUUAAGCGGGCAUGUGCAUAAAAUUAAUCAACUACUGUAAACCAUAUACACUUAAUUAUUAACAUCUAGCUAGCUAGUAAGCAAAAACAGAAUUUGUAGUACAAGACAGUGUGACUCACAGGAAGUUGUAAGGAAGUAGUAUAUCUUCAUUGGUAUUGAGGCGCUUCAAGAACUCUAGCAUGCUUUCCUCUACACUUGCUUGAUAAAUUGGAAGAUUCCAUGUGUACUCAUUAAUGGUAUUUGGGUCAAUGAACCCAAUGCCAUAGCGUCCAGAUUUUUUCAUUUCAUACAUCUUCAUCCUGCAUAUAAUACUACAGAAAAGAAUAUAGUGAGGAUAAUUACAUGUAAUGAUUGAUCAAAAUGAUCACUACAUAGCUAGGUUGAGACUUAAAUUACAGAAAGAAAUCACUUACAGACAAUAGCAACUGACGAUAGACUUGUCGAGUGCGUCUUGAUUGUAUAACUGAAAUAGUUCUGAAUACUCAACGGACAGAGCUUUCUCAUGGAAGUAAUGCUCAUGCUUGACAUUCACCAUGAGGGACUCUCGAUUGGAAAUCUUGGUAAUGUUCAUGUACCAUUGAUGCAAUUCAUACAUUCUUGUUCGGAGGUUCUUGACCUUGUCUGGCUCGACCAAAGGUUGGCCCCAUACAUAUUUCCGUUUUAUUUCCUUCUCUCUAAGCCGAGGCAUGGGCUCGAUUUCGAGGAGGUGUCCAACAAUGAUCUUGAGCAUUUCAGCCUGCAUUAUAUGCUCCUCGGUUAUUACCACAUCACCCAGCUGGGGAACGUUAACGGUUUGCCCACAAUAAUAUUGGGCGCGCGUACUCUCAUGUGUUGUUGACACAACAAGCGGGGGGAUUGAUUGCGGCGCCUGUUCUCCCAGCUAGGGAACGGUUUUUUCGCUUUUUUUGCCAGCUGCUUGUUGGCUCGAGCUCGAGCUCGCUUCCUUCUGUAGCCGUGCUUGAUGUAGCUUCCUGGUUUGGCGCUCAUAGUCUGAGUCAACAGGCUUGGAGCUGGUGCUCUAGCCAUAUGAAUGAAGUGGUCAAUCGUUUUCUCUGGCACUUUCUCCUUUGGCGGCGGUGCCGGUUUUGGUCCAAAAUGGGCGUCCACUUGGGCCUGCACUAUGGCUGCGUUUUGCUCCUCGGUCAUGUCGUAAGGCCUCUAAGGAAGAUGAGCGAGGCUUGGACCAUAUUUAUAUCGCUUGUCUCCGCCUGUACUUCCUGUACUACCUCGACUCGUACCGCUACGCACCAUAGCUACGGCGUGUCUUUUCUACGAUUACUGAGACGACGGAGACGGCUGACAUGACUGACGCUAUGCCGGACUUGAAGCAGGAGGAGUGGCCUGACGCUGUGUCAGACUUGAAACCGGGGGAGUGGCCUGACGCUGUGCCGGACUUGAAGGAGGAGUCGGCUCACGCGUUCAUGGACUUGGAGGAGCGGGAGUCUGCUUACUCGGUGGCGGACUUCAAGGAGGAGUCGGCUCAUGUGUUCAUGGACUUGGAGGAGCGGGAGUCUGCUGACUCGGUGGCGGACUUCGAGGAGGAGUCGACAGACGACGCGGUGUCGGUGGACUUGGAAAGAUGAUGCAAUCCUUUCUCCAUAGGAUGAUACGAUGUAUGACCUCUCCCAGUGUGCGCUCGCCGUCACCUCCAGCAAUGUCAAGUGCUAGCAUCGAAUAUGGCUCCACCACUUCAUCAACCAUGACGCGAGCAUACUCUGGAAUCGGGAUGCAAUGGAAGGUUGCUUCGGGGGUAAUUGUGAAAGCAACGCCGUUCGCCACCUUCAUGGAUAUGUUCUUCAUUUUGGAGUGUAGCUCACAGUUAGUGUUCUCUAUGAUGUCAUCCACAGGGUAUGUAUCCAGCAGUGUGUCGCCCGGGGCAGAAACAAAGCUGCUUCUCGGCAUGGAUGGGACGGUGCUAUCCAAUGAUGGACAAUCAUCUUCUUGCUGCUGCCGCUGCUGAGACCCCCUUUCCUGGCUAAGUGAGUCGAUCUGCUGCUGCUGUUGCUGGAAUUUGAGUGCCAAGUCCGUGUGCCUUGCUUCUAGGACUUGAAGGCGUUCUGCGUCCUGCUUCCUCUGCUCCUCCUCCAGCUUCCUCUUCUUCUCCUCCUCCAUCUUCUUUCUUGCACGGGACCUGUAGUCGUCGUUCCAGUCCGAAAAGCCCUCAUACCAGGGAAUAGCACCCUUGCCUCGUGUUCUUCCCGGGUGUUCAGGAUUUCCUAGGGCGCGCAUAAGCUCGUCGUGCUCUCUGUUGGGCAUGAACACCCCUGUUCGAGCUUCUUCUAUUGCGUCAAGUAUCUUUUGUUCGGCUCCUUUUAGACUUGCCUUCUGCGAAACCAGGCCUGUCUUCGGGCCCAAUGACCCCCCAUGCGCAUAGAACCAAGUUUUGCACCUCGGGGGCCAGCUCCUAGUAACCGGAGUGACCCCUGCAUCCUCCAUCUCUUGCUCAGACUUAUCCCACUUAGGCAUUCCCACCGCGUAGCCACCUGGACCCAGCCUAUGGAACUGUGUCUUUUUUGUGGCAUUGGCCUUGUUUUUUAUUGACCGUUCCUUAGAUAAUUCUGAAUCCUUGAAUUUCAUGAAAUCGUUCCAGUGUUCUCUUUGCUUCUCCAGUGUUCCCGUGAAUUCUGGAUUCUUUCUUUCUGCAGCGAGGUAGUUGGCCCAUACAGUUUUCUUGUGGGUGUUGAAUGCAAUUGCCAUCUUCUUAAGAGCAGCGCCCUUGACUUUGUCCACAUCUGCUUUAGUGAAAUAAUCUGGUAGGGUGAAAUGUUCCAUCAGAGAAUCCCAAAGGUUUUUUUUGCUCUGUUGUCGACCCAAGUAACACCUGGACGUUUAGUUUUUGGCUCUUUCCAUUCUUGAAUGGAGAUCGGGAGUUGGUCCUUCACAAGAACUCCGCACUGACGAGUCCACUUGUUCGCAAUGUUCUUAGGCGUGAGGGGUUCGCCGCUAGGUUUGGUGCAUUCGAUGUUGUACUUUACACCUUCCUUCAACUUUCUGCCCGGGCCUCGCUUUGUCCUGCUGUCUGUAGAAGCAGAUUUGCUCGAUCCGGAGGGCUGAAAGAAGAAAGAUCGAUUCGUUAGUAUAUCUUCAAAUAAAAAAACAUGUGAUGAUCACCAUGAUGCCUGCUUAUAUAAAUAUACCUCGCCGGUAGUCUUUGUUAUUUGAAGACCAGCAUUGUCUGUGUCAUCAUAAACAUUGUCUGUGUCAUCAUAAUCAGAAUCAUAGUUCAUGACUUCAUCAGCUCGGUCGUCGAGAUCGAAUAUCUUUUCAUCACCCUCUCCGGUAUUGUUUAGAUAUUGGGAGUCGUCAUCUGCUUCAUUCAGAUCAUCUAGCCUGCCAGGGCCGUGUAUGAUGUCGAACAAUUCCUCUUCUCUCUCUGUGCCGGUAUUGUCCGCCAUAGCUUUUACUUAACUAAUAGAGAAGUAAUAUAAAACAAUUUAGUAUUCAAAUUAUAAUGCAUGGAUGCAAUCAAUAAGGAAAAACAGAAUCAUAUAGUACAUAAUAUAUGCAUCGUCUCGAUUAAUAUAUAUUCUCGAAUACAACAUCGUCUCGAAUAAUAUAUAUAAUCUCGAAUACAUCGUCUCGAAUAUUAUAUAUCGAAUACAUCACUGGCUAGGUACCUAAUAAAGAUCGAGUACUACAGAAGAAUCUAGGGCGCCACUCGCGGUUCCUGGGGCGCGGGAGGUGGACACCCAAAGAGAAGGAACCAUCACAGGAUCAUAUCUCCGGUCAUCUUCCCAGAGAACCCGCCAAGUAGUGGAGAACCUGACGUCGUCCAUAGCAGCCGUGUAGCGAUGGACGUGCUCAUCUUCCUCCCUGACAAGGCGACGCACCACCUCCGGCGGGGCCGGCCGGCUCGUCGUAUGAUCCAUUCGCUUCCUUAUCUUUUCUUUUUCUCGGCCUGGUAGACAUGUCUUUCACAUAAAAACCUGCGCCACAUCAUUGGCUAGGACGAAUGGUUCGUCUGCAUACGCAAGAUUGUUGAGAUCCACUGUUGUCAUUCCGUACUGUGGGUCUUCCAUUACCCCGCCUCGUGUCAUAUUGACCCAUUUGCACCGAAACAAAGGGACCUUCAAACCACCUCCAUAGUUAAGUUCCCAUAUGUCCUCUAUGUAACCAUAAUAUGUUUCCUUUCCCGUGUUGGUUGUUGCACCAAAGCGGACACCACUGUUUUGGUUGGUGCUCUUCUUAUCUUGGGCGAUCGUGUAAAAUGUAUUCCCAUUUAUCUGGUACCCUUUGAAAGUCAUUAUAUUCGAAUAUGGUAACUGGGACAACGAGUACAGGUCAUCUUCAAUAUCGCCAUCAUGCAUGGCAUGUUUCUGCAACCAACCGGCGAAAGUCCUCGUUUGUUCACGUGUAAUCCAGUCGUCAGACUUCUCCGGGUGUUUGGAGUGUAGAAAAUUCUUGUGUUCCUCCAUAUACGGAGCCACCAAGGCGUAAUUCUGUAGAACUGUGUAGUGUGCUUCAGUGAGAGAAUGCCCGUCCAUACAUAUUAUUUGAUCCCCUCCUAACGUGCCUUUUCCAUCCAGUCUGCCCUUAUGCCGCGAUUCAGGAACACCAAUCGGCUUAAGGUCAGGAAUAAAGUCAAUACAAAACUCAAUGACCUCCUCAUUUUCAUGGCCCUUUGCGAUGCUUCCUUCUGGCCUAGCACGGUUAUGAACAUAUUUCUUCAAGACUCCCAUGAACCUCUCAAAGGGGAACAUAUUGUGUAGAAAUACAGGACCCAAAACGUUAAUCUCUUUGCAAAGGUGAACUAGGACGUGCGUCAUGAUGUUGAAGAAGGAUGGUGGGAACACCAACUCGAAACUAACAAGACAUUGCACCAAAUCAUUCUGUAACCUUGGUAUGAUUUCUGGAUCAAUUACCUUCUGAGAGAUUGCAUUGAGGAAUGCACAUAGCUUCACAAUGGCUAAUCGAACAUUUUCCGGUGGAAGCCCCCUCAAUGCAACCGGAAGCAGUUGUGUCAUAAUCACGUGGCAGUCAUGAGACUUUAGGUUCUGGAACUUUUUCUCUGCCGUAUUUAUUAUUCCCUUUAUAUUCGACGAGAAGCCAAAUGGUACCUUCAUGCUGAGCAGGCAUUCAAAGAAGAUUUCCUUCUCUUCUUUGGUAAGAGCGUAGCUGGCCUGACCCUGAUGUAUGCCAUCUUUUCCGUGCAUACGUUGCUGGUCCUCCCGUGCCUCUGGUGUAUCUUUUGUCUUCCCAUACACGCCCAAGAAGCCAAGCAGGGUCAUGCAAAGAUUCUUUGUCACGUGCAUCACAUCGAUUGCGGAGCGGACCUCUAGGUCUUUCCAAUAUGGCAGGUCCCAAAAUAUAGAUUUCUUCUUCCACAUGGGUGCGCGUCCGUCAGCGUCAUUCGGAAUAGGUUGUCCGCCAGGACCCUUUCCAAAGAUUACCUUCAAAUCCUUGACCAUAUUAUGUACAUCAGCACCAGUACGGUGGCGAGGCUUCGUCCGGUGAUCCGCCUCACCUUUGAAAUACUUGCCUUUCUUUCUUACGGGAUGCCUGCUUAGAAGAAAUCGACGAUGUCCCAGGUACACAUUCUUCCUACAACUCUCCAAAUAUAUAUUGUCGGUAUCAUCCAAACAGUGCGUGCAUCCGCGGUAUCCCUUGUUUGUUUGUCCUGAAAGGUUACUGAGAGUAGGCCAAUCAUUGAUGGUCACGAACAGCAACGCCUUUAGGACAAAUUCUUCUUGUCCGUCCUCAUCCCACGCACGUACACCUGUUCCAUUCCACAGCUGUAAUAGUUCUUCAACUAAUGGCCUUAGGUACACAUCAAUGUCGUUGUCGGGUUGUUUAGGGCCUUGGAUGAGCACUGGCAUCAUAAUGAACUUCCGCUUCAUGCACAACCAAGGAGGAAGGUUAUACAAACAUAGAGUCACAGGCCACGUGCUAUGGUUGCUGCUCUACUCCCCAAAAGGAUUAAUGCUAUCUGCGCUUAGACCAAACCAUACGUUCCUUGGGUCACCUGCAAACUCCUCCCUGUACUUUCUCUCGAUUUUUCUCCACUGCGAACCGUCAGCGGGUACUCUCAACUUUCCAUCUUUCUUACGGUCUUCUCCGUGCCAUCGCAUCACCUUCGCAUGCUCUUUGUUUUGGAACAAACGUUUCAACCGUGGUAUUAUAGGAGCAUACCACAUCACCUUGGCAGGAAUCUUCUUCCUGGGGCGCUCGUCCUCGACAUCACCAGGGUCAUCGCGACUGAUCUUAUAACGCAAUGCACCGCAUACCGGGCAAGCGUUCAAAUCCUCGUACUUACCGCGGUAGAGGAUGCAGUCAUUAGGGCAUGCGUGUAUUUUCUGCACCUCUAACCCUAGAGGGCAGACAACCUUCUUUGCUUCAUACAUACUCUCGGGCAAUUCGUUAUCCUUUGGAAGCAUAUUCUUUAUCAUUACCAGCAACUUUCCAAAUCUCUUGUCAGAUACAUCAUUCUCUGCCUUCCAUUGCAGCAAUUCUAGUGUCGUGCCCAACUUUUUUUGUCAGCUUCGCAAUUCGGGUACAACAAUUUCUUGUGAUCCUCUAACAUGCGCUGCAACUUCUUCCUCUGCAAAUCACUUGCGCAGUUUCUCUUUGCAUCGACAAUGGCCCGACCUAGAUCAUCAGCGGGCUCAUCUAAUGCCUCUUCUUCAGCUUCUUCCCACAUUACCGGCUCAGCUUCUUCCCCCAUUGUUGUAUCAUCGUAUUCAGGGGACCCAUGGCCAGGAUAGAUGUCGUCGUCCUCUUCUUCUUCACUGUCUUCCAUCAUAACCCCUCUUUCUCCGUGCUUGGUCCAAACAUUAUAGUGGGGCAUGAAACUGGACUCAAAUAGGUGGACGUGAAUGGUUCUUGACGUAGAGUAAUUGUGACCAUUCUUACAGCUAGCACAUGGACAAGGCAUAAAACCAUCCGCCCGCUUGUUUGCCUCAGCGGCAAGCAGAAAAGUAUGCACGCCAUUAAUGAACUCGGGAGAGGAUCGAUCAUCAUACAUCCAUUGUCGGCUCAUCUUCAUUACACAACACCGAAUGGACCAAAUUAAUACAAGUUCAUACAUAAAGUUCAUACAUAAAGUUCAUAUACAACACUUAAUUCAAUGCAACAUACAAAUAACUCUCUAGCUAAAGAAUUUAAAUGCAACAACAAAUGCGAUCAAGAUCGCAACUAAGGUAACAAUUGAUCCAACAACAUAAUGAUACCAAGCCACACUAUCAAUGGCAUAUUUUCUAAUCUUUCUAAUCUUCAACCUCAUUUUCUCCAUCUUGAUCUUGUGAUCAUCGAUGACAUCGACAACAUGCAACUCCAAUUCCAUCUUCUCCCCCUCAAUUCUUUUCAUUUUUUCUUUCAAAUACUCAUUUUCUCCUUCAACUAAAUUUAACCUCUCGACAAUAGGGUCGGUUGGAAUUUCCGGUUCACAUACCUCCUAGAUAAAAAUAUCUAUGUCAACUUGAUGGGCAUAAUUUGUCAUAAACACGAAAUGUAACAACUAGUUUAAAAAAAGAAUAUACCAUAUCCGAAUCAUAACAAGGACGAGGGCCGACGGGGACGGAUAUCAAAACCAUGGCACUAUGUAUAACAAACAACGUACGGGUAAGAUAAUUAUACGAGUAACUAUAUAUCCAAAUCACACAAACAUCAAUUUGGUAAUGUAAAACAUUCAUGAACAAGAGCCUCACCACAAGGUGGUGCCGACGACGGGACGGUGCGGGCGAUCGACGGUGGUUACGACGGAGAUUUAGAAGGCAGUAAGUAAACCACACCUACAUAUGCAAACUAAGUGUUAUUUUUGACCUCAAACUGCAUAUAAAUCAAAUACUAGCACAUAUAAUUCCUCCCAAAUUACUAAACUCACAAAUUAAUCACUAUACAAAGCAUUGCAAGAGCUAAUCUAGCAAUGAGAGAUGAAAGGACAAAGUUGCUAACCUUUGUGAUCAUUUGAAUGGAUGGGGGCCUUCAAAUCUUGACAAAUUUUGGGCAACAUUUAUGAUGAGCUCGAGGAAGAGAGGGGAAGAACAGAGGAAGUGAGGGGAAAGGGGAAGAACAGAGCGAGCUCGGGUGGACGAAGGGUUUAUGUACGACGAUCUUUAGUACCGGUUCGUGCCACGAAUCGGUACUACAGGUGCUGGAGGGGCCCCAGACUGGCAACAUCCUGCCACCACUCUCUUUAGUACCGGUUUGUGGCACGGAACGGUGCUAAAGGUUCGCCAUGAACCGGUACUAAUGAGAUCGGCCGGCUAGCCGUUGGAACCGGCACUAAUGUGUCUCAGAUUUGACCCUUUUUCUACUAGUGCCUGGAUGCCGUUUCAGUACCGUCGUCGACUGGCCGGGUCACCGACGCGACGGUUUCAUGAUCUAGAACAGGGGUUUGAUCGAGAUUUUGAGACGACGGUUUCGCCGGGUCGUCGUUUUUUUUACGGACGAUCUGUUUCCAUCUCACGAGAUCUGUUUUUCCAUCUUACCCACGAUCAGGAGCCUCGGGUGAUCGAUGCGGCCCCGUGGCAAGCGCGCGCUGUGUUUUUUUAGAUAAUUCACAAAGCUUUAUUAUGUCGUCACCUGUUGAACCGGGAUUAAAGAGAGGUUCCUGGGGUGGCCUAACCACAUACGGCGGCCCACCCCUAGUUUCAAAGCAUGUUUUGCUAAAUUGUGAGCCUCCACAUUGGAGCUCCUAACCUCAUGAACAAAAUUAUAGGAAUUAAAACUACUAGAGUAGUCUAUGAUUUCAUGCACGACCGCUCCAUAUUCUGCUCCGUUCUUCUGUUUUAUACUAUCGAUCACCUCCUUGCAAUCAGAGGCUACAUGGAUAGACUGGAGUUGGAGAUCUUCCGGC